UGCUCCUGGGUAAAGUCAAAGCUGACCUAGCUGGGAAGAAUGAAGCCAUUGAGAAGCUUAAAGCUGAACUUGCUAUGCUCCUUGAGAAGAGCAAAGAGGAGCUUGCAGAGAAGCCCUUGCUAAAGCUGAGAAGGAGAUGGCUGCCCAGGCUGAGGACUUCAAAAAGGUCGAGACAGAACUCCUUGACGACGUUGCGGAUGCCUAUGCCGCGGGGUUCGAAGAUGCUCUGUCUCAGGUUGUUUGUGAACACGCAGAGAUGGACACUUCGAACUUUGAUACUGGCAACCAUAUCGUCGAAGGACAGAUCGUGCCGAGGAUCCUUCCCCAAAAUACCACUUAGUUCUUGUUCUCAAAAUUUGUAUUCUUAAUAACCUUUUUUGGAUGUAUCUUGCACUUUAACUUAACUGUUUUGCUCAUUUAUGAUUGCCUUUCUACUUGCCUUUUCGACUAUAGGUAGCACGCCUUGUCGUUUCUUUUUAACUCCGCCGUCAAAACAAUCUGUAACGAGACAAGUGUGCACGGACCUUCAAUUGUCCUUAACUUUCUUCCUUACUUGAGCGUGGGAGCUCCUUCUCUCAGCACUUACUUCGUACUCCGCGAACUCGAGGCAUUCAGCCUCAAGGGCGUUACUGGCCUCACCAUCGCUCAAAGGCGAAGGAGGACUUAUCUUGGUCGAAGCCUACUGUUUAUGCUUGGUGCCCACGCUCGAGGAGGCGCCCCCCGCUGCUCUCUCUCGAGGUGUCUAAACACCAGAACAAUCGAUGGGCUUAGUGCCCACGCCCGGGGAGGAGGCGCCCCAUAGGGAACCGCAUUCUCCUCGAGGUGUCUAAACACCAUGUCGACCGGUGUACUUGGUGCCCACGCCCGAGGUGGAGGUGGCCCAGAGGGCGCCCCUGCCCUCCCUCGGGGUGUCUAAACACCAGAGUAACCAGUUCACCACCACUCGGACCUUACUAUCUGAGCUUGAUGCCAACGCCCGAGGAGAGGUGUACCGAAGCAACGCCGCUCGUCCUUAGUGUGUCUAAACAUUGAGGCAAUCAGCGUACUUGGUGCCCAUGCUCAGAGGAAGCGCCCCCCACCGCUUUCCUCGAGGUGUCUAAACACCAAGAUGACCGGGGCACUUGGUGCUCAAGCCCUAGGAGGGGGCGUCCCUAAGGAUACUGUCUCUCCCGAUUGGGGUGUACAUACACCGAGGUGCCCGGUUCUCUGCUGAUUAAAACUUCUCUCUCGCGCUUGAUGCCCACGCUCGAAUGAGGCACCCCCCGUCGCCUUCCUCAAGGUGUCUAAACAUCAAGGUUGCGGGUUCGUUUCUUACUAAACUGCACCAUCUUUACUCGGUGCCCCCUUACAUUGUAAUGAAAAUUUCAGAUUACAUAUGCUUCAAACUAACUCUUUAUUGGGUGACCUCAUUAAAAAACCCCCGAAAGGGAAAAAGAGUGUCCCCUUGAACUGUAUACAUUGCAGAGUUUUCAACUAAAAUAAAAUUUGAGGUUUCCUGCGUUCCAAGUGCGAGGGAUGGCGCCUCCCUCCAGAGUCUCGAGCUUGUAGGAUUCGUUCCCCCGAGCCUCAGUUACCCUAAAGGACCAGUCCACUUGGGGGACAACUUGUUCUCCAGCUCGUACGGAUGAGCCUUCCGCAUUACCAAAUCAGCAACUUGGAACUACCGGGGCUUUACCUUAGAACUAUACUGGUGCUCCACUCUUCUCUUCACCACCUCAGCUUUGAUUUUCACCUCCUCUCUAACCUCGUCCAACAGAUCCAAAUUCACCUUCCUCUCUUCGUUGGACUCCUCAGCCACCAAACUUUGGAAACGUGGCGAGCUCUCAUGGAUCUCCUACGGGAUCAUCGCAUCUGAUCCAUACACCAGGCUAAAAGGUGUUUCCAUAGUGGAGGAUUGGGGCGUGGUGUGGUAAGCCCACACUAUCCUUGGCACCUCUUCCGCCCAAGUCCCCUUAGCUUUCUCGAGCCUCCUCUUCAACCCUCUAAGAAAGAUUCUCUUAGCGGACUCCACCUGUCCGUUCGUCUGGGGGUGCUCGACAGAUUCAAACACCUGCUUUAUGCCGACCUCUGUACACAGCUUUCCCAACUGCUGGCUGGCGAACUGUGUGCCGUUGUCGGAGACAAGACGCCUUGGUACACCAAAGCGACAUACGAUAUUCUUCCACACGAAAUGCUGCAUCUUGUGAGCCGUGAUCUGCACCACUGGCUCGGCUUCAAUCCACUUUGUGAAGUAUUCGAUGACCACUAUCAAAUACUUCAUAUUCGAUAUACAGGAAGGGCCCCAGAAUGUCAAUUCCCCACGUAUGGAAGGGUCACAGACUAUAGAUGGACCUCAACUCUUCUGGCGGCGCCUUGUGCCAAUCGGCGUGCUGCAGGCACUGCUUGCAUCGAUGGGCGUACCUCACACAAUCUUCUCUUACAGUUGGCCAGUAAAACCCUGCGUGUACGACCUUCGACGCUAAAGACCUCCCCCAACAUGGCUCCCACAAAUCCCCUCGUGGAGCUCAGCCAUUAUUCUCGUACAUUCAUCUCCGCUCACACACGUCAAGAUCGGGUGCGUGAACCCAUGCCUGAACAGUGCUCCGCCCACGAGGGUGUACCUUGCGGAGUUUCUCUUUAUCUUCUUGCCCUCCUCGGGCUCUACUGGGAGUAUCCCAUCGGCAAGGUAGCGCCUAUAGAGCGUCAUCCACGGGUCCCUGUUCUCCAACACGCAUACCUGCAUAGGGUCUUUCCCCCCAAUGAGACCAGAUAAACGCUUACAUUGGGCGUCUUCAACGUUCCCCGAGUCAACGACCGAUGACUCCUCGCCCUUCCCUUAAACAUACUGAUCUGGAGGACGCUUACCCUACUAUCUGCAACAAACGUUCGCGGCGUUUUGAGGGUCUCCUGUAUGAUCGUCCUCUACCUUCCCCCCUUGCCCGAGCUGGCCAGCUUGGCGAGCAGGUCAGCACGGGCAUUCUGCUCUCUUAGGACGUGUACCAGCUCGAACGCCACGAACACCCCCCUCAAAACUUGAACAUGGCCCAAGUACGCAGCCAUCUCAAGAUCUUUCGCUUGGUACUCCCCGGUCACCAGACCCGUGACUACCUGGGAAUCGCUCUUCGCCAGCAGACUCCGUGAGCCCAUCUCCUUGGCCAAGAGCAUUCCAGCUAUCAGGGUCUCGUACUCCGCCUAGUUAUUACUCGCCUUAAAGGCAAACCUCGGGGCCUGUUUGAUCAACAACCCAUUCGGCUCCUCCAAGAUUAAACCGACUCCACUUCCCUACUGAGGACCCAUCCACCAAGAAUACCCACUUGAAACUAACCUACUCCUCCUAUUGUGCGCUCCCUAGCGAAAGCUCCGCCACGAAGUUCGCGUAGACUUGUCCCUUUAUGGGUCCUCGGGGCUCAUACUGGACAUCGAACUUUGACAGCUCCACUGCCCAGCGAACCAUCCUCCCUGCCACGUCUGGCUUCUGCAGCACUUUCCGGAUAGGGAGCUCCGUCAUCACCACCACCGUGAAGCUUUGAAAGUAAUGACGGAGCCUCCUAGCCGAGAACACCACAACAAGUGCUACCUUUUCUAAAGCUUGAUACCUCGUUUAUGGCCCUUGCAGGACCUUGCUCAUGAAGUAUAUCGACUUCUGCAUAUGAUCUUGCUCCUGAACAAGUACUGAGCUCAUCGCCCGCUCGGUCACUUCGAAAUACAAUCGGAGGGGCACGCCCGUUUGUGGCUUACACAACAAGUGAUGGAUUUGUGCCUUCAUAUUUUUGUAAUUGUUGAUGAGUUGCGGAAGCUACACGGAUUGGAGAUGGAACAAGGUCCUCCUAAGAGUGGUGGUGACCUUGAAGGUGCAUGAUAGGUAGGAUUUGAGAGUGGUGAGGCCAACUUUACUUGGAAAGGGCAAAUUUGUGAAGAUUAAAAGCCUAACCUAGGAGGUUUUGGGCAAAGAGUGAUAUUGGCACAAUUUUGGCAGCAAUUCACUUAUGUAUUAAUCUUGAAUUUACAUGACCCAAGCUCCUCUAUAUAUAACAAGAGUGGACUGAAUAUGAAAAGAGAAAUGGAGGGAAAUUCAAAUGUUGACUAUUGGGAAAGUGGCUCCUAAAUUUCAGCACAUGUGAGGUAGGUUCUAGAAUUCUUCCAUGAGCUAGGAGUUCUAGAACCUUACGCUCCACUUAGGCUAAAUGUGGGUUGGACCUAAGUUUAAUUAGGAGUAGGAAACUCUAAUUAAACUUAGGUUAGCAUUUUAGGUACCACUUUGCAUGUUUCAACAAAAAUUCAAAAGAAUUAAACUAUGCUACUUUUGACAAAAAUGUAAAAGCUAUUCUACACUAGAGUUUAUGACAUGUAGAAUGCGUCCUCUUGACCCCUCUUUGACCAUAACUCUAGUGGUUGCCUCAAUUUGACAUUUUGGUGGCCUUUCAAUGGAUUGGUGUCGGGGCCUCUUCCAUCAGCAAGGGAGGAGCAACCAGGUACUCCUUAAGCUUGAGGAAUGUCGCCUCACACUCCUCGGUCCACACGAACCGACUGUUUCUUUUUAAACCCUGGAAGUAAGGGUGCCCCUUGUCUCAUCCAGCGGAUACGAAUCUGGACAGGGUCGCCAUCCGCCCUGUCAGCUGUUGUAGCUCUUUCAUCGAGGCGGGGCACCUCAUGGCAAGGAUCGUCGCACACUUGUCUGGGUUCACUUCUAUCCCACGCUCGGUGAGUAGGAACCCCAAGAAUUUACCCGCCUCAACCCCGAAUACACACUUUUCGGGGUUCAGCUUCAAACGAUACUUGGCUAUGGUAGCGAACAACUCUUCCAAAUCAGCUAUGUGUUGUUCCCUUUCCUAGGAGGUCACCACCAUAUCGUCCACGUAGGCCUGCACGUUUCUUCCCAGCAUGGGUGCAAGGACCUUAUCCAUCAACCUCUGAUAGGUGGCGCCUGCGUUUUUCAGGCCGAACGGCAUCACUGUGUAACAGUAACAGAAUGUCUCGGUCAUGAACGCCGUUUUGCACUCGUCACGAGGGUGCAUCUUAAUCUGAUUGUACCCAGAGAACGCAUCCAAAAAACUAAACAUCUUGCAUCCCGAGGCUUUGUCCACCUACGCGUCGAUGCUUGGUAAUGGGUACGAGCCCUUUGGGCACGCUUUGUUGAGGUCAGUGAAGUCUACGCACAUCCUCCACUUCCCGUUGGCCUUCUUAACUAAGACCAUGUUAGCCAGCCACUCGGGGUAUUGAAUCUCCCGGAUGUGACCGACUCUCAACAACUUCCUCGUCUCUUCCUACACGACCAGUCGCCUUUCUUCGUUGAACUUUCUUCUUCUCUGGUGCACGGGUCGGACCUUGGGGUCCAUGGUGAGACGGUGGCACAGAAAAUCCGGGUCGAUGCCUGGCAUGUCCGAGGCGGACCACGCGAAGGCGUCCAGGUGGCGCGAUAUCACUUCUGCCACCUGGUUCUGUUCCUCUUGGUCUAACGAUCCGCCCAACCUAAACGUCUUACCACCGAUCUGUCUCUCCACCACAUUCUCAGCCGGCUCGAGCUGCCUCUCCCGAGCGUUCUCUGCGCGAGAUACGCCUAUGCAGUCCUUCUCCAUGGGUAUUUCCUCCACAGGCGCCUCCUCCAUGGGUGGGUGCUCCACCACCAUGAAUAUGCCCCUCCUCGUCUUAAGGCUAUUCUCAUAGAACUUAUUGGCUUUUUUUUAUCGGAUUUGAUCACGAUCACCUUCCCACUGAGAUCGGGCAGCUUCAAUUUCAUGUGGCAUGUGGACAACACCCCUCUCAACCGAUUCAAGGCUGGCCUUCCCAGCAAGAUGUUAUACGCCGAGUCGACGUUCACAACUAAGUACCUUAUGUUUUCGGUACGAGACGUGGUGCCAUCUGUGAAAGUCGUCCUCAGCUCCAGAUAGCCACGCACUUCCACUUGAUCUCCGACAAAACCAUACAAACAUCUCGUGUAUGGCCUAAGCUAAUCAGGACACAGCUGCAACUUUUCAAACGUAGACCAGAACAUCACGUCCGUCGAGCUGCUCUGGUCUACCAGCACUCGGUGUACUUUCCUUCCCGCAGUUACGACCGAAAUCACCACGGGGUCAUUAUUGUGUGGGAUGACAUCGCGUAGAUUAUCCUUCGUAAACGUGAGAUCGACGUCAAGCGUGUCGUACACCACCUGUUCUGCUACUGACAUUACUGAGCACACAUACCUCUUGCGCUGGGAGGCAGUGCACCCUCCACCCGAGAAUCCACCAGAGAUGGUGUGGAUUUCCCCGUGGAUGGGCAUCUCGUGGGCCUGGUCCCCCACUAAUGUUGUUAAGGCCUCGGUCUCUGAUGACCCCGCUAGGUAGUCAUUCAGGAAACCGCUCUUCACAAGCUCAUCCAGUUGAUGGCCCAGUGCCAAGCAGCUGUUAAUCGGAUGUCCGAACGCCUGAUGGAACUCGCACCAUGCAUCCUUGUGCAGUCCCAACACCUUAUCCAUCUUCGCCGACAUCUUCAACCUAUCCGCUAUGUUGGGCACAAUGAUUAGGUCUUUCAACUCCACCACGAAGUUUUGCCUCAACGCCUUAUUUCCCCCCGGGUGCCCCUUGGCCUGGGGCUUUCUAGCCUCGUAAGGCUGUUUCCUUCCCUGGGUCUUCUUGCCCGCCGCAACCUCAUGCACUCUCAUGGGUUACGCACGCGAUGGUGCACGAGGGCGCGCGGGGACCACGCACGCGCACUUUUCAACUACUUCUCCUUCUGUUGCGAUGAGCACCACCGCACGACGCCUGAUUUCAGCAAAAGUCUUGGGGCGACAUCUGAUGAGCGAUUCACUGAACGGUCCAGGGCAAAUUCCCUUCCUGAACGCAUGGAAUAUCAUCGACUCAUCAGUGGUGUUGACCCUCACCAUCUGUGCCCCAAAGCGAUUAACGAACUCUUUCAACGUCUCCCCCUGAUACUGCUUUACGUCAAAAAGAUCAUACAAAAUGGGUGGGGGAGUGCGGUUCGCGAUGUACUUGAACAUUUGCGACAGCUGCGCAAACGAAGUCACGUGGCCAUCUGGGAGACUGAUGAACCAGUCCAUCGCCACCCCCACCAACGUGCUCAUAAACAACUUGCACCUCACGGGGUCAGAACCGCCGACCAGCAUCAUCUGCGUGUGAAACGCAGUGAGGUGCGCCUCUGGAUCCUCCACUCCAGUGAACGUAGCUUUCGGCCCUACAAACGUGGGUGGUAUUACUGCUUCCAUGAUUCCAUGUGAGAAGGACAUGGGGAACUCUCUGGGAGGCGUGAAGCAUUCUCGAUCCUCUGUUUCAUGACUUCCAGACUGGUUGCGCAACCCGCGAUGUAACUCCUCGUUAGUGUGAUGCAGCUCUUCGUUUCUAGCUUGCGAAGCCGCAAGAUCUUGCUGGAUGCGCUCCUGCUCUGCCCUUAACGCUGCCAUCGCCUACUGCAGGCCCUGCAUCACCCUCAUCACCUGCUGUAGGGUCAAAGCCUCAUUCCCUGCGCGCGUUAUAGCACUCUGCCUGGUAUUCCUCAUUCUUGGAUGUUUCUUGGAGAAUCUUGGACUGUUCUGCAAAUCUUGGAGAUUUCUUUGGUGAACCUGAGCAAACCUUGAGGAUUUUUUAUGAACUUUUCAAGAAUCUUGGAAAAUCUACUUCCACAACUCUCACUAAGUGUUCUACUUUUCAAAUGUUCCUGUCGCUUUGACUUGGGCACCUUCGGACGUCUCUACGAACUUCGCUUCACGAGUGCCUCUGCUUCUAUUCCAACGUUGUUCUUCCUCCUCCGCUAAUACCUAACAUAGAAAGACAAAUGCCGCCCUCGUGGCCGUUUGCACUCUGACGGUCAAGUCAGCUAUUGGAAAGGAAACACCAAACACCUCUCGUCACAGAACACCGCAAGCUCAAUGUUCAGAGAAAUGCGUAACUCUCAAUGCUCUCAAACUUAGAAUCUGUAAAACGUACCUUAUUCUGUUUACCGUAAACCUUAUAUACCUUCUUGGUGUCCCUGUCCACAUGUCAGCUUGAGACUUGCGUAUUCUGUGGGCGCUCCUUAGCAACAUUAUUCCCAGUCUUAGGGCCCUCUAAGUGUGUAAGGUUGCCCCAUUGAAGUGCACCUGCUCGGGGGUGACUGCUUGGGUGCCGACUCAUGCGCCCAAUCUCCGAGCCCUGGGAGUAUCUCGCCUUCCUCACGUGCCAUGCAUGCAGAUCACCCUCUGGGACGUGACCCUCCCAUGGGUCGUCUCUGUCCCAGUGGCUUUCCGACGGUGGUGCGUACUGCCACGUUCCUACACCUCAUGCACGGAUCCCUCAUGCGUUGGGUCUCUCCCUGCUGGAACCGGGGGUGUGGCUUGAAAACCACCUCUCUUUAUCUAUCAUUACUGUCCGGGGUGCCGAGGCCCGAGGCCUCCAUACCCCUACCGCCUCUUCCGCGGUUAUCCUUACCCGAGGGUAUCAGAAGGGAACACCUUCCUGGCUUACAAAACAGCCUCAAACGCCUUUACCAUGCUGAUCCUGGAGACGCCCAAGACCGGUCAACGCCCGAGGCCGGUCAACUCCCGAGGCCAUGGACCUUAAAGAAACUCCCUCUCUUGCUUUGCAGUACUUCCAGUGGAUUCCUCACUCUGGGUCCCAUCAUGUUGACUUUGGUCAACGCCCGAGGACAAAAUAUUAUUUAAAAACACCUAAGUUGAGAUCAAUGCAUUUUCCUAUAAUUAAAUAAUUCAAUUUUAUUUUAUAAAAAAAAUAUUUUUUAUAUUUUAAAAUUUUAAUCUUUUCAUAACGUUUUUUUAUUAAUGUUAUUGUUAAAUAAAAUAAUAAGAAAUGACAUUAUAUAUUACGAAGUGUACUACAAGCCCAACUCAAUCCCAUAAAACCGGCUCAUGGGUGAGGUUUGCACCUACUUAUAUACAAUGAAAUGUCCUUAUCUCUAGUCGAUGUGGGAUCUCCAACACACCGAGAGUGACAAGUCCAACAAACUCUCGCUAGGAUAGACUCGAGAAUGACUCUGAUACCAUAUUACGAAGUAGACUUUAAGCCUAACUUAAUCCCAUAAAACCGGCUCAUGAGGUGAGGUUUGCACCCACUUAUAUACAAUGAAAUGUCCUUAUCUCUAGUACAUGUGAGAUCUCCACCACUAUGUUGGGGAGAUAAAUGUUAUUUUAUGAAAAACAUAAAAGAAGAAAGUAUUUUUAAAGGACUAGUGAGUGAGGUUAUUAUUUUAUUAAAAUGUAAUAAAAAAAAUUAACAUGUAAAAGUAGAAAAGGAAUGUGUUUAUCAUUUUAUCUAACUUAAUGGGAGGUAUGUGUAACUUUUUCUUAAUUUAUUAAUAAAUCUAAUUAUUAAAGUUUUCUUGUCGCGGUAAGCCACUUCCUAUAGUGGUUCAUCUUAGUCGGCAUUAAAAUAAAUUGCAACUUUCCUCUUUUCUAUUCCAUCAAAUCAAGCAAGAAACCAAGUCAAACACGAGUUGUCCUUGUUAGUGUUCAUCACCAAAAGGGUUAUUGCAUUAAGGUAACGUGCUAGAUGUAAAUAUGUUCACAAGACACGCACGCAUGCUAUGGUUAUCAUCCUGAACUUAAUCACUGAAAUCAGUUCUAGAAACAACUUAGAUAGUCAAAACGAUGAAACUGCGACAGUUACAUCUCACCUUGAUGUGUGUGUUGUGAAAUCAUUGUCAUCACCAUACCCCAACCAUUGUUCUAAAAUACGAUAACCCACCUUAACAAUAUUGUUGUCAAAGAAACUUCAACCAAGUUCUACUUACCUUUUUUAUAAAAGAAAAAUAUACAAUUUUCAUGUAUCACAAUUUAGAAGCAUGCUUCUCUAUAUCCUCAUAGAACAACUUCUUCAACACAUCUAUAUAUGAUCUCCGCAAACAAACAGCUAGAACGAAGCCAUCACCACUUGCAGUGUCCAAAAGGAAAGCCUUACCAUUAGAAUUAAUGUUCCCGGGAAGCAAACAAACCGGUUUCCCCCAGCCAUAAUCGGUCUCAAAAUACGAAAAAUUGGUCCAAACAACCACAUUCAAAUUGGGGUCUUCCAUGUCUUUCCUAGCAGACUUGUAAAACGUGUCCCUCAACAAAUCCAUGUCCUCCACACGUGCUAUAUAAUCAAGAGCAGACUUAACAUACUCCUCAUGCAUUUUCUCAAUCGCUUCUCUCACUUUCCUCACAGCAUAGCCAAGAGGUUUCUGCAUAAUGUCAUCAAAGGAACAAGUUUCUGUCACAGUAGGAAAUGUUGCAUUGCCAAAAUAAGCAGUGGGGAGAGAUGGCCUCAAACGGCUUCUACAAUUAACCAAAGUGUUCAAUCUUGUUGGUUGACACACAUCACCUGAAUAACGCACCUUGCACAUACACCUCCACAAGUGACCACUUAUGACCUCAAAGCUAGUAUAACCUCGUAGGGGAACCUUACCAUACCCACUUCCAAAGUCACUGGCUUUAUUCUUCAGUUUCUGAACUUGCCCUUUUGUCACUACCAACAUGGCCGUAUCAAGUUCAUGUUGCAUCUCCUCAUCACGUGUUUUCCAAAGGGGCGGUGGCAGAAACUCGGGAUGUUCAAAUCGCGGUGGUUUAUUCAGUUUGAACGAAUCUAGUUUCGAUCGAUCAAGAAAAGGAAUCAAAUCAGAAUCUAAAUUCUCCCCUCUAGCGAGUUUGGCCCACGAUUUAACGAAGCUCGAAAGUGAAUUUCCGUCGAGGAAAGCGCGACACAUGGCAAUUCCAAGUGUGAUGAAACCACAGGGGAACCUGGUGAUCUGCACCCCCAGCAAUGGAACAUCCUCAAUGGGGACAUCGUAGUUGAUCUUUGGGACAGCGUAGGUGGGAGCGAACUCACACAGAUCUUCAAAACUGAGUUGAGUGUUGCAUGUGGCUGUUACGAGUAGUGCCCCUUUGGCGUUGCAGAGAAGCUCUAAGCGGCCACCGUGGAUCCGUCGCAAGCGACCGGCCAAAGGGUGGAAGACAGUGAGGGUUUUGCUGAGAGAUGUUGAGAGAGUGUGGACCGCAGAAGCGAAGGAGGAAUCACGGGUGAUGCCUGUGUUGGCGUAGAUGUAGAGCUGAGAUCCGUGGUUUGGAAGCUUGAUUUGGUCGCAGAGGGAGAGUGAGGAGUUUGAAGUUGGUGUAGUCUCGGAGGGCACCACAACAACGGAACUGUGGAUGGUAACCAUGUUUUUAGCUUAUCCUUGGAUCUUUCCGAUGAGUAGUCAUGAAAUAUUGGCACCGUCUACACACAUAUUUAAGCUAAGUUGGGUGGUAAUGACGUGACAGAAAUUGUGUGUUGAUAAUGUGAGACGUAUAGAAUAAAGUAAUAGAGCGAAUAAUAAAGUAAUAUAGCGAAUAAAUAAUCAGUAAGACAUAAGAAUAGGUAAAAAAAAAAUAUUGAUUGUUAUUAACAAUUGAUUUAAUAUUUUAUUAUUUUUUACUGAUUAAACCAUCAAAUCAUUAUAAUAUGCUAAUAUCAUUGAUGAUGAGGAAGAUGAAGGCUCGUAGGUCGCAACAAUCAAUAACCUUUUUUUUCUCAAAUUUCGUGGACAAUUAUGAAUAUGAUAUGGGAAAGGUGUUUCAAUGUUGGACCAGGGGAAUGAGAUUUUCAUAUCACCUACACCGAAUAGGUGGGAAAGAAGAUUUUAGAUUGUUAGACUCUUAGUGGCUUGAAAGGGAGAUGACCAAGCGUGGAAGGCAAAAUGAAACUAUAUGUCAAUGUUCCGCGCUACAGAAGACAUGAACCCAGAGGUAAGGAGGCACAUACUGUAUGCAACAUUGCAGAAGAAAGGAUACCACAUAAGUAUGAACCGAGAGAGGAAAAUAGACACUACAAGAAAAUGAUUGAAUGGUAACUAAUUUAGAAACUAAAAAAAAUAGUUUCUAUAGCAACUAAUUUAAAUACCAUUUUAUAAAUAAAAAUUAUUGGUUACUAAAAUGGUAUUUAUUAUUAAUAAAAAUUAUAAUAUAAUCAGAUACUAUAUUUUUGGUAGCUAAUCGAAACCAAUUUUUUAGUCUCUUGUUAAAAUAUAAUUGAAAACCAUUAUUUUAAUCACUUUUAAUCUAUUUUAGAAACUAAUUUUUAUCUCUAAAAAUAACAAAAUUAGAAACUAAUUUUGUAAUUUCUAAUCAUCAUAUUAGAUACUUAAACUUUUAGUCACUGUUAUUUGAAUUUUAGAUACUAAUUUUUGGAGUAAUUAAAUUUUAUAGAAUUAAUUAUUAAUUUAUAAAAUAUUUUAAAUUAAUAUGAAUAAAUUUACUACUUUAUUAAUUUUAGUAUAAUAUUAAAAUAAUUAAUAUCAAUUUAAAAGUUACAUUUAAAAUAGUAUUUUAAUUUUUUAUUUAAUUAUAAAAAUAAAUUAAUAAUAAUUUUAAAAUAUUAUUUAAAUUAAAAAUUUAAUAAAUUAAUUUAAAUAAAGAUACAUAUUUUUUCGAAAACUUAUUUAAUUUUUUUAAAAUUUGAGAGUUAAUAUUCUGCAGAAUUUUGAAUUUCAAAGUUUAUCUCUCUUUAACUUUCUACUCAUCUCUCACUCUCAGCAACACUCUACAACCGCAGCACCUUGUGACGUCACCCUGCGACGGCAACCUGCGAUGGCAAUGCACUCGCGACGGCAAUGCAUCCUGCGUCAGCAACGCACCCGCAGCGACAACGCACCCGCAACGAGAAUGCACCCGCGACAGCAACACACCCGUAACCGUAACGCACUCGCGACGACAACGCACCCGACGACAACACACUCUGCUUAUCAUCGUAAGUUUCAUUCUUCCAUUAAUUCAUGCUCCAUUUUCGAUCUUUGUCUUUUAUUUUUUUUCUUGCUCAUCGAAGCUUCACAACUUUACUCACUGUAUCCUCCCCAUCUUAAAACCCUAAAUUAUGUUAUCAUGUUGUAUUUUCCAAAAAUACUCAUGGAGAGAUAGUUCUUAAGGAGAACUAAUGUAUUUUUUAAUUCUUAAGAGAAAUCAGAUUUGAUUGAAGAUACAAAUUGAUAAAAUGCACCGUCAACACUAUAUCUAUUAUGAUACAACUGUCCAUGGUGCUUCUUGGAUGUAGCCGAUUCCAUUAACAGAAAAAAAUCUCUUUUCAACUCAAUAGGAAUUAUCUUUGUUUAGUCUCUGUUAUGUUAAGUGUCGUUGUUGUGUCUGGUGUUUGUGCAGUGGUCCUGUGCUUCAUAGGUUGCUUGUCUACUGCUCUACUUCUUUUGAAUUUGUUUUCUCUUUUAUGUCACAGUAUGUGUUGUUGUGGUUUUUGAAUGUUAUAUGUUGGUCUGUCUUUAAAGUAGAAAAAUGUACUAGAGAUAUAGAGAUACCUAUUGAAGAACUGUUUAUUUUUUAGAAUUAUAUAAAUUGUUAGAUUUAAUCGUUUAUUUGUUUGAUGUGAUGAACAUUAGGUUUUUAAUUCUCUUUAAUAUUGAGUUUAUUUGAUGUGUAGAUUAAAUGUAAUUGAUGGGCUUGACAGAGCUAUUUUGACUACGAAGAAGGGUUAGGUGGCAUUGUUAAUUAUUGCGAAUUCUCUCCAACUCGGGGAGUAUGAUGGAGAUCAAGCUCAAGUGGACAUGGAGGCCAAUCAUCAAGAGCAAGAAGAGGUUGAGGCUCAAAUGGAGGACGCCCAUGGAGGUCAAAGCCCACCUCAAAGGCUUACAAGAAGCAUGUUCAAAGCUUUAAGAGCUAAUGGACGUUUAUUUUCUCUUUUUGUAAUUUCUUUGUUUGAAGGUGCUUAGAGGGAAACAUUAGAAACCUCUUUUGUUAAAGCAUCUUUAGGUCUUUAGAUUAGGAGUCUUAGGGGGGUGCGUUAGUAAAUAGGUGUAGGAGUAAUUAGGGAGAGAGAAGGUCACACCUUCCUCAUGACUAUAGUUGGCGCCACUUCAUUUGUUUUUGGGGGGAAUUUUGAAUUCAUUUAGCUUUGCAUUUCAACACCUCUAGGCUAUAAAUUAAAGUGCUGCCUUUGUAUUUUUCAGAUUUGAAAUUUGAUUAGAGAAACUAUACUCAAUUUUUGAGAGAGCAUUGGAGAGCUUUAUGCCUUCCUCACUAGUCUUAACUUGAGAGUUCAAUGUUUACCUCAAGUGGCGGCUUACACACUCAUCUUGGAGUCACCAUCCUCUAAGUGGCGUGAUCAUCCAACCAUUCCUCCAUCUUCAUGAGCUUUCUCUUCUCCUUCCUUCCUUCUCUUUGAAUUGUUCAUGUCUUAGCUUGCUUCUCUUGAAUUUCUGUUCGGCAUUUUCAGUUCUUAUUAGUUCUGCUUCGGUUCAUGUGUUUCUUUGAUGUUCUUCAUCUUUUCUUCUUCAUUUCUAGUCUUUUGUUCGGUGCAUUUCUGUUUUUAUGUUGUUUAAUCGGUGCCUUUGCCUUUUCUUCCAAUUCAAUCAGUUCAAUUUGACAAUAUGUGGAACUUCCAUAUGAGUUUGGUUUUUGGUACUAGUUUUGGUGAGUUCUUGAUUAUAGAACAUUGAUCCAAUUCUAUCUUAAAGUGCCUAUCUCAUAUCCAACUCAAGAUGAUUCAUAAGAAUGUCAAGAAUCAUUCAAAGUGUGCUAGUGGAAUCACAUCAAUUAGAGUCUCAACAGGAACUUUGUUGGUGUUCCCGCCGGUUGACCAGGGUCGUCUUUAUGCGUGGCUUAUACUCACGAGCUAGGGCACCUUCAUUUUGCUCCGUCUGUGAGUACCUGAAAAGAAGUGAACAAAGGGACAUUGUCCUUCACACGCCACAUGAAGAUGAAGUUACCAGACCUUACCGAUAAGGUGAUAGUUAUCAAGUCAGAUCAGGAAGAGGCCCGAAAAUGCUAUGAAAAUAGCCUGAAGACAAAGAGAGGCGUGGUCAUGGGGAUUGAACGACCACCCGUUUCAGAUUCGCAGAUGGAGUUAGAACCAGUGCAAGAGGCGACGCCCGCGGAGUCCAUGCCUGCCGUGGCCACACCUGCAGGGGCGACGCCUAUAGAAGAUGCACGCACAGAAGGAAGAUACGGUGACGCCUCGCCAAUGGAAGAAGUAUACGGAGAGGCCUCGCCCAUGGAAGAAGAGUCAGAGGAGGCGAUGCCCGAUGCAUCCGAUAGGGCGACGCCUAUAGAAGAGGACCCCAUGAAUGAGUCUCGCGCAGAGGACGUGCAUAGUGAGCAACCCCAACCAGUAGACAACGUGGUGGGAAGACAGAUAGGGGGUAAGGUGUUCAAAUUAGGACGCUUCUUGAGCCAGGAAGAACGAGAAGAGGUAGCUGCAGUGAUCUCGCGCCACCUAGACGCAUUCGCGUGGACUGCGGCGGACAUGCCAGGCAUCAACCCAAUUUUUUGUGCCACCAUCUUACCAUGGACGUCAAGGUUCACCUUAUGCGAUAGAGAAGGAGGAAGUUCAACGAGGAACGAUGCCUCAUCGUGAAGGAAGAGACGCAGAAGCUGCUAAGUGUCGGGCACAUCAGGGAGAUACAAUACCCUGAGUGGCUGGCCAACAUAGUUCUAGUGAAGAAGGCGAAUGGGAAGUGGAGGACGUGUGUCGACUUCACAGAUUUGAACAAGGCAUGCCCAAAGGAUUCAUAUCCGCUGCCCAACAUCGAUGCGUUAGUGGAUAGCGCCUCGGGCUGCAAAAUGCUGACUUUCUUGGAUGCAUUCUCAGGUUACAAUCAGAUCAAGAUGCAUCCAAGGGAUGAGAGUAAAACGGCGUUCAUGACGGAGACAUGUAGUUACUGUUAUAAAGUGAUGUCAUUUGUGUUGAAGAAUGCAGGCGCCACAUACCAAAGGCUAAUGGACAAGGUCCUCGCACCUAUGCUGGGAAGAAACAUCCCGACCUACGUAGAUGACAUGGUGGUGACUUCACAGGAAAGAGGGCAGCACGCAGCGGAUCUGGAAGAGCUGUUUGCUACCAUAUCAAAGUAUCGCCUCAAAUUAAACCCAGAAAAGUGUGUUUUUUGCAUGGAGGCAGGGAAGUUCUUGGGAUUUAUGCUCACUGCAAGGGGGAUAAAGGCGAACCCUGACAAGUGUGCAACUAUCCUCUCCAUGAGGAGCCCAACCUCAGUUAAAGAAGUUCAGCAAUUGACGGGGAGGAUGGCGGCCCUGUCAAGAUUCGUAUCUGCUGGAGGGGAGAAGGGCCACCCCUACUUCCAGUGCCUAAAGAGGAAUAGCCGUUUUGCAUGGACAAAUGAGUGUGAAGCAGAAUUCCUCAAGUUGAAGGAAUACUUGGCGACGCCACCUAUGCUUUGCAAGCCACGGGAAGAUGGCCCCCUUCGAUUGUACUUUGCAGUAACAGAGUGGGCCAUCAGCUCUGUGCUGGUUCAGGAGCAAGACCAAGUGUAGAGGCCCAUCUACUUCGUAAGCAAGGCCUUGCAAGACCUAGAAUUGAGGUAUCAGUCACUAGAGAAGGCGACACUAGCAGUGGUGUUCUCAGCUAGAAGGCUCCGCCACUAUUUCCACAGUUUCACAGUGGUGGUGGUGACGAACCUCCCCAUUAAGAAAGUACUUCAGAAGCCAGAUGUAGCAAGGAGGAUGGUUCACUGGGCGGUGGAGCUGUCGGAGUUUGAUAUCCAGUAUGAACCCAAGGGAUCCAUAAAGGGGCAAGUCUAUGCAGAUUUUGUGGCAGAGCUCUCACCAGGAGGAGAUCCUCAAGAGGUAGAGUUGGGGUCAAAGUGGAUGCUCUCAGUGGAUGGGUCCUCCAACCAGUAGGGAAGUGGCGCUGGAAUAAUCUUGGAGGGGCCUAACGGAGUGUUGAUCGAGCAAGCUUUACGCUUCGCCUUCAAAGCGAGCAAUAACCAAGCGAAGUACAAGGCGUUGAUUGCUGGGAUGCUUUUGGCUAAAGAAAUGGGCGCUCAAAGCCUCUUGGCAAAGAGUGACUCACAAUUGGUCACAGGGCAAGUAACAGGGGAGUAUGAGGCAAAGGAUCCACAGAUGGCCGCAUACUUGACGUACGUCGAGGUGUUAAAGGGAGCCUUCGCCGCGUUUGAGCUGGUGCUUGUCCCUAGGGAGCAAAAUGCCAGAGCUGACCUGCUUGCCAAGCUGGCCAGCUUAGGUAAGGGGGGAAGGCAGAGGACUAUCAUCCAAGAGACCCUCAAAACGCCGCGAAAGUUUGUGGCGGGCAACAGGGUGGAUAUCCUUCACAUUAGUACAGCAAGAGGAAAGCCAAGAAGCCAUCACUCUUUGAGUCAAGAUACGGCGAGGGCACCCUGCAUCAGUACCUACGCAACCUCGCCGGAAGAAGAGAAGGGCGUACAGGUAUGCGUCUUGGAGGAAGGCGACACCUGGAUGACCCCUUACAGGCGGUACCUCGCGGAUGGGAUCCUCCCAGCGGAACCAGAAGAAGGUAAGAAGGUCAAGAGGAAUGCCGCAAGGUACACCUUAGUAGAUGGGAUAUUAUUCAGACAUGGGUUUACACACCCUAUCUUGACGUGCGUAAGUGGCGACAAGUGCACCAGGAUAAUGGCUGAACUCCACGAAGGUAUUUGUGGGAGCCACGUGGGAGGAAGAUCCUUGGCAUCCAAGGUGGUACGUGCAGGUUUUUACUGGCCGACGGUAAGGGAAGACUGUGUUCGAUAUGCCCAGCGUUGCAAGCAGUGUCAGAUGCACGCUGAUUGGCACAGGGCGCCGCCAGAGGAACUGAGGUCCAUAUACAGUCCAUGGCCUUUCCAUACUUGGGGGAUUGAUAUCCUAGGCCCGUUCCCGCUGGCGAUAAGGCAGAUGAAGUACUUGAUCGUCACCAUCGAGUACUUCACCAAGUGGAUAGAGGCAGAACCAGUGGCACAGAUAACUGCGCACAAGGUACAACACUUUGUUUGGAAGAACAUUGUGUGUCGUUUUGGAGAUACUUGGCGCCUCAUUUCAGAUAAUGGCACCCAGUUCGCGAGCCAAUAGUUGGGGAAGUUGUGUACAAAAGUAGGAAUCAAGCAGGUGUUUGCAUCAGUCGAACACCCCCAGACGAAUGGGCAGGUCGAGUCAGCAAAUAGAGUUUUGUUGAGAGGUUUGAAACGAAGAUUAGAGAAAGCUAAAGGGGCGUGGGCAGAAGAAGUACCGAGGAUUGUGUGGGCUUACCACACCACGCCUCAAUCUUCCACCAUGGAGACGCCUUUCAGCCUAGUGUAUGGGUCGGACGCCAUGACCCAGUGGAGAUCCACGAGAGCUCGCCUCGUUUCCUAGGUUUCGUGGUAGAAGAAUCCAACGAAGAAAGGAAAGUGAACCUGGAUUUGAUAGACGAGGCUAGAGAAGAGGCGAGAAUAAAGGCUGAGGCUGUGAAGAGAAGAGUGGAGCGUCAGUACAACUCUAAGGUGAAGCUGCGACAAUUCCAGGUUGGUGAUCUGGUCAUGAGGAAGGCUCACCCUUACGAGUUGGAAAACAAGUUGUCUCCCAAGUGGACUGGACCGUUCAGAGUAAUCAAAGCCAAAGGGAAUGGUUCAUAUAAGUUAGAGACUCUAGAAGGAGGCCCCAUCCCACGUAGUUGGAAUGCGGCGAAUUUAAAGUUUUAUUUCAGUUGAAAUUUUGUAAAGGGGACACUCUUUUUCCCUCCCAGGGGUUUUUUAAUGAGGUCACCCAAAUAAAGAAAGAGAAGUUUAAGAUAUUUCUGCCUUAUUUUUUUCCCUCUCAUGUAAGAUCAAAGAAACAAAAGACAAAGACUCAAGGCAACGCCAGGCGUCGCCAAGGUGAGGCGUCGCCAAGAUGAGGCGUCGCCAAAAUGAGGCGUCGCCAAGGUGAGGCAUCGCCAAAAUGAGGUGUCGUCAAGAUGAAACAUCACCAAAUUAAGGAGCGAAGGUCAAGUGCAGAACGAGAUGACAGGUAUGUUGAGUAAAGGUUAAAAUCCGGGUGCUUAGUCCUUGAGCAAGGGUUAAGGGAUUCCUUCGGGACGCCCCCUCCUCAAGUAUGAAUAGCUAGCCCCGGUAUCAAAUGUUAGAUAUAAGUUCAAAAUCUGGGCGUCUAGUCCUUGAGCAGGGGUUAAGGGAUUCCUUCGGGAUGCCCCCUCCUCAGGUAUGAAUAGCUAGCCUCGGUAUCAGAUGUUAGACGUAAGCUAAAAAUCUGGGUGCCUAGUCCCUAAGCAGGGAUUAAGGGAUUCCUUCUGGACACGCCCUCCUCAGGUAGGAACAGCUAGCCCCAGCGUCUGAUGUUUAGACACUUCGCCUUGGUGUUUUCAGACACCCUGAGGACGAUACGACGCUGAUGUAGUAGGCCUCUCCUCAGGCGUGGGCACCAAGCGCAAAGAGGUAAGGGCUAAGUUGCCUUGGCGUUUUAGACACCCCAUGGAUGAUACGACACUAUGUAUAGGCCUCUCCAUGGGCAUGGGCCCUAGAGCGCGACUUUUGUCCCAAGUGUUCAGACAACGUUGAGGACACCCAGAGCAGGUCUCUCCUCGAGCGUAGACACCUAGUACAGUUAAGAUAAGUCCUCCUCGCCCUUGAGCGAUGUGGAGGCCAGAAAAGGAGAGACUCCCCUUUUUCAUCCUAAAGUGAUGAAAAAGUCGGCAAUGCCUUUGGCUACAAGUGCCUCGGGCUCAAGAAAGGUGAGUAAAAAGCAGGUUGGAGAUUUUAUAAGUUCAGAGGGAAAAAGAAAUUCGAAGAAUAAGAGGGAGAAGCAUAAAAGCACGAGUCAAUGGAGACAACAGAAAUACGCGAAGGUAAAAUCCUCCUUUGCCUUUGGGCAAUGACCAGGCAGGCGACGCCUUCGUGAGGAAGAUUCCUCACAGAUGCGAAGGCCAAACUAGGUUCUAAGCGAAAGGGCCAAGAGAAGGGUGUGCCUCGCGACUUAAGAAGAAAGAGUAAGAGGGAGAAUCACGUGCUACCUAAAGAGUCAAAGGCGAAGCAACGAAGAAAUGCAUCGAAGGCAAGCACCAGUUGUGCCUUUGAUACAGAAAAGAAAGCAAAAGCAGAUAAAGCGCAAGAAGAGUUGAAAGCAGAUAACAUUUAAGCAAAUUUAAAGGUUAUAAUUACAAAUAGGGUUCAUGACAAUUACAAAAUAAGCAGAAGGUAACUAUAUACACGUCAAAUGUUUUGUUGAAGCGCAAAGUAAAGACUAUUCCUCAGAGGCCUCCAAAGGCACAAGCUUGCCAUCAACUACUUCGUUCAAGGGGCUACACCCAGAGACGUCGAUGCCAGGGUUUGCAUAGGCAGCUUGGACAAGAGCCUCUGCAAACCCAUCGGCGAAACCGGUGGCAGCCUCCCCUAUCAACUUCUCCUCAACAACCUUGAAGUUGGCAGCUUGAGUGGCCAUCUCUUGGUCCUUGGAGGCCAAGGUAGAAAUUAGCUCUUGGACUUUGGCUUGGAGGGUGGCGUUCUCGGCGGCUAGUCGGGAGCACUCACUAGUCUUCUCCUUGAGUGCAGCUUCAGUUUUCCCCAGUGUUUGCUCCCGAUCAAUACACUGGUUCUCAAGUUUUUUUUGCUGCGCCUCAGAGGUCUUGACUGCCUCCUCAAGAUCGACGAUCUUCACUCGGAGGGGCACCACCUGAUUGAGGAGUUCGGCUUGGGCUUACGACACCUCAUGCAGCCGUUUGUUAGCCUCCUCUUUUGCUUUUUGCGCCACCCUCAGAGAGGUUUUGUAGGCAUCCUCUUGACGCCCUCAGUGAGUGGCUAGCCUCUCCUUCUCCUCUUUCAGAGAGGCAACUUCCUUCUCCAGCGCUUGGAAGGCAGAAGCUUUGACAGCCUUUGCCCUGGCCUGCGCAUGCCAGGAGUGGGCGCAGGACAUGAAGGCGCCCAUAUAGUAAUAAAGGCUUUCCUUUUGGGGCCCUUUAGCCUGACCAAGUGGAGAGAGCCUACCCAAGAAGCCCCUCAGUGAAUCUUGCAUGGGGAGAGGGAGUUCUGGGACAGUUGGAGGAGCCAUUGUGGGCCCAGCUUCGACCCCACCCUCCAAAUUCGUUUGUUGAGGGGGGGAAGUGGCGCUUGGAGGGUCCUCCCUCAAGGAUUCAGCCCCAUGCGAAGAGGAAGUGGCAGAGGCAACUUGUUGAGGGGCAUGGUGAGUUGUCCUUUUUCAUUUGAGGACCUGCCACUCAGCAGAUUCUUCAUCAUCAGAAACCACCUCCACAACCCUUUUUCCUUUGUCAAGGAGGGCUGAGGGGGCAGCAGAUUCGGCCAGCGCGAGAGGCAUGGCCGCGAUGGGAGGUGGAGAGUGUGGAGGCUGAUUGGGAGAAGGUUGGACUGAUGGAGUUGAUGGCGUCGUGGAAGGUUGAGGGCGAGAAUUGGGAGAAGAUGGAGAGGCGUUGGAGGUUAAAAGGGGGGACCCCCCAACUUCCUUCGUCGAAGCCCCAUCUUUGGACUUCAGGACAUGAGCCAGCCUCAACCUUCGUUGUCUAUCCAUCUUCGAAUCUGCACCAAAAAGAUAAAUGCAAUAGGGGUUAAGCACAGGCCAAACACUAUGCAAAGAAAGCAGAUAAGCCAUACACUAAGUAAAAACAAGAAAGUGCAGUAAAGGAAGAGUUGUAGGGAUGACUCUCAUACUUAUGUACUUCGCUAGAGCCUCAGCAUUGUACUCUAGGCUUAUCAGGGUGGCAGUGUCGAAGCCCCCCGCACUGGUCAGAAUUUGACAAGCCUCUCGAUCAUUCGAGGGCAACUCGUCAAGGGAUUUGGGCUUCAUGGUCUACACCUCCUUCACCCAGUACAAGGGGAAGCCGUCAAGGGCGGAGGGAUCAAAGUCGGAGCAACAAACCUUGAAAAAUUUGCCCUUCCACCCCUUGAAGGAUUGUUGGAAUAAGGUCAUGAGGACCCUUCCAGGGAUGUUGCUGAGGCUCACCCAGAGGCUCUUCCCCUGCUUCUUCACUUCGAAGAAAUGAAGGAAGAUGUCGACGGAGGGGGCGCGCCCGAAGAACCCGCACAAGAUAUCAAAGGCCUUGACAAAGGCCCAGCCGUUGGGGUGCAGUUGGGCUGGGGCAAUGUUGAUUUCAGUUAGUAGUUCCCUCUCGAACCUGGUGAAAGGCAAGCGCAUCCCUAUGCGCUUGAAAACCACCUGGUAGAAAUAGAAGAAGGGGACCCCGUUGUUGGCCCGCUCAUCCCCACAUACAGGCUCCCCUAAGGUACAAUGGAGCACUGCAAUGUCGUCAUCAUGCCUUUUCGCGAAGGCACGAUGGUCGUAGGCGCUCGACUCUCCUACGUGAUCCCUCCAAGCCUUUGUGGAGACCAAGCUCGAGUACUCGUCGAGCAGUUCGUCUGGAGCCCAUGGGUAAAGGGCCCUAUGGUUGACUUUGGGGGGUGGAGGGUUGGCCGUUGUUUUAGUACGUGCCAUUGAUGAAGAAACUGAAGAAUGAAGAAGAGAAAAGGUUCAGCAAAUAAGGUCAGGAAGAAAAGGGGGAAGAAACCCUAAGAAAACCCCUACCCACGCGAGAAGUUCAGAAGGGGAGAAACAGAGAAAUGAGGAAGAGAAUACAGAAAUACAAGAAAGAUAAACAGUCCCAGGCAGUUAUAUCAGGCACGAUAAGCAGAAAGAGGGUCAUCGAAUGCGAAAGUUCAUACCUUUAAGUGUUCUGAGUUGGUGAAGAUCGAAAAUGCGAAGAGAAAACAGAGAGCGCAGAAGGAGCUUUGAGAAGAUGAACAAUAAGGAAUGUGAAGAGAGCGAAUGGAACAGUGCCUUGAGUGCGCGAUUUCGAAAGGUUAUAACGUUAACUUGGAAGCGCCAACGACACUCAUCCUCAGCCGUUGGAUCGCGCCACGUGUCGAAAGAUUAAAGCGCAACUUAAGGCAUCACAUCUCUGGCGUAGAGAAUGUCGCGUCAGACGCUCAGAGAGCGUCACGUCAACUGAUCAAAGGAAUGUCACGUCAACAGGAAUGCCACGUGGAUGCUAAGGUGAGGCCGUAGUAUUUUUGUUGAAGCAAGUGUCAGCUCAAGACUGGGGGGCUUGUGUACUGUCCCGUCCCCGGGCGUUGACCAAAGUCAAAGCGGGGAUGGGAUGGUACAGUUGGUAACAUUUCUAAUCAAUAGAGACAAUUGCAAAGUCUAUCAUAGUUUCAUUGUCACAGAUUCUCCAAUUUGUGUUAACUUGAUGUUCAUCUCCUUUCUACUGUUAGAGUUAUGUUUACUUCCUCUGCGGUUUUUGGGCCAAUGAUGAUAAUGUUCGCACUGCAUUGCAUAUCUGUCAUGUGUAGUUGAUAUAAAUGAUAGUAACUUUUUCAAAUAUAAUUGGAUAUACAACUUAAUAUAACAUAAGGUUGCAUGUGCUGCAGGGAAGUAUAGGACAAUGGUGCCGGUGUUCGUUGGAUAUACCUCACAAGAGGGAUAUCCCAAGCAGUUUUGAGUAUCAUGUAAAUCUCAGUAGAAUGGGCUAUCGAUCGCUGAUAUACAGGUCAAUAUUCUUUCUCUAUGUUAAUAUGUUGAAUAAGGUCACACGGUUGAACUAAUUUGAAUUUCAGAUACCAAAUAAAUUUUCUAUAUAACAGUGGUGAUCAUGAUCUUUUGGUUCCUUUCUUGGAAACUCAAGCAUGGAUAAGAUCUUAAACUACUCCAUUGUGGAUGAUUGGAGAUAAUGACAAAGUUGCAGGGUAUUCCACUAACUAUAGUUAUGUAAUCACCAGGCUUAAUUUAUCUAAAGCUGAUUAAAUUUUUGUUUCCCUACAAAUAGAUACACAAGGACUUACUCCAAUCGAAUGACAUUUUCAACUGUGAAGGUAAGUCUUUUGUAUUCUCCUUGUUGCUCUUGUGGGUCAAAUAUAGAUUCCAUUUGAUACUGUAACAAACAAUGAUGCAAUGAGAAUGAGGUAUGUAGCAUAUUUGCUAGUUUUAGAUUCCAUUAUUUUGUACUGGUAUAUUUUCAGGGUGGAGGCCACCCAACUCCAGAGUACAAGCCUGAAGCAUGCUUUGCCAUGUACAGUAGAUGGCUAUCUUGUUGAACCAAGUGGUGUUCAAGCUUUGAAGAAUCCAAAUCCUUUGAAGGAUGUUGAAGCCUCUAUUGUGCUUGAUGUUGUUGUGCUGGUUUAAGCUUUGUUUUGGGGUAGUUUAUAUGCUGUAAUCCACCCUAUGAUUAAAUCUAAAGCAUUAGCAUUCUCAAUCUUUGUGAAAACAAAAUGAUUUCAAACUAAGUAAAAACAACCGAUUGUUUUGUUAAAACAACCGAUUGUUUGUACUUAGGUGUUUUGAGAAAAAGAUUGAAAACUGUUUUGAAUGGUUGAACUGUUAAGUACCAAAACAACCGAUUGAUUCGAGAAAACAACCGAUUGUUUGUUUUGGGACCAUAACAGAAAAACUAUUUUCUUUGACUAAGCUUUAAAUGAUUUAACUGUUUACGCUCCAGUCAUUAAAUGCUUUGACCAAUCUUUUAAUGCAAUUUAAGAGUUUGUUAAGAUUUGAUAACAAACACAUCUUUGAAUAUAUUCAGAAAAACAGAUUUAAGAAUUAAAAAUCUUUGACAAAGUUUUUCUAAGAGAGUUUGUGAUUGACCAAAGUGCUGGAAUAGGAUUCUGCUUGUAUUGAUUUCAGAUUAUCUUCUGUAACAAGUGUAAUCCUUGUACUCUGUUGAACAAUUUCGUUUCUGUGUUUGCUGAGAUUGGCUGUGUGUUCUUGAGGUGUUCAAGAUCAGCAAUCUUAGUGUUGGCCAAGGAGAGUGUGUUUCUUGAGGUGUUCAAGGUCAUUCUCUUGGUUGUUGUGUAAGUAAUCAAGUGGUGAUUGCUUAGUGGAUAUCGACAGGGUUUCUAAGAAGACUGGAUGUAGCUCUGGUUUAGAGUGAACCAGUAUAAACAACUGUGUACAAUCUCUCUAUCUCUAACUCUUUAAAUUCAGUUUGUUUGUUGUUUACUGGUAUAAACAACUGAUUGUUUCUACGAAACAACCGAUUGUUUUUCUGGGCUAUAGCUUUUGCUUGCUAUUUUGGCUAACUGAAUUGCUGAAUCAUUUGGUUCGUGGGAUAAAUUCAUUUUAGUUUUUGAAAUAUUUGCGAAAACCUUUUUAAACAAUUCACCCGCCCUCUAGUUUAAAGCCAUCUUUUCUAACAUAUCUAAGAGAGCUUUGUAGGAGCAACCAAAUAAGGUCAUUCAUUUGCUCUGUUAGCUAAGACUAAACUUGGGAUCCUAUUUAUAGCAAAGUUUGAGGGUCGAUUUUGUUCACCAAUAAAGUUUACGUUCAUUCUUCGAACAUAUACCUUAUCAUUAAUACUAUAUUGAAGUUAAUACAAGAGUUUUGUUUGGAUCAAAAUAAAUGGAAUCUUUCAGUUCUAGCUUCCAAAACCGUCCUUGAUUUGUUCUAGCCAAAAAGUUUGUAAACAGUUUGAUGGAUAGAGAAGAACACUCGCACUUCCUAGGUCCCGCUCUGACUUUUUUUCAACAGCUCAGUGAGUGGCAAGUAGGCAGAAAAAAUUUAAUAGGAAUAGAUUAAACUUUAUUUUAAAUAUAACUCAUGGAUAUUAACAUAAGUUGAAAGUAGAUUUCAAACAACUACGCAAUAUAAUAAUUUCAACUUGAGUUUAUGUAAUUAUCUUCUAGUUUCUACGACAAUCUUAGUUCACAUUCAUUAUUCAUAAUUUUUUUUUGUAAAAUUUGAAAAAAAAUGCCUACUUAUAACCAUAUUUGGAUUCUAAACAUUAUUGCCUUGAGUUGACAAACUUUAUGAAUUUAUUUUAAAAUUAAUGAACUUAAAUCUACAAAUAAAUAUAAAAUAUGAAAGAGUUAAGUAGGCAAAUAAAUAAAGAAAAAACAAAAAUCCAAAAAAAGUAGGUAAAUAAAAUAAUAUUUUAUAAUAAAUUAUAUUAUUUAGAAACCAAUAUAGUGACCAUUUUUUGGUAUUUAUAUAUUUGGUCACUAAAUGAGUUUCUAUAUAUUUUGGUCUCUAAAUUGGUUUCAAUGAAAUUGGUUGUUAAUUUGGUUUUUAUAUAAUUUUUCACUAAAUUAGUUUCUAUAUAUUUGAUCACUAAGUUCAUUUUUAUUUAAUGGUAACUAAAUUGGUUUCUAAAUUAGAAUCGAAAUUGAUAUCUAAAAUUAGCGACCAUGAUUUUAGUCACUUAAUACUAUUAGUUUCUAAAUUAGUCUCUAAUUAAGUUAGUGGCUAAUUUUAACAUUUUAGAAACCAAAAAUUUAGUUUUUAAAAGCACUUUUUCUUGUAGUGAGAAAAGAAGUUGGGAGGCCUAAUAAGGGAAAGGAAAGGAGGGAAUGGAGAGAGGUUAAUGUACCGUCCCGUAUCCGGGCGUUGACUAAGUCAUAGUCAAAGUCAACGGCUGGAGAGUCAAAGUCAACGCAAGGCGUUGCCUAGGUGGAGAGACGCCAAGAGGAAGCGUCGCCAAGGCAAGGCGUCGCCUAGGUAAAGACGUCGCCCAACCAGGGCGUCGCCAGAUCAAACAUUGCUAAAGCAAGGCAAUCACGGUGUGGUUCCCCGAUACCCAUGGGUAGGAAAGACCAUGGAGGGAGCGACGUCGUGGGAAGGCCUCAGGUCCUGAUAACCCGGGGCAGUGAUAAAGAGAAGGAAAAGGUGGCUUCAAGGCCAUAGUAAUAGUAUCAGUGUAGGGCAGCCUGACUCGUGAAGUGCUCCUCCCGCCCCAGAGACGCCUGUGGGGCAGAUACGACUCAAGAGGAAAGUCACGCCCAGGGCAACCGGGUGCAGAGUACAAAAGGAAGGCAGAUACGCUCUCAAAGUAAGUGACUAGAUACUUGGGGGCAUGAGUUGGCACCCAAAAAGUCACCCCUAGCGCAGUAGCACUCCCAAGCAGGAGGACUCACACACAGAAACAUCCCUAGAUGGGCAGAAACGCCCCCAGAUGGGGUCACGGCGUCGUGAGGCCCUCCACGUGUACAACAGCCAUGUCAGAAUGGAAACACCCUUUAGUCAGGUGCCAGGUAAUUAAAUCAUUCAAUACAAUUCCCCUUUCGAGCAUUCAGGUACUAUAAUGACUCCCAAGCGGUUCAACGUCUUAAAUGCGCUACGUUUUCUAAUUAAACGCUUUAAUGGGUGCAUUACGUUUGUUAUUAAAAGCGCUUUAAGGCGCUUUAAAUGCUUGGGUAGUUUAAAUAGCGCGGAGAAUGUUGGAAAGAGGGUUGGAACUUUUGGCAAAUUUACCAGAGAACUCUCUAGUUGCUUGCUCGUGCUUCAAGGUUACGUACAAGUGACUGGGGAAUAUUUUUGCCUGAAAGAGACAACAUACACAUAGAUACACAGUUCUUUUACCACCUUCAGAGUGCCAUACGCGGUGCUCAGAGACGUAGGUGGACAGUUUGGUGUUUCUUGCUGGCUGACUUGAGCGUCGGAGUGCACACGGCCGCUAGGGCGCCUCUUUGUCCUCUUUUUUGCAAGAAUCCACAGGUAACCAGUGGGAAGGAGUCCCUAGCUGACGGUUGAGGUCGCGCACGAAGACGUCCCGGUCAACCGAACGGAACAGUUAACAAAAAGCAAACCUAUGCGGGUGUUGUGAAAAACGAUUUAUCAAAUACAUGGAAGGACCCUAUUAUUGUAACUAAACAACAAACCCUCCCAUGGAUGAAUAAUAAUGUUGUAGGAUUCUUUUCAACAGAGUUGAGCUACAACCAGUUAUGUGAAGAGUUCAUUUUGGGAGUAAUGAAUAUGGUAAAGUUAGUUGAUCAAGAGUGAUCAAGUGCUUUGAAGAAUUCAAAUCCAAAUUGUUAGAUGAAAGGCUUGUGUUGCUGCUGUGCUUGGGUGGAUCUGGGUAGAAUAGAAUGUGAUUCACUCAUUUGUUGAAUCUAAAACUGAUGUGAUUUAAAACUGAUCCUGCCUGUUGACCAAAACGCUGGAGCCUUGCCUCGUCAGACCUGGAUCGACUUCUGCGCCGUGUUAGCCUCCGUCCUUCACCGCGAUCCACCUCAAGAACCUGCAAAAGACAGAACGGCGCCGCUGCGGCCGAUCACGCUCCGAUGCCCAAGUCAGCGACUGAACCACCAAUUACUAAGAGAAACUCAAGAACUCUAAGGAACCGUGCAAAGUUCUCUCUCAGCGUACUCAAAACUCGCAAGCGUAAAGAAGUAAUCUGAACGUGCGUACCUCAGAAGUUCGUUAGAAACUCUUAUAUACCUGCGCACUUUCUCUCUCCAGACAGUUACACUUCUGGACACGUGGCUCGCAUCCAGCUGUACACGUGUCACCAUCUGGAGCAUCCUUGACUUGGGCGCCACUUCUUACUCUUCAGGUUUUUUGGCUAAGUUACUUAUGCAUGACACAACUCAGUGCAUAGUUGCCUUGGAGCGUGAUCUCUUCUGAGUGGCGAGUUCGGGUGCCUUCGUAUACACCUUCCGUGUGGUCUCGCCGGCCGCCUUCACGAUCUACUCUUCCUACUUCACCGUGUAUGUUCAGAUAAGCUGUCCCCCGACCUUAUCCUCUGGCUAGCUUAGGAAAUGACUAUCUGACUUUAUCUUCGGCGAUGUCCCUGUUUCGGCGAUUUCUAAUCACUUGGUCGCCUAGGUUCACAUCUGGCGACUUCAUCUUCAACCCGGUGACCGCCGGUUUAGGUAUGCUAGAGAUCGGAGCACGCCAACUUAACAACCUGCGACUACACGAGCCCCCCGACUUCCUUCCCUUUUGCCAGCCAGGUGUCCCGUCCAACACGCCUAUAUAAUAGCUUGAUGCCACGUCAUCACUUCCGACUACCAGGGCGGUACACAAGCCCCCCAGUCUUAAGCGAAGACUUGUCCAGCGAAAAGACUAAAGGAGUCACGUCACUACCGAUCUACGUGGCGCUGGCGCAGAAUUCCAAACGUUCGUACUUUCUGCUUUCCUGACGCUCCACCAAACACCUUCCCAAUCGCCCGACACGUGGCUUCAUCAACGGUCAUCUUUAGUUGUCGUUUACGCUUCCAAAAAUCAUUUGAAAAACCCUUAAACCCAUUUCACUUUUACUGUUCCAUCAUCUCUUUGCCUUCUCAAACGCUCUGAGUUUCCUCUGCGAAAACCCACGACGCUCUUCAACCUUCUGAAUCCUCAACUUCCUUCAGCGUUCGUCUGAUCAUCGAAAGGUACUCCCUUUACUUCUUCUGUCGAUAUUUGCUGCAUUUUAACCGAUUCGCAUCAUCCAUUAACUGCCUGGUGCAUACGCUGUGGGUUGUUUGUUCUUCUUCUCCUUUUUCGCACUUAAGGCUUCGUCUUCCAUUUCUCCCAUCAUAACGAACUUUCAUUCGUUCGUCUUUUUCAUCCUUCGUUCACAAUCAAGUCGACCUUUGCAACCUUCGCUCACUCUUUUUUUUUUUUCUCUUUGUUCCUUUGCAGUUCCUGCGAUGGCUCGAACAAAGACCACCGCGAAUCCUCCUCCCUCGUCACGAAACCCUCCAUCCCAAGCUCAUAACCCACCGCGAGCACCUGGUGCUUCCUCCUCCCAGGCUGAGAGGCCUGCAACCUCUCGCCCCAACCUUGCUCAGGCAACCCCACCCAUCGCCGGAGGUGCCUCCAUUCCUUCCCCAGACUAUAAGAAGUUAUACCCAUGGGCCACUUCAACUUUACUGAAGGAGACUUCUUUAGUAAACUCCGUUGUGGCAGUGCUUCGAUUGAAGAAAGGGGACGAGCCCAACCUUUCGUUCCACAAGGAGCACGAUGACAAACUGACGAUGCUGCCUUGCCCCCCGACGUGCCAUUCUGCGCAGAUGACAAAGGGAACAACAGCGAGUUAUUCUGCUUUGUGUACACCACCUUAUUCAAGAAGGUGAAACUUAGGUUCCCCCUUACCCGUUUCGAGCGGGAAUGACUAACCGAGCUCGACAUCGCCGCCGCCCAACUCCAUCCCAACAGCUGGGCAUUCGUGCGGGCGUUUCAGAUUAUAUGAGCACAUUUGGGACUACCGGCCUCGGUAGACGUGUUCCUCUUCCUGUUCGAGGCCAAGAACCCUGGAGAUCGCCUUUGGGUGAGCCUGAACAGGAUUGCUGGGAGGUCGAUCCUCUCUAUCUUCCAGCAAUCUUACAAGGAUUGAAAAGGUAAAUUCGUCCAAGUGUGCCAGAAUGAUCGGGACACUUCGCUGCUCGACGGCUUUCCCUUGUACUGGGUAAACAAGGGAAAUAAAGACUCCAAGGGAAGCUUUAGAAAGCCAAGAAGCCCCGAUAACAUGGGCGCUUUGGACAAGGACCUGUGCCUCUUCUGGAAGAGCGUGGCAACUGCGAACAUUACCUUUCUUACUUCUGCAAUCAUCUCCUUCGAGUUCUUCGAGGGCCAACUCGAGGCUCGCAUAGGUUAGUGCUUACCUUAACACCUAAGUUAUUGCCCUGUGCUGCACCUCUGUUAUCUGUUACUGGGCGUCUUGUCCGUUGCGCGCUAUACUUGGUCUUUAUUUUCUGCACCACUUGUUUGUCUCAUUUGCAUACUUACCCAUGUGUUUAUCUUUGCCUUUGAGCUGACCUGUAUACCUUCGCAUUAUGCAGAUCUCAUGUUGGGUAAAGGCAAACUAGCUGAAUUGAGGGCGCUCGCCCGAGCUCAUGGGUUGGCGUCGGGCUCCCAGACUGUGCCCAACUCAGUGGUGGAGAUCGCUGCUGCUCAGGGCAAAUCGCCCCCUCAAGGCCCAGCUCCUUCAAAAGCCUUGCCCGCCCAACAACGCCAAAAACUCAUCCUCAGGAAGCCAAAGAGGAAAACUCCUCAGGUGGUGAGUGAUGAAGNNNNNNNNNNNNNNNNNNNNNNNNNNNNNNNNNNNNNNNNNNNNNNNNNNNNNNNNNNNNNNNNNNNNNNNNNNNNNNNNNNNNNNNNNNNNNNNNNNNNACGUGUCUAGGCGGCUCGUUGACUGGACGACGCUCUGUGGCAUUUACGGCACCUUCUUUACCACCUGCUCCACCUCCUCUUCCAACACCAGCACCGCCUUCUCCGCCAGCUCCAACUCCAACACCACCUUCUCCCCCGGCUCCAACAUCGCCAGUCCAAGCAGUGCCUUUGGCGGCUGCAUUUCCGGCGGUUGAGGCUACUGAGCCCAACUUCAUGGAGAACCCUCCGAGCGCCUCUACGCCGUUUGUAUCUGCUGGAGGUGGUCCUCCUUCAACAGCCUCAAUUGCGGAAGCUGCACCAGGCGGGGAUGAAGGUGCUCACAACUCACCCAUCAUCAUCACUAAGUCCCCCACGUCACCACCACGCCAAGAAGCUCCAAUUCAACAACCAGUCCAAGAGGGCGGUGGCGAGAGCCAGCACCCAGCUCCUUCAGCGCCUCCACCACCAGCGGUUGCCAACCUUCCCCUUGCGGUUAAAGGGAUGUGGGAACCCUUCUUAGCGAAACUCAAAAUGAUGGCAGAGGACCUCCCCUCCAUCAUAUCAAAAGUUGUGGAGAGUUCCAGCAAGAAACUUCAGGACGACAUCUCCGUGCUCCAAGAGGAGAAUUGCCUAAUAAGGAUCGAGGCGGAGAAGUUGUCCUGCAACCUUAUGCUGGCAGAGAUCGACCACUCGCGAGUGGAGGACGCCAUGAGCACCGAACUGAGGGUGGCGUGCAAGGAAGCCAUCGAUCUACGCCAUAGGGUGCACCUCUUAGCUCNNNNNNNNNNNNNNNNNNNNNNNNNNNNNNNNNNNNNNNNNNNNNNNNNNNNNNNNNNNNNNNNNNNNNNNNNNNNNNNNNNNNNNNNNNNNNNNNNNNNGUCCCCUACCGUCUCAAGGUGGCUGACCUGGAGCAAAACGGGCCUUAACUCUUGCCAUCGCUUGAAUUUCUUCUGAUCGCCAAAGAUUCUUGGCGAUGCCAGCUUCCUCUUGCCUUCAUAGUUUGGCCAUUGUUCCCUCAUCUGGGGGUAGAGGCGCCUUUCGGAUCCUUCUCUACCUUCCCUGACUUUCGGGACAGUAAGUUGGAUAGCUAAGUGUUCUCUUCGAACCUACCUUAGCUAUCCUUUAAACUUCUUCCACCCUCCACACCGUACCUGAACUCGUUCGAGACGAGAAGGAUUUUAUCUUGCCUGAACUCGCUCGACGGCGAGAAGGUCUUUAACUCGCCUGAACUUGCUCAUCAGUGAGAAGGUCUUUAACUCGCCUGAACUCGCUCAUCGGCGAAAAGGUCUUUAACUCGUGCCUCUACAUUGCCCCAGGGGCUACAUCUUCUCUCCCCUAGAAGCACUGAGGACUUUUUACUCUUUCUCGCCUGCACUCGCUCGACGGCGAGGAGGUCUUUAUCUCUUUCUCGCCUCAGGACGCGCGAGGGCGUUGAGGUCUUUUAACUGGUGCCUCCGAUCGCCGAAAGACGACGAGGACUUUAAACUUUAACUGAUGCCGCUGCCGAAAAACGAUGGGGACUUAGAAUCUUUUUUAGAAAGCAUGCGACAUAACUUCAAAACUCGCCUUAAAUCACAUAUAAGCGACAAGGUCUUUCUUCAAAACUUUCGAAAAAACAACAAGCAUGCAAUCUAAAAUACUUCAAACUUUGAAAACUCUUCUUUAUUGGGUGGCCUCAUUAAAAACCCUCCUUAGGGAAAAAGAGUGCCCCCUUCAAACUGUUUCAACAGAAAGCUUGCAAACUCUUUGUGUUUGUCUUUACUUACAAAGCUUUUAACUGUAAUAUAAUUUCAGGUGUGUGGCGUUCCAGGUGCGAGGAAUCGCCCCUCCUUCCAACGUUUCUAAGCGGUAGGCGCCGUUCCCGAGCACCUCGGUUAUCCUGAACGGUCCCGUCCACUUAGGCGACAACUUGUUCUCCAUCUCGUACUGGUGGGCCUUCCUCAUCACCAGGUCGCCUUCUCUGAACUGCCUUGGCAUCACCUUCGAGUUAUACCUCCGUUCAAUCCUUCUUUUUACUGCCUCAGCUUUCAUUUUUGCCUCCUCCGUGACCUCAUCCAGCAAAUCCAGAUUCAGCCUUCUUUCUCAAUUCGAGUCUUCCGCUACAAAGUUCUGGAAUCUCGGCGAGCUCUCCUAGAUUUCUACUGGAAUCAUUGCGUCGCAUCCAUAGACCAGGCUAAACGGGGUCUCAUGGGUUCCUGACUGCUCGGUGGUGUGGUACGCCCAAACUAUACGGGGUACCUCCUCAGCCCAACUUCCUUUGGCUUUCUCUAGCCUUCUCUUCAAACCUCUUAGCAACACCCGAUUGGCUGACUCUACUUGGCCAUUCGUCUGAGGGUGCUCGACAGAUGCAAAUACUUGUUGAAUUCCCACCCCUUCGCACAGCUUCUUCAACAGGUGACUUGCAAACUGAGUUUCGUUAUCUGACACCAGGCGCUUGGGCACACCAAACCAGCACACGAUGUUCUUCCACACAAAGCUCUCGAUCUUGUGCGCGGUGAUCUGGGCCACUGGUUCUGCUUCGAUCCACUUGAUGAAAUAUUCAAUCGCCACCACCAAGUACUUCAUCUGCCUGAUCGCCAAUGGAAAGGGUCCCAGAAUGUCGAUCCCCCAUGUAUGAAACGGCCAAGGGCUGUAAAUCGACUUCAACUCCUCGGGAGGCGCCUUGUGCCAAUCGGCGUGCUGCUGACAUUGCUUGCAACACUGUGCAUACUUCUUGCAGUCUUCUCUCAUUGUUGGCCAGUAGUAACCUACACGGAGAGUCCUUGCGGCCAGAGCUCGACCCCCGACGUGGCUUCCACAAAUCCCUUCAUGGAGCUCGGCCAUGAUUCUUGUACAUUUCUCUCCGUGCACACAUUUCAGGAGUGGGUGUGUGAACCCAAACCUAUACAACUCGCCAUCAAUCAUUGUGAACUUGCUAGAAUUCUUCUUUAUCUUCCUAGCCUCCGUCGGAUCCAGCGGAAGAAGGCCAUCCGCCAGGCAUCGCUUGUACUGUGUUACCCAGGUGUCUGGCUCAUGGGUCGUGCAGACCUGCGUCAUGUUCACCUUCUCUCCCCGACAUGCUCUUAUUCUUGGCGACCUCAAGGUCUCCUGAGUCAAAGACCUGUGACUCCUCGCCGCUCUCUCCGUCGAUUUGCUUAUCUGAAGAACCAGGUGAUCUGCCACAAAUGCUCUGGGUGUCUUCAGAGUUUCUUGGAUCACCGUCCUCUGCCUACCCCCCUUGCCUGAACUGGCGAGCUUGGCUAGCAAGUCAGCUCGGGCAUUCUGCUCUCUGGGCACAUGCACCACUUCAAAGGAGACAAAGGAACUCUUCAACUCUUGUACAUACUCCAGGUAAGCCGCCAUUUGUGGAUCCUUGGCCUGGAACUCGCCUGUUACUUGCCCCGUGACUAACAGCGAGUCACUCUUAGCCAUUAGCACCCUAGCCCCCAUUUCCUUGGCCAACAAGAUUCCGGCGAUCAGUGCUUCACACUCUGCUUGGUUGUUGCUGGCUUUGAAGGCAAACCUCAGGGACUGUUCAAUCAGCACGCCGUUGGGCCCUUCCAAGAUGACCCCAGCACCGCUACCCUGCUGGUUCGACGAUCCGUCCACCGAAAGCACCCAACGAAAGUCAUCCCCCUCAACUCGUGUUGCUCCUGACGAGAGCUCGACCACGAAAUCUGCGAAAAUCUGCCCCUUAAUCGAACCUCGGGGCUCAUACUUAAUAUCGAAUUCCGACAGCUCCACCGCCCACUUCACCAUCCUCCCAGCAACGUCGGGCUUCUUCAGGACCUUCUGGAUGGGCAAGUCGGUCAUCACCAGGAUCAUGAAACUGUGGAAAUAGUGGCGUAACCUUCUCGCCGAAAAAACCACUGCCAGUGCAGCUUUCUCCAAGGCCUGAUAUCUCACUUCGGGGCCCUGCAGCACCUUGCUGACAAAAUAAAUAGGCUUUUGAGCCUGAUCUUGGUCUUGGGCGAGCACCGCACUCACCGCCCUCUCAGUCACAGCAAAGUACAGCCUGAGAGGGGUUCCCACCAGCGGUUUGCACAAAACCGGCGGGCUCGCCAGGUACUCUUUAAGCUUGACGAAGGCAUCUUCACACUCCUUCGUCCAGGCAAAUUUGUUGUUUCGCCUUAAACAUUGAAAAUACGGAUGGCCCUUCUCCCCGCUGGCUGACACGAAACGAGACAGGGCGGCCAUCCGACCUGUAAGUUGCUGCACUUCCGUCAUGGUAGCCGGGCUUCUCAUCGCCAAGAUGGCAGCACACUUAUCAGGAUUGGCUUCUAUUCCUCUUUCAGUCAAGAGAAACCCCAAGAACUUUCCCGCCUCCACGCCAAAGAUGCACUUCUCAGGAUUCAGCUUUAACCUAAACUUGGCGAUCGUAGUGAACAACUCCUCCAAGUCUGCAACGUGCUUGCUCUUCUCCGGCGAGGUCACGACCAUGUCAUCCAUGUACGCUUGCACGUUCCUUCCCAGCAUUGGUGCAAGUACCCGAUCCAUCAACCUCUGGUACGUGGCCCCCGCGUUCUUCAGCCCAAAUGGCAUCACCUUGUAGCAGUAGCACGACCUCUCGGUCAUGAAGGCAGUCUUCUCUUCAUCCGUGGGAUGCAUCUUGAUCUGGUUAUACCCCGAGAAGGCAUCCAGGAAGCUCAACAGCUUACACCCUGCAACACUGUCCACCAGGCCGUCUAUGCUUGGCAAAGGAUACGAAUCCUUUGGGCAAGCCUUGUUCAGAUUGGUGAAAUCGACGCACAUGCGCCAUUUCCCAUUGCUCUUCUUCACCAGCAUGACAUUAGCUAGCCACUCAGGGUACUGGACUUCCCUGAUAUGGCCUGCAGCGAGGAGCUUCUGGGUUUCAUCCCUGAUCGCCUGCCUUCUCUCCUCGUUGAAUUUCCUUCUCCUCUGUCGCACUAGCCUGACCUGGCUGUCCAUUGCUAGAUGAUGGCACAAGAAGUCGGGGUCAAAUCCCGGCAUGUCUGAAGCAGACCAUGCGAAAGCGUCCAGAUGCCGCUCUAUCACCUUGGCAAUCUGGUCUUGGAGCUCAGUCUCCAAGGAUCUUCCCAACUUGAAGACCUUUCCCCCGAUCUCCCUUUCGAGCCAUUCCUCGACGGGUUUGGGUCUAGCUUCCCUGGCGAUCACCGCCCUGGCGAUUCCCAGCUCCCUCGCUUCCUCAGGGCGAUUCCUCGCCUCUUCUUCCCGCUCGGCGUUCUCUCCCUCAUCCUCAGCAUCCAUCAUGGCGACGUCUUGCCCAGCGGCCACCUCCAUCGCUGCACCACCAACCCGCCACUCUGUUGGCUUGGGCUUCACGCCGGGAGGCGGCGUCGUUGUGAUGUAACUCACUGACCUCUUGUUUUUCAGGCUAUUCUCAUAGCACUUCUUCGCUUCUUUCUGGUCAGAUUUGAUGGUGAUCACCACCCCUUCCAUCGAUGGCAACUUCACCUUCAUGUGCCUGGUUGAAGGCACAGCUCCUGUUCUGUUGAGUGUUGGUCUUCCCAACAGAAUGUUAUAUGCUGAGGGAGCGUUCACGACGAGGUACUUGAUUUUCUCUGUUCUCGAGCCCGCCUCAUCCGUGAAAGUAGUUCUCAACUCUAUAUACCCCCUGACCUCCACCUGAUCGCCAGCGAAGCCAUACAAGCACCCUCCAUAGGGCCUCAGCUAGUCAAGGGGCAACUGCAACUGUGUGAAAGUCGGCCAGAACAUGACAUCUGCCGAGCUUCCUUGGUCCACUAGUACUCUGUGGACCUUCCUUCUGGCCGUAACAAGCGAGAUGACUAUCGGAUCGUUGUCGUGAGGCACAACGUCCCUGAGAUCUUCCCUCGUGAACGUGAUGUCCACGUCUGGUGAGUGGUCCUCAAACAUGUCCACCGUCAUCACAGACCUCGCAUACUUCUUCCUCUGUGACGCGGUGCAUCCACCACCCGAGAAACCUCCUGCAAUGGUGUGGAUCUCUCCGUGGGUAGGCAUCUCGUGCUGCUGAGCCUCACCACCUGUUGGCUGGGAGCUCGACGCGCCCCCCGUCCUUCUAUCCAGCAAGUAAUCGUUUAGGAACCCGCUCUUGACCAGAUCGUCGAGCUGGUAUCCUAAGGCCAAACAUGAGUCCACGGUGUGGCCAAAGCCCUGGUGGAAUUCGCACCAGGCGUCUGGCUUUGGUCCCAACACCUUGUCGCCCACUUUCUCGGGCGCCUUCAGCCUAGCUGAUAUAUUGGGAAUGGCGAUCAGGUCCGCCAACCCCAUGACAAACUUAUGCUUCGGCGGGCGAUUGUACUCCCGACGUGCCGGUUGAGGGCGCCCUGGGCCCCUGCCCUUGUUCUUCCUUGGAUCAUAAGGAUGGCGAGUCCUCUGAUCCCUCUUGGUCGCCGCUGUCUCCAGCACCCUCUGUGGCUGGAUCCUGGUCUGGGCGCGUGGCCUAGCGGGGGCCACGCUUCCCCUCUUCUCGGCGACCUCACUUUCAUCGGCGAUGUGGGCCACCGCAAGUCGCCUAACCUCAGCAAACGUCGCGGGGUGAGCCCUGAUCAACGCCUCGCAGAAGGGUCCCGGCAGCACGCCCUUCUUGAACGCGUAGACCAACAUCUCUUCGUCCUUGGCCGGCGAGCGGACCAUCUGCGCCCCAAAACGAUUCAAGUAGUCCCUGAGGGACUCUCCCUGGUACUGCCUUAUGUCGAACAGAUCAUAAGACACCCUAGGCGGCGCCUUGUUCACUAUGUACUGCUCAACGAAGAUCUUCGAAAACUGUUGGAAGUUGGUUAUGUGGCCUGUAGGCAGGCUCACAAACCAUUCCAGCGCUGUUCCCUGGAGUGUGCUCACAAACAUCUUGCAGUACACAACAUCCGAUCCUCCUGACAGCAUCAUCUGCGUGUGANNNNNNNNNNNNNNNNNNNNNNNNNNNNNNNNNNNNNNNNNNNNNNNNNNNNNNNNNNNNNNNNNNNNNNNNNNNNNNNNNNNNNNNNNNNNNNNNNNNNACAGCUUUCACGGGUACUACACUCGCAGGGUUAGGCGUGUCUGUAAUCGCCUGAGCGAAAGGCAUGGGAAAAACGCGAGGCGGCGUUGACGGGGCGACCUCUUCAGCGACUGGGCGCCCUCGCUGCUCCUGAAGAGCUUGGCGCAAUUCCUCAGUAACUCUGCUAAGCUCUUCAUUCCUGGCCUGAGAGGCGACCAGGUCCUCGUGCAUUUUUGCCUGCUCUAUGCGCGAGGCUUCCACAUUCGCCUGCAGCGAACGCAUGAUUUCCACCAUCUGCGCCAUAGUCAUGGCGCCUUCAGCAGCAACGGGCGCAACUGGACUUGAACGGUUGCUUCUCAUCUUUCUCAUGAAAACUUGACAGAUCACAAAGAGCGACAAAAAACACCUUCUUCAGCGACGAUCGAUUCAGCGAUCACUAGGUCAGAACUUCACAAAACUCCAAAGAGCUUCAAGAACGCAACCUCAACAGCAAACCUUCACAGAAACUCACGACUCCACCACAAACCACCGUUUCCUCCACGAAAACCCAAACGAGCGACGAAACUCAGAUCUUACCGAUUAAAACACGCGUAAGCAGCGAAAAACCUCACCUCACCGAACAAGAACUCAAACGAACGGUGGAAAACGCGAAACUACCGAACAAAACUUAGAUGAACGGCGGAAUAUGGUUGCACCAGCACACAACCACAAAGAAACUGCAGAAACUUCCAAGAACUCACGUUGUGGAUGGGAACAGGUUUUACACGGCCCCACGGUGGGCGCCUGAUGAUCCUGCCUAUUGACCAAAACACUAGAGCCUUGCCUCGUCAGUCCUGAAUCGACUUCUGCGCCGUGUUAGCCUCCGUCCUUCACCGCGAUCCACCUCAAGAACCUGCAAAAGACAGAACAGCGCCGCUACGGCCGAUCACGCUCCGACGCCCAAGUCAGCGACUGAACCACCAAUUACUAAGAGAAACUCAAGAACUCUAAGGAACCGUGCAAAGUUCUCUCUCAGCGUACUCAAAACUCACAAGCGUAAAGAAGUAAUCUAAAUGUGCGUACCUCAGAAGUUCAUUAGAAACUCUUAUAUACCUGCGCACUUUCUCUCUCCAGACAGUUACACUUCUGGACACGUGGCUCGCAUCCAGCUCUACACGUGUCACCAUCUGGAGCAUCCUUGACUUGGGCGCCACUUCUUACUCUUCAGGUUUUUUGGCUAAGUUACUUAUGCAUGACACAACUCAGUGCAUAGUUGCCUUGGAGCGUGAUCUCUUCUGAGUGGCGAGUUCGGGUGCCUUCGUACACACAUUCCCUGUGGUCUCGCCGGCCGCCUUCAUGAUCUACUCUUCCUACUUCACCGUGUAUGUUCAGAUAAGCUGUCCCCCGACCUUAUCCUCUAGCUAGCUUAGGAAAUGACUAUCUGACUUUAUCUUCGGCGAUGUCCCUGUUUCGGCGAUUUCUAAUCACUUGGUCGCCUGGGUUCACAUCUGGCGACUUCAUCUUCAACCCGGUGACCGCCGGUUUAGGUAUGCUGGAGAUCGGAGCACGCCAACUUAACAACCAGCGACUACACGAGCCCCCCGACUUCCUUCCCUUCUGCCAGCCAGGUGUCCCGUCCAACACGCCUAUAUAAUAGCUUGAUGCCUCGUCAUCACUUCCGACUACUAGGGCGAUACAAAAACCUUUUUGAAAUCAAGUGUUUUUCCAACUAAGUGAAAAACAACUUGUUAUUUUGUCGAAUCAACUGGUUGUUUUACUCUUAGGAGUUUUGAAAAGGUUGAAAACUAUUUUAGUUUGGUUGACUUAACUGUCAAGCCAAACAAUCGGUUGUUUCGUGGUUUCAACCGAUUGUUUCUUUGAAAAGCCUAACAAAAUUAUGUUUUGAAUGUUGAAUCUGCUUUAAAUGUUUUUCAACUGAAUACGCUCCUUCAUUAACCAAUGUGUUGAAAGUAUAAAUGGUUUGUUUAUGUUUUCAAACAAAAAGAAGAAAACAAAUUUGAUUUUUCAGUUUGAGAAAUUUUGUUUCUAAGAUUUGAACAUUCACAUCAAGCUUUGGUUCCCCCACACCCCCCCCCCCUCUCAUUUAAGGCCAUAUAUUCUAACAAAGAAAGGUGAGAUACUUGGGGAAUAAUAUGGCACUCAUGACACCCAACCAGGGAGAUAGGAUGGAGGAUAUUAUCAGAAUCAAUAAAUAGUGGUUCGAAAGUGUUUUCGAGGUUAUAGAGCCAUGGUCUGAUGCACAUGUAACAGGUCACAAAGUCAUAUGGGUUAGAUGUUAUGGCCUCCCUAUAUCUUUAUGGAAUAGGGACUGUUUUUCUAAAGUGGUAGGGGAGGUAACCUCCUCGGUGGAUGUCGAUAAAGCAACGGAAGAGGGGGAUAACCUUGAGUAUGCCAGACUCCAGGUGCGCACCCUUAAAUCGUGCAAUGUGAGAUUAAAAAAGGGGAUGAAGAUCAAUGGUCAAAUCUUAAAUAUAUACAUGGAAGAAGAGCAACCUAAUUUCUUAGAAGGUAAAUGCAAGUUCACGUAUAAUCACUAUGCAUCCUCAAACAGCGUAACCUCAUCAGAAUCCUUCGUGGAGGGAACUAACUUAUCGGAGAAGAGUGUUGAUGAAGAGGGCAAGCUAGGGGAGGAGGAGCUGCGAUGGCCGAAGGAAUUAAAGGAAGGUGGGAAAGGUAACACACCAAAUAAGACAAAAUUUUCGAAUGAGAAGGAAGGGGAAAUGCAAGAUAAUCAGGGGCAGGAGAAAGGUGUCAGUGCUUACAUGAAUAAGGCAAAGGAGUUGAAGGAAAAUUUGCAGGGGUUGCUGCAGGGGAAUCAGCUUUGUCCGUAUCCCAUAUGGUCAACAUUGCAUGCAAAAGUAAUUUUGUUCAAGAAGCGUUAACCAACCUACUUGUAGCUUUGGAGGCAUCAAAUUGUAGCAAAGCUAAAAAGUGUGUGGGCCACGAGGGGUACGGGAUGAUGGCCCAUCAGGAGAGAGGGGUAGAGCCCAUACGGGAAGAAGAUAGCCCACACUAUGUAUCCAAUGCCUCCGCCCAUUCGACGUCUGGUACAAAUCGAAGGGAGGCAGAAGGGGACAUGGAGUGCGACAUGCAUCUAUCAACGUUGUGUGAAGAUGGGGCUGACAAAGAGAAUUUGCAUGGGGAGGAUUCCGAAGAAAAUUCUAGAUGGGAAAAAAGGUGUGUAGAAAAUAGAUAGUCUGGGAGGAGAGAGGUUGCUAUCGGCCGAUUAGAAGGGGACUCGGUGCAAGGGGAGAAGUGCGUUACAGAUUCCAACAGCGACGACAGAUCUAACCAAAGGGGCGGUGACAACCAGGAUGAACAAAUUGCGACUCUUGGUGAAGAAGAAGGCGCAAAGGAGGCCAGCUAUGUAAUACCAAUUAGGCAUAGAAGGCGUAAAGGGCUGUGGGAGUUGGGAAAAUCCAGUAGGAGGUCGCAGGGAAAAAUCCGACUUGAAGCAGUAAACAUAUCCGAUGAAAGUUGUAGAGAUUCAAGGGUCAAUAAAAUCUCUAAUAUUGUGUCUGAUGGAGAUAUUGCUAAAGGAAAUAGCAGAUGUAGGAAGGAUGGAAAAGAGGAAGAACCACUUGAUCUUUGGGUGGCUGGAAAAUGGCUCGGGGUUGCUUGUCAAGAGGAUGAGGAUGAUGUGGUUAAGGAAAUAGAAAAAUGGAAGCAAGAGAUCUUGAGGUUUUGAAGAAGCAUGAGGAGGGAAAUAAGGGGAGUUUUAUAUGAUCAUAGCAAACUUGAAUAUAAGAGGAGCGAGAGGGGGAACCAAGGCUAAAUACUUGAAAAACAUUAUUUUUAAGGAGUGGGUGGAAGUGGUGUGUCUACAAGAAACCCAAAUAACUGAGUUUUCGAAUGCGCGUUGCUUUGCUUUGUGGGGGAAUAAUGAGAUGGGUUGGAUACACAACGAAGGUAUAAGCGGGGCUGGAAGCAUGUUAGUAAUGUGGCACAAACAAGCAUUCAUAUGUGAAAGGCAUGUGGAGGGUAGGGGGUUUAUUGCAAUAUUCGGCCAGCAUACUAGCACAAAGCUAAAAUGCGUGGUGGUUAAUGUGUAUGCGGCUUGCAAUAUGACUGACAAGGUGGCCUUGUGGGAGGAACUAACAAAUAUGAAAAAUACCAAUCUGAUCUGAGCAUGGUGUUUUUGUGGAGAUUUUAAUGCGGUUAGAUGUGCAGACGAAAGAAAAGGUGUAGGAGAAAGGGGUAGCCAAAAGAGUGAGAUCAAAGAUUUUAAUAAUUUCAUUGAAAGGAACCUUCUGGUGGAACUGUCGGUAGUGGGCAAGAAGUAUACAUGGUUCAAGGCGAAUGGUACAAUAAAAAGUAGACUAGAUAGAGUGUUGGUGUGUGAUGAUUGGCUACACAAAUGGCCUAUGGAAAAACAAUACAUCCAACCAAGAGAGGUGUCGGACCAUUGUGCAAUAGUGGUGAAAUGUGUCUCAAAAGAUUGGGGACCCAGACCCUUCAGGACAAUAGAUUCUUGGCAAAUGGAGCCCAAAUUCAAGGACAUGGUAAAAGCUAAGUGGAGUUCGUAUGCAGUUCAAGGAGACAACAUAACAAAGCUAAAAAACAAGUUGAAAUGUCUUAAGUGGGACCUCAAAGUAUGGAAUAGAGACGUUUCUGGACAUUUAGCACUGAGAAGAAAAGGGUUUUGAAGGAAAUUGAGGUUCUCGAUAACCAAGAUGAUGGUUAAGGAAGUUGUGUGGAUGUGUGAGGGGUCAAAAAGCCCAGGCCUAGAUGGCUAUAACUUCAACUUUAUUAAACACAAUUGGGAGGCUCUAAAGCAGGACAUCUUAGAUGCAGUACACUUCUUUCAAGACUCUGGACGCAUGCCAAAGGGGAGUAAUGCAUCGUUCAUAGCACUUGUGCCCAAAGUGAAGGAUCCUCAAUGUUAGAUCAUCACAGAUCCAUAUCUUUUGUGGGUUCUCUCUAUAAAAUUAUAUCCAAAGUGUUGUCCUGUCGUAUGAAGAAAGUGCUAGCCUCGGUCAUUGAUGAAUGUCAAUCAGCCUUUCUGAAGGAUAGAGGGCUUCUUGAUAGUGUAUUAGUACCUAACGAGGUUAUUGAUGAGCUAAGGAGGUGUGGUAGCAGAGGUUUGUGUCUAAAAAUUGACUAUGAGAAGGCGUACGAUUCAGUGAGUUGGGCUUUCCUAUUUGAGAUGUUGCAGAGGCUGGGUUUCCAUACGAAAUGGAUCUUGUGGAUUAGAGGUUGUUUGGAAUCUGCAACAGUGUCAAUCUUGGUUAAUGGAAGUCCUACUUCAAAGUUCAAAGUCUCUAGAGGGUUGAGACAAGGAGACCUCCUAGCACAUUUCCUGUUUAUUGUGGUUGCUGAAGGGUUAACUGGGCUUGUUAGGUAGGCACUGAGAGCCAAUGUGCUUGUAGGAAUCUAGGUGGGUAGGAAGGAGGUCGAUGACAGCAUACUACAAUUCGCUGAUGAUACCUCUUCCUAUGUGAAGACUCAUACUCUAACGUAUUCACUAUAAAAGCAAUACUCAGGUGCUAUGAAUUGGCCUCGGGAUUGAAGAUCAACUUCCAUAAGUCAAAGCUUGUAGGAAUCAAUGUUGGAAUUCAGACCCUUGAGGUUUAUGCAAAGAGCUUACAUUGUACUAUAAUGAGGGUACCCUUUAAAUACUUGGGGCUGGAAAUAAGAGGAAAUCCCAAGAAGAAAAAGCAUUGGGAGCUGAUUAUAGAAAAGAUAAACACAAAGCUUAAUGGUUGGAAGGGGAGUUUUUUGUCUAUGGCUGGCAGAAUAUGCCUAAUUAAAUCAGUAUUUACAUCUCUAACGUUAUAUUACUUUUCCUUCUUCAAGGCGCCUAAAACGGUGUGUGAUAGAAUUAUCAGUAUUCAAAGAAGAUUCAUGUGGGGCUGGGGAAGGGAGAACAGGUCGAUACCAUGGGUGAGCUGGGAGAAAAUAUGCAGUCCUUUGGAGAAGGGAGGGCUGUUAGUUAAAGAUGUUAAGAAAUUCAAUGGUUCUCUUUUAGCGAAGUGGAAGUGGAGGCUUAUGAGAGGAGAAAAGGGAUUGUGGAAAGAAGUCUUGUUGUCUGAGUAUGGUAUGGACCUAGAACAAAGUCGUAGCAAUGAGAAGAAAUACUCUUGGUGGUGGAGAGACCUAUGUAAGAGUUGUGGUGAGGGAGAAGAUGUAUGUUGGUUUCAUAGUGCAAUUGGUUGGAAGUGGGGAUAAGGUGAGAUUUUGGGAGGAUGCAUGGGCUGGCAGUAGAUCUCUACGAAAUAUUUUCCCUAUGCUCUUUUCGUUAUCGGUCAAAACUGUAAGAAAGUAUGGCUUUAAACUAGAGGGGGGUGAAUGGUUUAAAGAGGGUUUUCGCAAACUUUUAAGUCUAGAAUGAAAUUACUUUGAGAAAACUUGAUUCAGAAUUCAGUUUUCCAAAAACACAAAGCAAUUUAGCACAGCACCAGAGAAACAAUCGGUUGUUUCGCAGAAACAAUCGGUUGUUUAUACCAGUUCACAAUAUAAACUGAAAUUAAACAGUUCAAGGGAUAGAAAGAUUGAACGCACAGGUUUACACUGGUUCACUCUUAACCAAGAGCUACAUCCAGUCUUCCCAGAAACCACUGGGGAAUCCACUAAGCAAUCAACCCUAAAUUACUUACAACACCACCAAAGAAGUGACCUUGAUCCCCUCAAGACACACACUUCCUUUGGCUCAGCACAAACACCACUAAGAAUGUUGAUCUUGACAACCUCAAGAACACACAGCACUUCUCAGCUUCACACACAGAGUUUCUUCAAAGUACAAAAGGAUUACACUUGUUACAGAAAGAUUUGAAAUCAAUACAAGAUGAAAAUCCUAUUCCACACUCUCUUGAUCCAAGCAAACUUCAACUCUUCAAAAGCAAAAUCAGUGAAAAACUCAAAUCUGUUUUUCUUUGAUUAAAUCCCAAUUCUUGUUUGUUACACAAACAUAACAAACUAUUUAUUGCUUUCAAAGACUGGUCAAAGCAUUUAAAACUGGAGCGUUAUCAGUUAUAAAAUCAUUUAAUGCUCAGUCAAAGCACAAAACAGUUUUCUGUUAUGGUCCCAAAACAAACAAUCGGCUGAAUACUUGAAUCAAUUGGUUGUUUUGGUUUGACAGCAAGUCAACCAUCAAAAACAGUUUUCAACCUUUCUAAAAACACCUAAGUAUAAAACAAUCGGUUGUUUCGACAAAACAACAUGUUGUUUUUCACUUAGUUUGAAAAACACUUUCAAUUAAAAGGUUUAAGAAUGCUUAAGCUUUGGAUUCAAUCAAGAGUGGAUUUACACAGAAAAUCUACCCCGGAUCCUAUUCUAAAACACCUUUGCAACAGCAAGCACAACCAGCCUCCCAUCAAACUUCAAAGGGGUUUGGAUUCUUCAAAGCUUGAACACACUUGAUUCUACAAUCUCCCCCUAUUUGAUGAAGACAAAUCCUUGGUUGCUUGUGUUGGAUUUGAUUGAAUCUGAAGCAGUUCCUGCAAAAAUAGCAUAUAUACAAUCCAUUGCUUCCUACAACAGCAGGUUAGAUUUUCACAUGUUCAAAACAAUAUUCCAGACAAACAAUCGGUUGUUUCUAUCAGCAUAAGAAAAAAUAGUUUUAAUAUCAGAGAUUUCAGCAGUUUUAAACACUUCCAGAGAAAAAUACACAAGAACCAAUCAAUUCUCCCCCUAUUUGUCUUCACAAAUAGACUCUAACAGGUAUUAAAACCGAUUUAGGAAAGAUUUUGAAGGUCAAGGAUACCUAACUCAUUUCUCAAAAAGAAGAACCUCUCUUUUGGUAAAGGUUUUGUGAAGAUAUCUGCUAGCUGCAGUUUUGUCUUGAAAAACUUCACUGCAAGUCCCCAUUGCUCACAUGAUCCCUGAUGAAAUGAUGGCGUAUCUCAAUAUGCUUAGUUCUUGAGUGCUGAAUCUGAUUUUUGGUAAGAUUGAUAGCACUUGUAUUGUCACACAUCAAAGGGACCUUGCUGAUUUGAAAUCCAAAGUCUGCAAGUUGUUGUUUGAGCCAUAGAAUCUGUGCAUAAAAGCUUCCAACAGCUAUGUACUCAGCCUCAGCAGUAGAGAGAGCCACAGAUGCUUGUUUCUUGCUAUGCCAUGAGAUGAGGCUUGAACCAAGAAGGUGGCAAGUGCCACUUGUGCUUUUCCUAUCUAGCUUGCAUCCUGCAAAAUCAGAAUCUGAAUAGCCAAUUAAAUGAAUGGGAGAGUGAGAAGGAUACCAUAACCCAACAAUUGAUGUUCCUUUGAGAUAUUUCAAAAUUCUCUUUGCAGCUUUGAAGUGUGACUCCUUCGGAUUUGCUUGAUAUCUUGCACAAAGACAUACCGCAAACAUAAUGUCCGGUCUACUUGUUGUUAGAUAGAGCAAAGAGUCAAUCAAACCUCUGUAUUUAGUUUGAUCUACCCCUUUUCCAACAGCAUUUGCAUCCAUGUAGUAGCUUGAUGGCAUUGGUGUGCUUGCUUCCUUGCAACUCUCCAUUUCAAAUUUCUUGAGAAUCUCUUUACAAUACUUUGAUUGGCAUAGAAAGAUUCCAUCCUUUGUUUGCUUAACCUGCAAUCCAAGAAAGAAAGACAAUUCUCCCAUCAUAGACAUUUCAAACUCACCUUUCAUAGCAGCCACAAAUUCUUCACACAAACUAUCUUGUGUAGCACCAAAGAUGAUGUCAUCAACAUAGAUUUGCACAAGGAUAAUUUCAGAAUUUGACUUUUUGAUUAAGAGAUUCUUGUCAAUCAUUCCCCUUUCAUAGCCAUGAGACAAAAGAAAGUUGCUAAGCCUUUCAUACCACUGCCUAGGAGCUUGCUUCAGCCCAAACAAAAACCUUUUUCAGCUUGAAGAUAUGAUUGGGAUAUUGGUGAUCUUCAAAGCCCGGUGGUUGAUCCACAUACACUUCCUCAUUGAUGUAUCCAUUUAAAAAGGCACUUUUGACCUCCAUUUGAAAGAGUUUAAAGCCACUCAUACAUGCAAAAGCCAGCAGCAACCUCAAAGCUUCCAAUCUUGCAACAGGAGCAAAGGUUUCACCAUAAUCAAUUCCCCCCUCUUGAUUGUAGCCUUUGGCAACUAGCCUUGCUUUGUUCCUUGUGAUCACACCAUCCUCAUCCAGUUUGUUUCUAAACACCCACUUCGAACCAAUGAUGUUCAUCUCAGCUGUUUUAGGGACAAGAAACCAUACCUCAUUCCUUGCAAACUGAUUCAGCUCUUCAUGCAUAGCUUCAACCCACUUUUCAUCCUUGAGAGCUUCAUCAAUUGACUUUGGUUCAAUUUAAGAGACAAAAGCAGUGUGCCUGCAGAACUUUGAGAUGGAGCUACGUGUUGAGACACCUUCCUUUAUUUGCCCAAUGAUGUUCUCCACUGACAGAUCUCUAAGAAUCCUCCAUUCUUGGGGCAACUCACUCUGCUGCAGAAUUUCAAUCGGUUGUUUGAAGGAAUCAACCGGUUGUUUUUCUGCACAGAUGUCCAGCUUCUCCAUACUUGUGUUCUGCUCAUCCUCUUCAGCACUAUUCUUCUAUAUUUGAAUGCUUUUGUGAUCCACUUCAUCAAAGACAACAUGAACAAACUCUUCUACAGUCAUUAGCCUCUUAUUGUAGAUUCUGUAUGCAUGACUAGUUAGAGAAUAGCCUAUGAAGAUACCAUGGUCAGCUUUUUCAUCAAACUUCCCUAGGUUUUCCUUUCCAUUGUUGAGAACAAAAUAGUUGCAACCGAAAACUAUGAGGUGAUUGAUGUUUGGCUUCCUUCCAUUGAAGAGUUCAUAAGGAGUCUUUUUCAGAAUUGGCCUAAUUAGCACUUUAUUCAUCACAUAGCAAGAGGUGUUAACUACAUCAACUCAAAAAUACUUAGGAAGAGAAUAUUCACUUAGCAUUGUUCUAACUAGUUCUUCAAGGGACCUGUUCUUCCUCUCCACCACACCAUUCUGUUGUGGAGUUCUUGGAGCUGAAAAAUUGUGCAGAAUUCCCAUCUUUUCACAGAACUUGCUGAACUUUUCAUUUUGGAAUUCACCUCCAUGAUCACUUCUUAUUGAGCCUAUGUUAUUGUUCUUUGUAUUUUGCAAGCUUCUUGAAUGCAGAGAAGGCAUCACUUUUUUAUUCCAAUAAGAGAGUCCAAGUGAACCUAGAAAAAUCAUCCACAAUAAUAAGAGCAUAAUAGUUUCCACCAAGGCUCAUGGUUCUUGAAGGUUCAAAACAAUCCAUGUGAAGUAGCUCAAAAGGUUUUCAAGAAGAAACAACAUUUUUUAUUUUAAAAGAAUUUUUCACUUGUUUCCCCUUUUGGAAAGCUUCACAAAUGUGGUCCUUCUCAAACUUGAGCUUUGGCAGCCCUAUCACAAGAUCUUUAGAAAUCAACUUGUUCAAGUGGUUCAUGUGAAUGUGAGCAAUUCUUCUAUGCCAAAGCCAAGACUCAUCAUGCUUGGAUAUAAGACAACCAAUUGAACAAGGUGAAGAGAUAUCUAGAAGAUAAAUUAUUGAUUCUCUUACCAAUCAACAUUACCUCUUUUGUGUUAGGAAGACAGAUUUUACAGGAGUUUAUUUUGAAGAUAACCUGAUCUCCUUUGUCACACAAUUGACUAAUGCUCAGCAGAUUGUGCUUUAAUCCUUCUACAUAGAGAACAUCAUGAAUGACCAAGAUAUUUUUGUCUCCUAUGGAUCCUCUCCCAAGAAUCCUCCCCUUAUUGUUGUGCUCAUAGGUAACGUGCCCUUCUGGCUUAAAGGAGAUGCUUAGAAACUUUGAUUUGUCCCCAGUCAUGUGCUUGGAGCACCCACUAUCUAGGUACCAUUGUUGCAUGCUCUCCUCCAAGGUUUCCUACAAAGAAGAUUUUCAAGUACAAAGAUUUGGUCCCCUUAUGAAAUGUGGGUCCAUUUGGUUUACAUUUAUCAUUUGAACCGUUACUACACUUGGGAAUCCACUUCAUAAAGCCCCUAGGAACAACAUAUUUUCUGAUUUUACAGAAUCUGACAGAAUGGCCUUUUUUCGUGCAGUAGAAGCAUGUAACAAUUGGUUGUUUCGACAGAUCAAUCAGUUGUUUUUCAGGCAGUUUCGAAAAUGACUUUGAAAAUCUAUCUUGCUUGUUCUAUGGGUUAAAACCCAAUCCAGCUUUUCCAAAAACACAGUUUUGAGAUGUCAAGACAUUCUCAAAGUUGGAUUGACCUUUAGAAAGCUUAUCCACAAUUUUAACAAGAUAAUGAAUGAACUUUCUUUUCAAGAUUUUCGCAAUUUUCACAAAUAAGAGUAUCACUCUUGCAAGAGGAGCUUUUGUAAACUAUUUCAAGGUUUUCAAAAUUUGUUUUUGAAUUUUCCAAUUCCUCUUCCAGUGUUUUGACUUUGUUUUCAAGCCAGCUAUUCAUUCCCUUUAACUGGUUUUUCAAGAAGGCCAAUCGGUUAGCUUCUUCAUGUGUUUCUUGAAAAGCUUGAAGCAAUUGACUGUAAUUUUCAGAGUUUGAGGAGUUAGAAGAACUUACACUACUUGAUUCAUCUUCCUUUUUGGCCAUGAAGCAGAGGUUGAGGCUUUUUCUGUUUUUCCUCCUUUUCCUUCGUGCUUGACUUCUUGAUCUUACUUCCUUUGAUUCAUUGAUGUUCCCAUGAGUAGCUUUGAGUGUGUCCCACAUCUCUUUAGCAGAUAUGCAUUUUGAUAUCCUGAAAAACUCAUUAGUAUCUAGUGCAUAAGCUAUUAUGUUUUGAGCAACACAAUCAAGCUUGGCCAUCUUACAUUCUUCAUUGGUCCAUUGGGACCAAGGUUUUGCAAUAAAAGAUCCAUUCUUUUUAAGCUUUGGAAUGAAAGGGCCAUUUUCGAUUGAAUCCCAAAUUCCUUGAUCAAUAGAUUCAACAAAGAUUUUCAUUCUAGCCUCCCAAUACUUAUAAUUCAAACCACAGAAUAAAGGUGGUUUGUGGAUUGAAGCACCUUCCUCAAAAGAUAGUUUUCCAGCCAUAGAAAAAGAUUUUCGGAUCAAACUUGAUUAUCUUUCAAGUACCAAGCUCUGAUACCAAUUGUAAGAAAGUAUGGCUUUAAACUAGAGGGGUGAAUGGUUUAAAAAGGGUUUUCUUAAACUUUUAAGUCUAGAAUGGAAUUACUUCGAAAAAACUUGAUUCAGAAUUCAGUUUGCCAAAAACACAAAGCAAUUUAGCACAACACCAGAAAAACAAUCAGUUGUUUAUACCAGUUCACAAUAUAAACUGAAAUUAAAGAGUUCAAGGGAUAAAGAGAUUGAACACACAGGUUUAUACUGGUUCACUCUUAACAAAGAGCUACAUCCAGUCUUCCCAGAAACCACUGGGGAUUCCACUAAGCAAUCAACCCUAAAUUACUUACAACACCACCAAAGAAGUGACCUUGAUCCCCUCAAGACACACACUUCCUUUGGCUCAGCACAAACACCACUAAGAAUGCUGAUCUUGACAACCUCAAGAACACACAACACUUCUCAGCUUCACACACAGAGUGAUAGAGAUCAAAUAAGGGAGGAUUUUACUAAUGGAGGAAGAGGUCAUUCACCCAAACAUUUGAAGUUCUUCCUUCUAGUCUUCUCAAAAAUUAAAGAAGAAUUAAAAUAAAGAGAGGACCAAACCUAAAGCCAAAAGAAGACUCAAGAAUGGGCUUCAAUUAAUAUCUCUCUUUAUAGUUUCUUUUGUAUAAAUUUGUUAAUAAUAUAGAAUAGUGUUUAGGUAGGUGCUAAGAGGGAAACCUAAAGAUACCUCUUGUGUAAAGCAUCUUUAGAUAUUAGCUUUAGAAAAUUCUAGAAAGAUAUCCCUUCCUCCUUCACUUUAGGCGCUAGAAGUGGAAGAGUUACAAGGGAACUUUAGUUAGCUUCUUUUGUAAGCCUCUUGUACUUUCAUGACUGGUCCUUCUCCUAUAUAAGGAGGACUUGAGUCUUUCUAAUACAGAUUUGAUAUUUUGAGUAAAGAAAUUCUCCCAAAUUGGUGAGUGAUAGAGAGACUUGUGUCUUUUCUUCUUCUAGUCUCAUCUUGAGUGCAUCUUGGAACCUCAAGUGGCGGCAUCUACACUCAUCUUGGAGCCUUACAUCCUUCAAGUGGCAUGUUCAUCUCCAAGAACUCCAACCACAUAAGUUCCCUAUUUCAUUUCAUCUUCUUCAUCCAUUUUCCCUUCAUUCCAAAUUACCCAUUUUUGUUCUACUUGUUUGUUUUCACUUUCAAUCGGUGCAAUCUCUUCCUUAUGAUGUCCUCUUUCAUUUGCUGUACUUUACAUUCUUGUAGUUACCUUUCUGUUUUAGGUUUAUUUUUGGGUAUUUCUUGUUGUUUUCUUGUUGUUCUUACAUUGUGUUUGUGUCAUUUUGAUUUGUGAAUCCUUAUUAGUUUUGUCAAAGUCAUGUUUCUCCCAAAAUGUUAUCAAUUCCAUGUGGUCCUUUUGUUGUAAUUUUUGUUUCUUGAUUUUGUGUUCAGUACAGUUUUAUGUGUUUGUUUCUUGAUCCUUUGGUGCAUUUUCUUGUGGUUGGGUAACCAAUUCUGGUAGGGUGGGUGUCCAGUUUUGCCACAGGUGUAAUAUAUGGCCCAUAUUACACCGAUUAAGCCAUCUAACUGGUGUAAUAUAGGGCCUAUAUUCAAAAACAUUUUGAUUUUUUUUUCAUGAAGAGUGGGUGGCCAUAAACGUCACAGAAGUGACAAUUUACAGGCACACGGGUAACCAGUUUUGCGUGUGCCAGUACAUGUGGAGGAACUUGUGGUUGGGUAACUAGUUCGAGUAGAGUGGGUGUCCAAUUCUACCAUGGGUGUAAUAUAUGACCCAUAUUACACCAGUUAAGCCAUCUAACCGGUGUAAUAUAUGCCCCAUAUUAAAAAACUUUAUAAAAAAAUUUUCAUGAAGAGUGGGUGGCCAUAAACGUCACACAAGUGACCACUUACAGACACACACAUAACUAGUUUUUCGUGUGCCAGUACAUGUGGAGGAACCUCUGGCUAGGAAACUAGUUCUGGUAGGGUGGGUGUCCAGUUCUACCAUGGGUAACCACGUGGUUAGCCCAAAGGGUAGUAAUGGCGAAAUUGAAAGUGAUUGAGGAGUAAGGGUGAGUUUUUAAUGUUGUGGGGGUGAUGCAAAAGCAAUUUCUGACUCAUUUGAGACAGUUGAUGCUGUGAAAAGUUGGUGGUCAUAAACAUAACACAGGUGGCCAGUUACACAAACACAAGAGUAACCACUUUGAUUGUGACAAUAGGUCUGCAAGAAGCUAUGUCGUAUAUUACACCGGUUGGCUCGAGUAACCGGUGUAAUAUAGGUCCAGUUCUGAUAGGUGAGUGAAGCCAAUGACAUUGAACACUUGAACAACAAACAAAAGAAGCAUCGGUGACCGCACAAGAAAGACGUUUAUGGUUUGUGUUUCGCUUGCUCUACUGCUUGGUUUGUGCUUUCCGCUACUUCUUUCUCUCUCCCUCCGACGAGGCCGCUGCUUCUUUCUCCCUUUCGUUCGAAACUUUUAUGCUUCCGUACCUGCACUCCAACGCUAAACCCUUACACUCUUACAAAAUUGCUCUCAGUGUCACAUCACUCCCAUAAGAAUUACAAAAAGUCCAACUGCCACAUCCUCAUCUAAUGCCAUGUCUACGGCGUCAAGUGUGUGUUAGUAGACAGAGGGUAUUAACAAAACAUUUUCGUAAAAAAAAUUAAAAUUGUUAGUGAAUAUUGAAAUGCAUUUUUGGUACAGGUAAAAGAAAUUGGUAUUGGUAAUUCUUUGAACAUGUUUUUGAUGCCCUCCUAGUACAAUGACUAUUUUUUUUUUCUGAAAUCUCUUAAUUAAUCCAUUUAUUACCACUUUUUUCAGGAUAAAUCUAAUUUUUUAAAAAUUCCAUAUUUAAACCAAGUCUCAAUUUAUUUAGAGUCUUAAAAUUGUUAAUUGAUUUCUGAAUUCAAUGAUGAAUUUACUAUUAAAUUUGCAUGCCGAUUUCUAUGCAUGUAUUUAAUAUAAUUAAUAUGAAAAUAUAAAUUUUUAAAUUAAAUAUAUUUAAAAAAUAAUUUUAAAAACAUAUUUAAAUUUUAAAAAUAUUAAUAUUUUCAAUGUUAUAAAACCUUUUAAAUUUAUGAAUACUAUAAAAAAAUGAUAAUAAAAGACGAUUAAUAAUAACCAUUUCAAAAUUAAUUUAAUGUAAAUGAAUAUAAUAUUUAAAAUAUUUAAGUUUAUAGUUAAUGAGAACUUUUGUCUCACAUAAAUCCUUUUCCAAAAAUAUUUCUCAAAUAAUUUAAAUAGAUAACAAAAUAAUUGAUAAAAAAAUAUACUUUUUACAUUUUAUUUAUCAUCUUUUAAGUAAUUAAUUAUAUUAAAAUUCGUUUGAAUUAGAAAAUAAAAAUACUUAAUAUAAAUUAAUAUUAAAUGGAUUUUUUAAUUUAAUUUUAAUAUAAAUUUUUAUUAUUUUUUAUAAUGAUUAAUAUAAAAAGUUAAUGAAACAAAAAGAUAAGCAAACAUAAAAACAAACAUAAUAUAAACCAGAUGUUAUGUUUAUUUAACCGAUUGAGUUAUUAUAAAAAUAAACUAGAAGAUAAUAGUACAGUUUAAAAGAUAGAGGUAGAGAGAAUCACACAAAAAAUUUAUAUUGGUUCACUUUUAACCAAGAGCUAUAUUUAGUUUCUAAUGAGAUACUGAGAUUUUACUAAAUCAAAAUCAAAAAUUACAUAAGAACUACGCACAAUAGCUUUGGUCCUUGAACCUUUCAAGAAAAACAAACUCUCAUAGACAUAACAGAAAAAUCAAAAACCCUAUCUGGAUUUGCCCUAAGAACAUAAUAUAAGAAAAUAUGAAACGAAAGCACCUGAGUCUUUUAUAGAAUAUGAAAACAGAGAAUUACAAACAUAGGAAACAUUUCUUCAGACAACAUGAUAAUCCAAGAUUAAAAAUAACCUCAAAGACUUUUUUUUGCAAUUUGUUUUCUCAAGAAAUUCAUUACUUUAAAAUGUUCAGAAAACACCUUUUAUAGGUUAUAAUGAUUGUCAAAAUCAGUUUUUCCAUUAAUGAAAAUAGUUGUGUCAAUUAAACCCAGAUUGAAAAUCAUAACAAAAUUUGUUAAAACAUUUAGUUGAUUCUUUAAAAUAAUUGACUGAUUUCAUUUAGAAGAAUAAAUUAAGUUUAAAACACUUGAUUUAUUUAUCGAAAUAACUAGUUCAUUUCAUUAAACUGAAAAUAAAAAAAGAUUUAAUAUUAAAGUCUUAAGGUCAAGUAUACAAAUAUUUCUUUUAAAUCAUUAAAAAAAAUUAGUAUUUUCAAUCAGUUGAUACGAUAAAUCAAUCUGUCAAAAUACUUUACUAAAGUCACAAGGCUUCAAUGUAAGUGAUUUUAACCGAUUAAAAACUUGAAUCAACUUAUUUAAAAACAUAACAAAUUUUAAAACAUUUUCUUAGAGAUGUCUUGAAGCAUAAUGCAUAGUGAUGAAUAUACUGCAAAAUCUACCUAAGCACACACAUGCACAACUUUGCAGACCAUGGUUGAGCUUUGAGCACAUCAAAUCCAUCCACUUUAGUGAACAAUCUCCCCCUAUUUGUUGAAGACAAAACAUUGAUGUUGUGUAGAUUUUGCAAAAGAUGAAGUCCUGCAAAACAAGGAAAUACCAAGCAAUCCAAACAACAUACGCAGAUAACACAAAAUAUUUAAAAUAUAAAACAAAAUCCAACAACAGUGUUUUAACAACAACCAUUUUUUUCUCCUCCAUUUGUCUUCAACAAAUAGACAAACUAUGGAGAGACUAAAAUAACAACAAAGAAAAUUUAAUCACCAUGAUGGUAGAGAAUUGACAGUUGCUCCUACAUUGCUUCAAUUUGCUGAUCAAGGUGUUCAAACCUUGCUUCAACCCUUUCAUAAUGUUCCUUCUGUGUUACAGAGAUAAAAUCAAGCUUGUUCACCAUGAAUCUUUUGAAACUUGAAAGCAUUUUACUUCUUUCAAAUGGAGGAACAUAUGGUAUCAAGGCUUGCAAGUUGUAAUCUUUAGCAACUCCACUUUUUCCACUGGAUCCAACACCAUGACUUGAUCCAGCCAUAGGGUUGUCAUUUUCUUUGCUUACCCACCUGUCAUUCAUUUUCACAGGUCUUUCCUUACUUCCUUUAAGUUCUUCUCUUUCAACCAGUUGAAAGAUAGCAUCUUAGGAGUGUUUAUUAUUUUCUUACUCAUCUCAUGGAGGAAAACUUCAAUUUGUUCAUUAUCAUCAGAGAACCAAGUCUCCAGGUCACCAGCCCUUGUUGUGCCAUUUGAAGCUCAUGUCUUCUUUUGUUUUGAAGGGUGAGAGGAUGCCAUUUAUGAUCUUUGAUGAAAUGAUGUCUAAUUUCAAUGUGCUUUGUCCUUGAGUGUUGUAUUUGAUUCUUAGUAAGAUUAAUUGCAUUAGUAUUGUCACACAAUAAAGCACAUUGCUUAGCUUUAAUUUAAAGUCUUCAAGUUGUUGCUUAAUCCAUAAUAUUUAAGCAUAGCAGCUGCAAGCAACAAUAUACUCAGCCUUUGCAGUGGAAAGAACAACACAGGCUUGUUUCUUGUUGUGCCAAAAGGGUGGAACCUAUAAGAUGGCAUGUACCACUUGUACUCUUCCUAUCUAGUUUGCAUCUUGCAAAAUCCGAAUUAGAAUAUCUAAUGAAAUUUAUAGUAGAGUUAGAAGGAUAACAUAGACAUACUGAUAAGUGUCAUAUUUCAGUAAUAUUACAUAUUAAAUUACGGACACUUAUGUGUAUUUAUUGAUAAAAUAACUAUAAUUUAACCCUUAAUUUAUGAAUUUAAACAUUUUUAUACAUUUUGUGAUUAUAAUAUGAAUAAGGACGAUUUAUUUUCAAAUUUGUGUUAAUUUCAUAAUUUUAUGGAAAAAUGGAAAUGUAAGGGCUAAAGGAUAAUAGACAAGAUAAAAAGGGAAGGUUGGAACGCUCAAAACUCGCCCAAAAACUCGCCUAAGUCAGAAGCACUCUAGAGUAACUCACCCAAGCGAGAUCACUCUAGAGAAGUUGGGUUUUUUCUCGUCCAACUCGCCCAGACGAACCCAAUCAUGCCCAGGCGAGAAGUCACUUAGACCAAACCCAACUAGGUAAAAUAUGAGGCAUAAGGCACAACCCUAGACAUCAUUGGGAAAAUAGAAUGUGAAAAAAACCUUAGAGGAGGCAACCGUCAAGGAGAAAUAUCAUGGAUAUUAUUUUCUUGCUUUUCAUGCUUGUAAUGGCCAACAUGAGUCAUUGUGGUUCUUGAACCCUUCAAGAACAAGGCACACACAAUGCUGAAAAAAACUCUAUUUCAGAAGCAAAAACACUCCAAGAAACCCUAUCAAGAAGUGUCCAUACAACCACCUUUACACAAGAAUGAAUGAGGAAAGAAAAGACUUGAAAAGAGUGUACAAGAACCCAAAACAACAACACUUUUCUGCAACACAGUAAUGAUAGAACCUCAAACCUUGACCAAGGCACAGAAUGAACAAGCAUACUUGAAUUCCUUUAAGAGAACCUUUUAAGAAAACAUUCAAAGCUUUUAUCUCUUAAUAAAAACUCUUUGAUCUGUGGUAAAAAAACGUGAUCACCCAGUCAUUUUUCAUGUGAGAUGUGCCUCUCUUUAUAUAGAAAACAAUUUAUAACAAUUUUUCAAAAACAGUUGAAAGUUGUUAUAAUAAGAACAGGUUGAAGUUAAAAUAAACGGUUGUUUUUUUUAAAGCAAAAAAUGAUUUUUAAACCACUUCCAACUCAUCUUACUGUAAUAAAGGGAUAAAACAAACUAUUUGGUGCCCUAACAGAAUUUUGAAAAAAAACUUUAACAAAAGAGCACCAAUUCAUAAAUAAAUCUAUUAUUUUACAAAUUAACAGAUUUAUUUUUAUGCAGUAACCUGAUUUUUUAGAGAACUUAAGGUAGUUGAUAGAAGAACUUAGAAAAACAUUUUGUGCUUGAUCUUACCACCUUGGUUAGGGACAUGAAGUAGGCCACGCAGCAACAGAUCACCUUAAACUAACUCUAACCUAUUAUGACCACUAAUAACAUCAUCACUAAUCUUCAAAGUAAACAAUACAAUUUUCUACAUCAAACACACUAGCACUUGCAGAGAAGAAGCUUCAUCCAUCUUCAACAUAUUCAUCCAGUUAUUUUUCUAGACUAAGUUCCAGCUUUUGCAAAAUGGUGCUUUGAUCGUUUUCUUCUACACAUUUCUUUAAAGAAUCUUGUUCUGCAUGGUUAGUCUCAUCAAAUACAACAUGAACAAAUUUUUCAAUAGUCAUCAAUAUUUUGUUAUAGACUCUAUAUGCAUGACUACUUCAAGAAUAUCCAAGAAAGAUGUUAUUUUUAGCUUUUUCAUAAAACUUGCCAAAGUUUUCCUUUUCAUUAUUUCAAAUGAAACAUUUGCAGCCAAAUACCCUUAAGUGACCAAUGUUGGGUUUUCUUCCAUUGUACAAUUCAUAAGGUUUUUUUUUCAAAAUAAGUUUCAUAAGGACUUAUUCAUUACAUAACAAGUUGUGCUAACAGUAUCAACCCAAAAAUACUUUUGGUAGUGAAGAUUCAUUUAAAAUAGUUAUAGCAAGUUUUUUAAGAGACUAUUUUUCCUUUCAACAACCUCAUUUUGUUGGGGAGUUCUAGGAGAGGAAAAAUUGUGAAGAAUAACCACUUUCACAAAAACAACUAAAUUUUUCAUUUUGAUAUUCUCCAUCAUGGUCACUACGGAUGACACAUAGGUUACUGUAGUUUUUAUUUUGUAACAUCUUGGCAAGCUUUUUGAAUGCAAAGAAAGUAUCACUCUUGGAUUCAAGAAAUAAAGUACGUGUAAACCUUGAGACAUCAUCAAAAAUUACAAGAUCAUAGUAAUUUCCACUAAGACUCCUGGUUCUUGAAUGACCAAAUAAAUCCAUGUGAAAUAACCCAAGGGAUCUAGUUACUUAAACAACAUUUUUUAUUUAAAACAAAUCUUUUUUCUUGUUUUCUCUUUUGACAUGCUUCACAUAUAUGGUUUUUCUCAAACUCGAGUUUAGGUAGACCAUCAACUAGUUAUUUUGAAAUCAACUUGUUUAAAUGAUGCAUAGUUAUAUGAGUUAUCCUCUUAUGCCAUAACCAUGAUUUUUUAUGUUUGGUUAGGAGGCAAUCUAUAUCAGAUGCAGAAACAGAAAUGUCAAGCAAGUAAACAUUGUUGAUUCUUUUACUAAUCAACAAUACUUCUUGUGUGUUAGGCAAGUUGAUUUCACAUGUAUUGGGUUUUGAAGAUGAUUUGAUAGUCCUUGUCAAACAACUGAUUUAUGCUUAGGAGGUUGUGCUUUAAUCUUUUCUAUGAACAACACUACAUUGAUCAGAAACGUAUUUUUAUCACUUACGGUGUCUUUGUCGAGAACUCUUUCUCGGUUAUUGUCUCCAUAUGUGACUUGUCCUUCUUGCUUGAGAUGGAACUUCACAAACUUGCUCUUGCCUCCUAUCAUAUGUUUUGAGCAGCCACUGUCCAAAUACCAGAGAUGUUUAUUGGCUUGGUCAUUUUAUUGAAGUCAAAAUGAAGUCUUUACUCCAAACAAAGGUUCUGAGAAUGCCCGGUAACAAAUCACAUAAACCAAUAGUUAUAAUCCUACGCAUAUUCUCUAAAGAAGAGAAAACAAAUUUAUAGAAACUUUUAUCUAGAGGAAUUGUUUGCCAAGUAGCCAAAGAUCCAUGUGGAGAACCUAAUAUACAAAACUCAAGGUGCGUUAAGACUUAUGUCCCUUUUAGAAUAACUCUUCCAUGAAAAUAUUCUUGCAAUCUUCCAAGCUAGCCAAGUAAACCUCUUUAUGAAUCUGUACUGAAACCAUGUCACCCUUAAUGCAUGACAUGAAAAGUUGAGUUAAAGAGAUAUUACACGCAUUGUUAAAGACUUGAGCGAAAGUCUUUCUCUAAACCCAUGCGGAUUGUUAAGGAAAAGGCUUAGGACCUUCUUGAUCUUUUAGACAACCCGAUGAUACUUGAAACCUAGUAGAAUCCUGGCUUAUUAUGCCGAAAAGCAAAAAGAAUAGCCAAGAAAACUAGGAUCACCAAAAUGCAGAAAAAAAUAUCAAAUAGGUUAAAACGUUUAACGUGCAACAAAUAACCUUGCAACAAAGAAACCAACAAACGUGGAUUCAACAAGAAACAUAAGCAAAUGCGAGGUAGAAGAAAGAGGAACCAAAAAAUCCUAGAAAACCGAGAAGAGGAAUGAGAAAGGGAGAAAAUCUUAGGUAGAUACUUAGAGAAUUUUGUUUCAAACUCUUAUCAGUCCAAACUUUUUUUUUUUUAUCGGCAAAAAAAAUUAGUUAAAAGAGAUAUUUCAAGGGUAUCUCAAUUCGUAUACAGAAACCUGCCAAACACACAGGCCAACUGCUCCUCUCAAGUAGAGGAAUUCUUAGAAAAUAUAACAGACCUCAUAUAUACCAUUGACUCAAGAUCAAUCCAAACUAUUAUCAUAAUUAUUCCAAAUAUUUUGAGAUUUCGUAUCACUUCUUUUAAAAAGAUUUGAGAAAAUAUGUCUGAAAAAUUAUAAAACCUAGAAAUAUUUGUAUUUCUUUCUAAUGUUGUAACCGUCUUUAUUCAAGGAAUAUGUAAUAUGGUAUUUUAUAUAUGUUAUAUUUAGUUGUGAUGCUGUAUGUAUAAAGUGCAUGAAAUUUGUUGUUUUUUCAAGUGAUACGUUUCCAAAACAAGUAGCUCAUUUAAAAAAAAAAGUAUAAUUUCAACAUUUAUUGCUACUUUAACUAGUCUUGAAAAAGUUGAAAGUAACCCUUUCAACAUUUGUUGUGCUGUUAAUCAAUGUUGAAAAAUGCAACUUUUAACACCUAUUGAUAUUGAACAUAUAUUUUAAUGUUGGAUAUUGAAGUGAUAUUAAAAUUUCAUAAUUUUAAGUAUGUANNNNNNNNNNNNNNNNNNNNNNNNNNNNNNNNNNNNNNNNNNNNNNNNNNNNNNNNNNNNNNNNNNNNNNNNNNNNNNNNNNNNNNNNNNNNNNNNNNNNUUAGUAUAUAUAUAUAUUAUAUAUAUAUAUAUAUAUAUAUUAUAUAUAUUUAUAUUUGUAUCUGUAUAUAUAUAUAUAUAUAUAAUAUAUAUAUAUAAAUAUAUAUAUAUAUAUAUAUAACACCAAUUCUAAAAUUGAAUUUAAAAGGUUCACAAAAAUUAAACAUUACUGUAAUAUUGAUAUAUCAAAUCAAUUUAUUCAUCUCUUUUUUUAAUCUCCGCAAUGGUCGGUUAGAAAUUUUAAUAUUAAUAGUAUGAAAUGUAUAGACAUACACGUAAAUAUUGUUUCUUCCUUUUAUUCCUACCUUUUUCUCUACUGACGUGUAUCUUUUUGUACUAUUAUUUAUUUUUCUCCACUUUUUUCUUUUUGAACUACUUAACCUUUUUGUACCGACAUAAGUCAUUUGUUAAUCAUUAAAUAUUUUAUUAUUAAAGUAUGAACAUGGUGAGUGGUAGGUAAGGUCACAUGUUGAUGUCUGUUUGUCUUUGGCAAGUGAAUCGGUAAUGAUGAAACUCUCGUUAAUAAAUAUAAUCUUAUCGGUUAGAUAAAAAAAUAAUUAAAAUAAUAAUGCAAUCAGAAAACAAUGCAAAGUUAAAUAUAUUUAAAAAUAAAGAUAUUACUUUAAAUGAUAUUCAUUCAAUUUAUAACAAAAGCAUUAUAUAUACUAAAAAAGAAUCAUUAGAUAAAAAUAAAUUUUAAGGAUAAAAAAAUAAUAAAUCCUAUAUUAAUUAAAUUAUAUACUAUUUUUUAAAAAAAGUUACUAGUAUAUAAAAUAGUUUUUAUUAUUAAUAAAUAGUGUUUAAAUGUGUAUCUAAUUAAUUACAAAUUUAGAAACUUUUUAUUAAUAAUAGAAACUAUUUUAGAUAGAAGUAAUUUUUUAAGUUUCUACAAUAUUAUCUAAUUUAGUUAAUAUAGUGAUUAAUUAUUUUUUGCCUCUAAAGUUAGUUUUUAUCUAAUUAUUUUCUUGUAGUUAACCUUGGAAACUGCAAAUUGUUGAAAGUAUUGUAUACAUCAACACAACUAAGAUUUUGUGGGAAGGUCUAACAGGAGAUUUUCAUAAAGGGAUUAUUUAGAAUCUCCAAUAUGUUGAUUAGUAGGUGCGACAUACCAUGUAGUUGCGCGUUGUCCAAAAUCAUCGUAAAUUAUGAGAAUGAGGAUAUAUUUUAUUCUUCUUCAAAAUUAUUAAUCUUUAAUCUUUAAUCUUGUGAAGACUUAGGUGCUUUUAAUGGAACCACUUCUGAAUAUCAACAAACUAUUUUCCUUGGUCAUACAUCAAGAAAGAAAUUGACUGGGAAUUUUCUUCAUGAAACCAAGGUUUUUAUGAAUACUAUUGAGAAACAACGGAUUUGGAAUACUAUUGAGAAAUUGAAUUGUAAGGCUUAAGGACAUGAGGGAGGGAGGAUGGAUAAAUCAUGACAGAGGCAGAGGACAAGACCUUGCUUAGGGAUCGAAAUGCACUUAUUAUUGAUGAUUGUUAUUCCAAACACAAGUACCCACAUAGGUUCAAAUAGAGGCAAGAUUGUGAUGUUAGGAACAAUUUAGACAAGAAAAACGAACUUUCAGGAUAGUUCUAUGUAAGGGAAAGUCAAGAAUCUACGCAAGCUAGUAAUUUCAAUCCUUUUACUCUUAACAUUAAUCAAUUACAUGGGGUGCACUCUUCCGCUAAAGAUUCAAAAUCAUAUAGGAAUCUUUGGAUACUUGACACGGGAGCUUCUAACCAUGUCACACAUGAUAAAACUAAAAUUAUUUUCUUUUAUAAGAUAUAACAAAUUCAAAUAAGAUUGCUCAAUAACACCUUUAUUAUAGUAGAAUACGCUAGCACACUUAAAUUUUUUGAAGUCUUUGUUAUUUAUAAUGUGCUAUACUUACCUUAUUUUGCCUCUAAUUUGAUAUUUGUGCAAAGAUUAAUUGAAGUUAUGAAUUUCAAACUAAUAUUUUUUACAAGGUUUGACAGAUAUAGGACAAUUCUACAUCCAAAACGAUUAAGCUAACUUAGAUAGAUGAUUAUACUAUCUUUAGAAUUUUACAUCUGUUUUUACAAAUUUACAAUCUUGUACUAAUAUUAUUUUGAGUUGUACUGAUAUUGAUAUUUAAAAUUUUAGGUUAAGACAUCCUUCCAAUAGAAUUGUUGAACAAAUGUGCACAAAAUUUCCUUUUAUACGUUCUAAUUGUAGAUUUGUGUGUGAUACAUGCCAUUUUGCAAAGAAUCAUAGAUUACAUUUCCAACAAAGUGAUUUUAUUUAUUUAUUUUAAGAGCUUUUAAACUCACUCAUAUUGAUGUAUGGAGAUUGGUUGCUAAUACAUCUAUUCAUGGACAUAGAUUCUGUUUUACUAUUGAUGAUGAUUAUACUAGGCAUACUUGGGUUUAUCUCAUGAAAUCCAAGGGUGAAACCAGGUUUCUUUUGUCUAAUUUUGUCUUAUAUGUUAAAACCUAGUUCAAUCUUAAUAUUAAAAGUGUUAGGACUGAUAAUGGGAAGUAACUUGACUAUGAUGAGUUGUAUAAUAGAUACAUGUAUUGUGCAUAAAAAAUCAUGUGUUAAAACUCCUCAACAAAAUUUUGUUAUAGAGCGUAAACACCAACAUAUCUUGAACGUUGCUCAUAGUUUAAUUUUUCAAUCCAAUUUAACUAUAAUCUAUUGGUCUUAUGUUAUUUUUCAUGUUGUUGAUAAGUGUCAUAAUUCAGUAAUGUUUCAUACAAAAAGAUAAACAUUUAUGGACUUUAAUUGAUAAAAUAGUUAUAAUUCAACCUUUAAUUUGUGAAUUUAAAUCUUUUUACAUAUUUUUGGAUUAUAAGAUGAAUGUGAACAAUUUAUUCCCAAAUUUGUGUUAAUUUCAAGAAUCUAGGAAAAAAUAGAGAUAAAAGGGCUAAAGAAAAAUUGACAAGUUAAAGACAAGUUGAAAAAGACAAAGUUGGAACAUUGAAAACUCGCCCAAGUAAGAUCACUCCAUAGGAACUCGCCCAAGACUCAUCCAAGGCUCGCUUAAGCGAGUUCACUCCAGUGAAGUUAGGUUUAGGGUAAUAUCUCGCUUAAGUAAGUAAUAUCUCGCUUAAGCAAGAUGUCACUCAACCCAAGCCCAAUUAGGUUAAACAGAAGGCGUGAGACAUAUGGAUUUGUUUCCUACCAUUGGGCCCAAUCCGUCUCCUGCCAUUAUGCUGCUAGCAAUUAGAUCUAUGACUUCUUUCUAUCUAUACUAAUUAUUUCAAUGUUCAUCUUUAUAUUGAUAAAUUGGAUGAAAUUAAUUAAGACACUUGGGCCUCAGAUAUUAAAUUAUGGCUUAAGAGUCAAGCAUAUGUUGAUCAUCUUACCCAAUGUGUUCGCAAUGUUGUUGCAGAUGAGACUUCCCAUUGGUUGAAAAUUAAUGCUCCAUUAUGCAUUGUUGUUAAAUCUAUUAUUCACUCAUCUUUAAAAAAAAUAGUGUUUUUGAGACGUGUUUAGAAGUUUGGGAAUAGGCGAAAUUAUUAUACACCAAUGAUACUCAACGUCUUUAUGGUGUGUGUCAAAAUCUCCUUACCGUUGUUGCUCCUAAACAUCUUGAUGGUACAAUGGCUAAAUAUUUGGGUAAACUACAUGCUCUUCUUCAUGAUUUUAAUGAAUUAUUGCCUCCUACCUCCACUCCUUCUCAAGAACUAGAGCAACGGUCCAAGUUCUUCAUGUUAUUGGGCUUACAUGGCCUUCCUGAUGAUUAUUUUCAUGUCCGUGAUCAGAUUUUGGGAUCUUCUAUUGUUCCCAAUUUUACUUCCACUUGUUCUACCAUUCUGUGUGUGUCAGGUAAACACAUCACUGAUAUACCUCUUCCAGUUGAUAACUCUUCUUUUGCUUUAAUCUCUCAGAAUUGUGAUCGCACUCGCCUUUCCAAGCCGGGCAAAGGGCGUAACAAGUGUGGCCAUUAUGGUAAAAUUGGCCUCAAAAUUGAUCAGUUAUGCCUUACAUGGUCGUCCUCCUAGAUCUAUUACGGUUGCCCAAAAUGUUCUUGUUCAACCUUCUACCAUGGACCUUACUUCAUUUGAUAUCUCAAGCCAACUUGUAGUUUCAAUUAAUUUCUUAAGCGGUAUGAGGAUCGUCAGAACUCUGGUUCCCCUACUUCUGUUACAUAUUCAGAUACACCUUUCGAUGGCCUUACUCACUCCAAUUAUCUUGGUCCUUAGGUUCUCGACUCAGGUGCUAGCGAUCAUAUUAUUGGUAAUAAAUCUUUUUUCUCUUCUUUUUCUACUGCCGGUUAUUUACCAUCCAUUACGAUGGCCAAUGGCUCUAGGGUCUCAUCCCAUGGUGUUGGUACUAUUCAUCUUCUUCCUUCUUUAUCUAUUGACAAUGUUCUUUAUGUUCCUAGGUCUCCUUUUAACUUAUUAUCCAUUAGUCAUCUAACUCGUUCCCUUGAUUAUUUAAUUUCUUUUACCAAAGAUUCUAUUUGUUUACAGGACUGGAGUUUAGGAUGGAUGAUUGGCAUUAGAUGUGAGUCUCAUGGUCUUUACCACCUACGAACAUAUGCACAUGUUAGCACGGUUAUGGACUCCCCAUCUCUCCUUCAUGCUCAGCUAGGUCAUCCUAGUCUUGCCAAGAUGCAACACCUUGUUCCAAGUUUGUCCAAAGUGUCUAGUUUGUCUCGUGAGUCGUGUCAUUUAGCUAAACAAAGUUGCAAUUCUUUUCCUAGUGUCUCACAAUGUGCUUCAUCCCCUUUUUCCUUAGUUCACUACGACAUUUGGGGACCAAGUCGUGUUAAGUCUAAUUUAGGGUUUCAGUAUUUUGUUACUUUUGUUGAUGAUUAUUCAAGAUGUACUUGGUUGUUUUUAAUGAAAUCUUGUUCUAAGUAGUUUUCUAUAUUUCAAUUCGAACCUUAUGCAGUGAUAAUGCUUGUGAGUAUCUUUCUCAUUCUUCUACCACUUUUAUGAAAUCUCAUGGCAUUCUUCAUCAAACCUCAUGUGCAUAUACCCCUCAACAAAAUGGGGUGGUUGAGCGCAAGAAUAAACACUUUGUUGAAAAUACUUGUACUAUGUUAGUUCAUGGUGAUGUUACUCAACUUUUUGAGCUGAUGUUGUUCUUAGUGCAUGUUAUGUAAUUAAUUGUAUGUCAUCUUCGAUUUUAGAGAAUAAAAAUCCUCAUUCUAUUUUAUUUCCUCAUGAACCUCUUCAUCCCUUACCACCUAAAGUUUUUGAGUCUACAUGUUAUGUUCACAGUUUUUUUCCUGGUCCAGAUAAAUUAUUUGCAAGGUCACACAAAUGUGUUUUUUUAGGGUUUACAAGAUCUCUAAAAGGAUAUAAAUGUUUCACUCUCUCUUAACCAUUAUUUCAUUUCUGCAGAUGCCACUUUCAUUUCUUUUAUUUGAAGUCUUUAUCUUCUCCACUUGUGUCUCCAUUUGAACAAGUACAUAUUCCAGUUGUCUUUGAUCCUCCUGUUAUGCCUAGUGUACCUGAAGAUUUUCCUCCUCCACCACCUUUUCAAGUUUAUAAUUGUCAUCAGUCUUCCCAUCGUCCACAUGAUGACUCUCUUCUAGUUUCAGAUCCUGUCUCUUCUGGCUCUGAUAGUUGAACCUAAUAUUCCCAUUACCAUUUGUAAAGGUAUAUGUUCUACCUGUAAUCCCUCUCCACAUUAUAAUGCUUUAAGCUACCAUCGACUAUCUCAACCUUUUUAUACUUGUCUUUCGUCUAUUUUUUCAUGUCCAUUCCAAAGUCUAUAGUUGAUGCCUUAGCUCAUCUUGGUUGGCGUUAGGCCAUGCUUGAUGAAAUUAGUGUGCUUAAGAAUAAUGGAACUCGGGACCUCAUUUCUUUUCCUUUUGGGAAAUCUGUUGUUGGUUGUAGAUGGGUCUUUGCUAUUAAAAUUGGUCCUUAUGGUACUAUUGAUUGUCUCAAAGCUCGUCUUGUGGCUAAAUGUUAUACCCAAAUUUUUGGUUUAGACUAUGGUGAUACUUUUUCUCCAGUAGUAAAGAGGGGUUCAAUUCGCUUAUUCAUAGUCAUGACUGCUCUUUAACAAUGAUCUCUUUAUCAAAUGGAUGCCAAAAGUAUCUUUCUUAAUGGGGAUUUCUAGGAAGAAAUUUAUAUGGAGCAACCGUCCGACUUUGUUGCUUAGGGAGAGUCUUCUAGAUUGGUAUUAGGGAUGACAAAGUGGGGCGGGUCGUACGGGUCGGCCCGCGGCCCACUCAGAAAAACGCGGGGCGGGCUACCUAUUCUAACCCGCUAACCCACUUAGGCCCGACCCGCAUAAACCGCAACCUGCGUGGGUCAAGUGUGAGGCGGGGCAGGUUGUCCCGCAUAACCCACAUAAUUUAAAAAUGUAAAUUUUUUUUUUCUGCAGCCCCAUAUUUUAUUAAUGUAGACUCAUAUUUCACAUUCUAAAUUUUUUAAUAACAUCUUACUACCCUUGUCUCAUGAGAACAAUAUUAUGAGACUAUUUACCUAAUGCAUCUAAAUAAAAAAAGAAUUAAAUUUAUUCAAAAUUUAUAUUUAAAAAAUUAUUUUUUAUUAAUUUUUUUUAAAAUUAGUAUUUCUUUUGCAGGCUGGCCCGCGGGACGGACUAGAAAAAUCAACCUGCAUAUUCCAUGCCGGGCAAACCAACUCGAACUGCAUUUUGUGGACCUAGUGUGGGGCGGGCCUAUGCAGGGCGAGCUAGUCCGCAUUGUCAUCCCUAAUUGGCAUGUCAUCUCCAUAAAUCUUUAUAUGGUCUCAAGCAGUCUCCGAGGUCUUGGUUUGAAAAAUUUAGCAAAAUUGUUCAACAAUUUGGUAUGACACGCAAUGAAAAACAUUCUGUUUUUUAUCGUCACUCGAGUGUUGGGUGUAUCUAUCUUGUAGUAUAUGUUGAUGACGUUGUUCUUACAGGUAGUGAUCAUCAUGGCAUCUCACCGGUGAAACAACACCUUAUCAACACUUUCUGACCAAAGAUCUUGACAAACUCAUAUUUUUUGGAGAUUAAGGUAGCACAAUCAAACAAUGGUAUUGUUACGCUUCCUCGAACUAAAGUGAAGGGUUAAAACAUAAUAAUACUUGGAUUAUUUGUUAUAUCAGCUUAAGGGCCAAGAAAACCAAACAAAAUGUAGGUUCAAAACAGAUACAACCAUUAAAACUGAUGCAGAUAAAAAAUGUACAUACAAUGAAAACUACUCAGAGAACAAGGCCUUAGUUGGCUGGGUAGAAAGGCCAAAUCCAAAUGGGAAGAGGGGAUCAUAGUGAGGAUCUCCAACAUUCAUUGGAAGUUGAUCAACAGAUUUGAACCAUGUUCUUGGAAGCCUUCCUGUGAAACCAUAGUCACCAUAUAAAACAUCAGCCACACCUUGGCCUUCGCUACCUGGAAGCCAUGCAGCAACUAGUGCAUCUAUUAUACCGACAUAUGGUUCAAUCACUAAAGGACGACCAGAAAUUACGAUAACCACACAUUUUGUUACUCCACAGAUGUUUCUUAUGAUCUCAGGGCCAGGGUCUGGGAUAGCCAAGUUCAUGUUGUCACCAUGCGUUUCAGCAUAAGGAUGCUCUCCUAGUACAACAAUGGCAUAGGAAAAUCCAUUGGAUUUAACAAAUUCUGCAUCAGGGUUCUCCUUGUAGACCACUUUGGUUUCAGGAUCAACAGUGUUUUUCACAGCCUUGAGAAUUGUAGUCCCUGGUCAUAUAAGGUUGACAAGAAUAAUAAGAAACAAGAGUUGCAUUAUGUAAUUGAUAGUGAUGAUAUAAUUAAAACAAAACAAAAUACAUAUAUUUUAACCUUCGAGAAGAUUGUUCCCACUGACCCCUUGCCAUCCUAUAGUCCAGCCACCACACUGGUAUCCUAGAUUAUCUGCAUGGCUUCCAGCCACAAGUAUUUUUGGUACCUUUUUAGGAAGAGGUAGUAAAGGCUUAUCAGCAGAUUCACCAUUUUUCAGAAGGACCAUUGAUUUCCUCACAGCUUCUCUAGCCAAAUUUCUGUGCUCCUGUUGAGAAUUUUGGUAAACAUUGAUUAGUUACAAGGUGAUUAUUAAUAGUGAUCCCUAUAUCUAAUUGUGAACUUGGGGAUGUUAAAGGAAGUGCUUGAGGAAAACAAAAUAGUUAACCUGGAUUCCUAAAUAUUUGGCCAAACUGUAAUCGGCAAAAGGGUUCUCAAAAAUACCCAUCAUGAACUUCACCCACAAAAUUCUUCUCACCGCAUCAUCAAUUCGACUCAUGGGAAUGCGGUUAUUUUUCACCAACAUGGAUAGACCAUCUAUGAAUUCUGUGUAAAGCUUUGGAAACAUGAACUGCAAAACCAAGCAUAGUAUGUGACAAUAUUAAACGAAACCAGUUAAGGUUAUAUCAUAUACUUUUGUCCUAAAGAAACUACCAUGUCAAUGCCAGCAGAAACUCCUGCUUCGAUUGAAUAAGUGAUGUUUGCACGAUGUGGAGAUGUGAUCCUAUCAAUACCCUCAAAAUCUGAAAUGACAAAGCCCUGAUGUAAUCCAAGAAAAGACAAUGGGUUAUAUGAAAAAUGUGCACAUAGUAAACAGGUUUCAGCUAAUGUUAAUUCAACAAACAAAUUAUUUUACCUUGAAAUGGAGAGUAUUCUUGAGGAAGGCAGUAAUAAGAUCAUGGUGAGCAUGCAUUUUUACACCAUUCCAACUGGAGUAAGAGACCAUAAUGGUUGCCACUCCUUUACUGAUCGAGGUCAAGUAGGCUGGCAUGUGAAUUUUCAUUAAUCCAUCUCUAUCUAUAACAGUGUCGUGCUCAUUAAUCCCGUCGAUUGUUCCACCGUCACCCACAUAGUGCUUUGCACAACCUAAAACCUUUUCUCUGUCCAGCAAUAUAUGGGUAUUUCAGAAACUAAAUAAUAACUCCAAAAUCAGCAUAUUGCUUUGACCAUGUGGUCUAUUUCAUCCUAGUGACUGGUAUAAACGGAGGGAGUGAAACAAAAUGAAUAGGGGUCUGAAGCAUGGUAACUAAUUCUCUGAAGGCUGAACUUCAUUGUUAGAACAGGAACAGCAUUAGUACAUGGAGAAGAUUUGUAAAUCCGCUUUACAUAUAUUUAUCCAAGACAAAAUGAAUGACUUUUCCUUUGGAUCGUGUAACAAACAAUUCAACAUGAUGAAGAACAAGAAUAUCAACUACCAAGGUUCACAAGUAAUCAUACCAAAAUUAAGUUUUUUUUGUUUGUAAAAUUCUUACUUUCCAGCGAUAAAAGGGACACCCUUUGGUAAAUUAUGAGGGAUGUCCCCUUGCAAUCCUGGUAUGAUUUCGGUCAUAGCUUGAACUAGUUCAGUAUCUUCACCGUAGCUUUCAUAACACCGACCCCAUCUUGGAUCUCUACAGACCUACAGAGAGUAUAAGCUUGUGCAAAACGAUAUCUAUACGUUGAGAGCAUAAAAAGUUGAUUGUAAUUACUCACUGCUAUACAGGGUGCAUAAGCAUAUUGAAUUCCUGUUGCUCUAACUUCAAGGGCAGUUGCAGCUCCAAUUCUCUUAACUAGUUCAGGCUCCCUAACCAGCAAAAUCAAAAUAUCUACAAUUACCUUUUAUAACAAUAAACGUAUUGACAUAAGAAUAGAACAAUUAUCCUGGUAUCAAUAUACCUGGUAGCUCCAAGACCAAUAUUGUGAGGAAAAAUAGUUGCAUUGUGAACAGUAUUGUGGCCAUGAACAGCAUCAACACCAUAAAACAUUGGAAUUCCAAGCCGGGUUGACACAGCACCCUUCUGAAAUUCAUUCACCAUGUCAACCCAGGUUUCAGCAGAUGCCUGUGGAGCCGGAAUACUCCCUCCCUCACUCAUUACACUCCCUACUCAAAACACCAAAAAAAUGGAGUGAGUAUACCACAGAGAAAACAAAAAAUCAAGAAAAGGUAAAGUGGUUACCAAUGAAAUACUUAUUAACCAAAUCAGCAGAUGCAUGCUUGCGCUCAACCUGUAACAUUUGACCAAUUUUCUCCUCGAGAGUCAUCCUGCUAACAAGAUCCUCAACCCGAGUAUCUAUUGGCUGGUUAGGGUCCUUGUACUUCAUUUGAUCUACACUCAACAACCCUGCCCAGUUAAGUAGUAAACAAAGCCCCACCAACAACAUAGAGAUUUUAGCCAUUCCAUCCAGAUCAUGGUAAGUACUAAGAUAAAUUCAACAGGAUAUGUAAAACUCAGUCUCCAUAAAAACUAAGUCCUCUUAGCAAAUAACUUAAAUGCGCCAUAUUAACCCUUCAACAAUGAAAAAGGCAAUCUCUAGCACAGAAAAUAUGUGGUGCUCACUAAGUAAAGAACGGCGGCAAUUAGUACACUGAGCCUCAGAGUCAAAGCCUUAUAUAUAGAACGAGCAGCAUGUACAAGAGAAAAUAUUGUAUGGCUAAGUUAACAGAGAAACAUUACCUCUUGUGUGUAUGGAGGAUUCUCUCAGAUGAUGUUUGUCACUGCAGAAAAUGAAGCAUCAUCCGGAACUGUGAAUGGUGACAUAUGUGAAAACAGGGAAAAAGGAGUCACAUGAAAUCAAUAAUAAAAAAAUGUUUGGUUUGGCUGCAUGAUUGGUUCUACGGCCAAUUAUAAUAUACGUGAUGGUGAGAUGUAGCAUGGGAGGGAGUUUCAUAAAUAUUUUAAGCUUAAAGUCAUUAUUCAAAUAUAUUUUAGAAAUAUAUGUAAGAACUAAAACAAGGUAAAGUGAUUUUAGACAAACAUUUGUAUGCUGGAAUGUGUAUUAAAAAAAAACUUUAUGUUGAAGUAAUUUUGAUCAUUUUUACAUCAAAUAAAAAAAAUAUACUUAGGUAUGUUUUUUUUUUUAAUCAGCAAAAAAUAAAUAAAAUUUAUGUAACUCUUCAAGUGUCACAAUCCUUAUAAAAGAACCAACGCUCUUCCCUAAUAAUAACAUAGCAUGAUACGCAUAAUACAGGUUUGCUUCCCUAAUCCUAAAUAGACAUGAGCUUCAAAACUGAGAAUACCUGACAAAAAACCAACAAAACUACACCUUCAAGUCAUGCACACCAUCUGCUCUUGAAAAACCUGUGAUAGCAGACAAAAAAAGACCUAACCUGCACCUACUAAAAGGGUACAUCACACCACACUGCAGAUCUUUAGAAUAAAAAUAUUUAAACAUAGAUUAUGUCAAUUUAAAAAUUAUUCUUAACUGAAAACUAAUUGUAAAAAUGAUCCCAUUCAAUUUUGACACCUUUUAUAAAAGAGAAAAUCUUUGAACAGAUAGCCCCACGUGACAUGGGAUUCUGAAAAAAAAAAUAUGCACGUGAGCAUGAAAGUGUACAAGCAUCUAAUAAUAUUAACUCAGAGUAUUUAUUGAAAUACAUCGUGGAAAUUAUGACAUAUUUAUGGUAAAUUUGGAUUUUUUUUCUCACCUUAGUUAAUGUGAAUUCCGACAUAUGGAAGGGAGGAAAAGAAAAACUGAGAGAUAGUUUUUAAUAAAUUAAAGUUAAUUUAUAUGUGAAAUAAAAGUUAUUUUUUACAUAAAUUAAUAGAAGAAGGAUUUUAUAAAUUUCCUUAUAAAAAGUUUUUUUUUACUUAAAGUAUUUAUAAAAAUGUUUAUUGAAGUAUAUUUGUGAUAUCAAUAACGAAUUUAAACACGCGAGUUUACAAUAUUAUUAUAAAAUUAAUAUAUUCAUUUCAAUAGUUAAAAUGACAUAUAAUGAAAAUGUGUAGAUGUGAACUUAGGCUGUGUUAUAAUCCAUUUAAUCCGCAAUAGAUUGGGGGUUUUAAAUAAGUAAUCUUGUUGAUGUGAAAUCGUUUUAAAACUAUUACUUCUAUUAAGAAAACAAAUCUGUCAUUAAUAAAAAACACUUUGGACUCAGUUUUUCUUUCUCAUUAUUACUAACAUACCCAUUUCUAUUACAUUAAUAUUGAGAUUGUAUCUACUACAUUGAGUAUUUUAAUAUAUGAUGAGUAAGAAACAAUGAAGAUAAAGUUUAACAUUUCCUUGACUGUUUCAAUGAAUAUAAUAUUAAUUAUAAUAUUGAUGUCAAUGCAUCAAUAAUUUUUAUCGUCUGUUCCAUAUCAACAAUCAUUGUCUGUUCCAUAUCAACAAUCAUCAUUAUGCCACUAACUGGAGCGUCUAGUAGCAUUUUUGUAUCAAAUUUGAAGUCAUUACGAAAGAUACUCAAUUUUACAAUGUCUUUAAACCUAUGAUUUUUGCAUUUUCUUAGCAUCACUUUCAAUCUCUCUCAUGUUUCACAAAAGGCUUCAUUUGAUCCUUGUCUGAACAUAGAAAUAUUAUACUUUUCUUUGAUGUAGCGGGAUGGUGGAAAAAAUCUUUGUAAAAAUAUUUCCUCUACAUCUUUCCAAUUGAUGAAACUCUGAUUUGGAUGUGAUUUAAGCCAUUUUUUAGCUUUUCCUGCCAAUGAGAAAGGAAACAAGCAUAGAAAAACAAUUUCAAUAUCACCUAAUUGAAAGCUUAUUGUUCCCACCAAUUCAUAGAACAUAACAAAUGUGUAUAUGGAUCCUCAUCGUCCAUUUCUGUAAAUUAAUGGGUACUGAUCAAACUAAAAAAUGCAGGUUUCAUCUCCAAGGCCUUAGUGGUAUCAGGUAUUGCAAUAUUAGAAAAAAAAUCUUUGGUCAUUGCUGCAUAGCAUAAUCUCCAAGUGUUCUUCUAGGUUGUGGUGGUUGCUAUAGUGUUUUUUUUUAUGAAAAAUUUCAAUGGGAAUGGGAGAAGUAGUUGAGGAUUCUUCUUUAAUAUCUCUUUGUUUUCUUUUCUCUUCUUAACUUGUUCUUUCAAGCUAUGUUUUCAAUCUAUAAUUGGAAUUAGUAUCUAGAAACUUGUCCUCUUAAUAUCAUAUAAGACAACUCUCUCAAGGAUUAGCACACAUUACAAGAAAAUCAUGAAAUAGAAACCAAUUUUAGAGACAAAAAAUAAUUAGUUGCUAUAGUGACUAAAUUAGAGACCAUUUUAGAGACUAAAAUAAUUUUUGGUUUCUAAAUUAUUUUCUAUUAUUGUUAAAUAGUUUCUAAAUUGGUAUCUAAUUAGCUACCAAGGUUUUAACUACCAAUUGUUUAGAUUCUAAAUUUGGUAGCAAAAAUCUUGGUAAUUAAUUAGAUACCAAUUUAGAAACUAUUUAACAAUAAUAGAAACUAAUUUAGAAACAAAAGUUUUUUUUUUAGUUUCUAAAAUAGUCUCUAAUUUAGUCAUUAUAGCAACUAAUUAUUUUUUGUCUCUAAAACUAGUUUAUAAUUCAUUAUUUUCUUGUAGUGACAAGGAGUAACUAGGAAAUAAAAAAAUUCAAAAUUACAAAAUUUAACACAAAUAUGAAAAUAAAAUAAAAUAUAAUAAAACAUAAUAAACAAUUAAUAAAAUAUUCACAAUAUUUAGGAAUUUGUACUCUAAAAUUAAAAUAAUUCUGCGACAACGGCGCCAAUUUUGUUGAUUUGGAUACUAGUUUUUUAUGUAAACUAUUUUUCCAGAGGUCUCAUGCGACACAAUUUCUUAGGGAGUUUUGAUACUUUAUUUCAUAAGUCACUCAUUUUGUUGUUGAAUAUUGCUCCCCAAUGAUAAUUUUUUAAGUAGUUUAUUUUUUUUCAUUUGGUUAUUUAUUACUUUCCCUUUUAUGAAUUUGGUUUGUUAUUCAGGACCUUCAAAUAUGUAUGUUUUUUAUUGUUUCAUUAUUGAUUAUAGUGUCUUUUAUAAUUAUAUAUUUUUUUCUUUUAUUUUACAAUUAUAAACAUUCAAAAUCAUUAACUUAAAAUUAUUUAUUUCAGGCAUCAGAUACUCGAAGUGGUGCUCCAUCACCUAAUCAAGUAAUAAUAGGAUCAAGUGUAGGAAGCAAAACUGAUUAGGGAUGAGCAAUGUGUGUUUUAAUUUUAAAUUAUGUACCAACUUUUAAACAAUUAUGUGUGUUUUAAUUGUAAGUUAUGUAUCAACUUUUGCAUAAUUAUUUGUGUUUUGAUUUUCAAUUAUAAACUUUUGAACAUUAUUAUGUGUGUUUUAAUUUUCAAUGCAAUGAAUGGAUGCUUAUAACUUUAUACAUUAUUUCAUUUUAUUAGUAUUUUUUUUUUUUAUUAUGAAAAUAUAUUAUGUUUAGUUUAAUUGUGCAAACCAGAUUAUAAAAAAUGGUGGUUAAAUUUCAUUUAUUUAGAAUUAAAAUUACCUCAGUUGAAACCGAUGUAUUAUUUUUACAAUUUGAUUAUAAUACUGAAAUUUUUUUCAAUGAAUUAAAUUCCGACAAUUAUAACCGACAUUAUUUACAUAUAUAAACUGUCACUUUAAACAUAGUGUUAAAGUGACGGGUGUUGCGGCGGGUAGCGUAAAACCGCCACAUUAAACUUUGUGGCAGCUAAUUGUAUGGCGGUUUGGAAAACCGCCACACGCGUAUAUUGUGGCAGUUAUAAACGCCAGUUUAUACGAAAAUAACUAUCACAUUAUACACGAUUUUUUGUAGUGAAACUUGAUGACUAUUUUACGAUAAGUGUACCAUGUCAAAAGUAAUAAAUUGUUCCUAAGAACGAAUAUCAAACCCACAUGGAACAGUUAAUUUCUCAAGUACAAUAUUCACUAAACAUAAAACAAUAUGUAAAAGUUUGUUGAAAUGUUUUGUGUAUGAUGAAUUUGUAAGAAAUCAAAUAAAACAAAGUAAAUGAUUUGGAUGAUUUAGUUGGGAAAAUUGGGAUUGGGGUUCAUCCUUCUCACUCGUUAUGUAUUUUUCAAAAAAUAUAUAAUAUUUCAUCAUGAUUGAUAUUGGUGCACAUAUAAAAAUCCUUCAUAUCGAUUCUUCACCUACUUAUAAAAAUUUCUUAUCAUUAUGAACAAAUGUUAUAACGCAAUUAACAUUUUAAAUAUAUUCCUAGCAUUUAAAUAUGUUAAACAUUAUCCAAUCAAAUCUAAGGAUCAAAAUCAUGAAUAGUUCAAGCUUUGAAAAUAAAAUGACAAUACCAAUCAUCAAUCAAGAACAAAAUAUUAUAGAUCAAUAUCAUCUCAAUACAUAAGAGUUUGAACUUAUUACUCCCAAUCCCAAAGGGAAUAAUUAACCACUCAUGUUGUUCAUUACAAGCAUGGAAACAAGAAAAGAAGAUUCAAGAUGUUUCUCUUUUAUGAUUGCCUCCUCUAAGGUUUUCUAUCUCUCUCUAUUCUCCCAUUGAUGUCUAGGGUUAUGCUCUCUUCUUCUAUUUAACCUAAUUAGGCUUGGGCUAAGUGACAUCUCGCUUAAGUGAGUUAUUACUUUCUUAAGCAAGUUUGACGAGAAAAAGUCCAACUUUACUGGAGUGAACUCGCUUGGGCGAGCCUUGGGUGAGUCUUGGACUCUCUUUUCAUCUUGUAUAUUCUUUUUUAGCCCUUUUAUCUCCAUUUCUCCCUAGAAUCCUGAAAUUAACACAAAUUUGGGAAUAAAUUGUUCACAUUCAUCUUAUAAUAAAAAAUAUGUAGAGGGUUCAAUUUCCUAAAUUAGGGAUUGAAUUAUAACUAUGUUAUCAAUUAAAAUCCAUAAGUAUCUAUCUUUUUAUAUGAAAUAUUAAUGAAUUAUGAUACUUAUUAGUUACUUCCUUUUCCAUUUUUCAAUAACUUGGCAAGUCUUUUAAAAACUUUAAGUACAUCACUUUUUGUAGCUAAGAACAAAUUUCCUUGUAUAUCUUAAAAAAUCAUCAACGAUCACUAUGGCAUAAUAAUUAACACCAAGACUCGUAAUUCUUGAAGGAACAAAUGAAUCAAUAUGUAGAAGCUCCAAUAGUCUUAAAGUAGAAAAAAUAUUUUUCAUAUUAAAGGAGACUUUUAUAAUUUCCUUUUUUACAAUUUUCACAUUUUUUUCUUUUUCAAGCGCUUAGGUUUUGGCAAGCCAAUUACUAAAUCUUUAGAAAUCAAAUUUCUUAUAAGAUGUAUCUGAAUGUGUGCAGCUCUCCUAUGCCAAAGCAAAAAAUCUUAUUUUUUUUAUUAGGCAUGUUAGAUUCUUGAUUAUUUUACCAAUUAGAUUUUUUUAUUAGUUUUAGAAUCACAAAACAAGUAAUGGUUUGGUUCAAAUAUAAUCUUCUAUCCUUUAUCAUAGAGUUGAUUUAUUCUUAGCAGAUUAUGUGAUGGAAGAGUGCCUUCAUCCGAAUUGCAAUUUCUUGGAGUAGUGGCGGAAGCUUCAAUGGAUGAGAAUGAGCAAGGAACUCACGUAGAGUUGUGAACUCCUUGAAGGUGCAUGUUAGGUGUGGAGAGUGAGUGGUGAGGCCACCUCACUUGGCAAUGGUGAAGAAUGAAGAUUAAAAUGUCUAUCCCAGAGAGGUAGGAGACAAGGGGCAAAAUUGGCACAAUUUUGAUAGAAAUUUGCUCUAGAAUAAUCUUGCUAUUUCAUGAGCCAAGCACCUCCUUUUAUAGAAAAGGAGGGCUGAAAUUUGAAGAGCCAAAUACAAAUGAAAUGAAAGCUAAAUUCAAAUGUAAAGUUUUUGAAGUUGGCGCCUAAAAGAGAAGCACAUGGGAGGUGUGAUUAGCAUUUCUUAUUCCCUCCUCCAUGGGCCUUCUCAUGACCGACCUAGAUUAAAUUAGGUGUUUUUAGAAACCCUAAUUUAAUCUAGGUUGGUAAUCAGGUGCCAAAAUUAUCUCUAAGAAAAUUACAAGUAUGUUUCUGUACCGCCCUGGUAGUCAGAAGUGAUGACGUGGCACCAAGCUACAGUAUAGGCGUGUUGAUGAGACGCCAGGUUGGCAGAAGGGAAGGAGGUCGGGGGGCUCGUGAAGUCGCCAGUUAUUAUGUUGGCGUGCUCCGAUCUCCAGCACACCAGAAUUGUCGUGCUGGUGAAGAAGAGUAAUGAGAAAUGGCGCAUGUGCGUCGAUUUCACUGAUUUGAAUAAGGCCUGCCCAAAGGAUUCAUAUCCUUUACCAAGCAUAGACGUCCUGGUGGAUAGUGUUGCAGGGUGUAAGUUGUUGAGCUUCCUGGAUGCCUUCUCAGGGUAUAAUCAGAUCAAGAUGCAUCCCAUGGAUGAAGAGAAGACUGCCUUCAUGACCGAGAGAUCGUGCUACUGCUACAAGGUGAUGCCGUUUGGGCUGAAGAACGCGGGAGCCACGUACCAGAGGUUGAUGGAUCGAGUACUUGCACCGAUGCUGGGAAGGAAUGUGCAAGCGUACGUCGAUGACAUGGUCGUGACCUCGCCAGAAAAAAGCAAGCACGUUGCAGACUUGGAGGAAUUGUUCACGACGAUCGCCAAGUUCAAGUUGAAGCUGAAUCUAGAGAAAUGCAUCUUUGGCGUGGAGGCUGGAAAGUUUUUGGGUUUCCUCUUAACCGAAAGAGGAAUAGAGGCCAACCCGGAUAAGUGUGCCGCCAUCUUGGCAAUGAGGAGCCCAGCUACCGUGAAGGAAGUGCAACAACUAACAGGUCGGAUGGCCGCCCUGUCUCGCUUCGUGUCAGCUAGCGGAGAGAAGGGCCAUCCCUACUUCCAGUGCCUAAGACGCAAUAACAAGUUUGCUUGGACGAAGGAGUGCGAGGAAGCCUUCGUCAAGCUGAAAGAGUAUCUGGCGAGCCCGCCGGUUUUGUGUAAACCGCUGGUGGGAACCCCUCUCAGGUUGUAUUUUGCUGUAACUGAGAGGGCGGUGAGUGUGGUGCUCGCCCAGGACCAAGAUCAGGCUCAAAAGCCUAUUUAUUUUGUUAGUAAGGUGCUGCAGGGCCCCGAAACGAGGUAUCAGGCCCUGGAAAAGGCUGCGCUGGCUGUGGUAUUUUCGGCGAGGAGGUUGCGCCACUAUUUCCAUAGCUUCACGAUACUGGUGAUGACCGACCUGCCCAUCCAGAAGGUCUUGAAGAAGCCUGACGUUGCGGGAAGGAUGGUGAAGUGGGCAGUAGAGUUGUCAGAGUUUGAUAUUAAGUAUGAGCCCCGAGGCCCGAUUAAGGGGCAAAUCUUCGCAGAUUUCGUGGUCGAGCUCUCAUCUGAGGCGACACGAGUUGAAGGGGACGAUUUCCGUUGGGUGCUCUCGGUGGAUGGAUCGUCGAACCAGCAGGGUAACGGCGCUGGAGUCAUUUUGGAAGGACCCAACGGCGUGCUGAUCGAACAAUCUUUGAGGUUUGCCUUCAAAGCCAGUAACAAUCAAGCAGAAUAUAAGGCGUUGAUCGCCGGGAUUUUGCUGGCCAAAGAGAUGGGAGCCAGGGUGUUGAUGGCUAAGAGAGACUCGCUGCUAGUCACGGGGCAAGUAACAGGCGAGUUCCAGGCUAAAGAUCCACAAUGGCCGGCUUACCUGGAGUAUGUGCAGGAAUUGAAGAGUUCCUUUGCCUCCUUUGAAGUGGUGCAUGUGCCCAGAGAGCAGAAUGCCCGAGCUGACUUGCUAGCUAAGCUCGCCAGUUCAGGCAAGGGCGGUAGGCAGAGGACGGUGAUUCAAGAAACUCUGAAGACGCCGAGAGCAUUUGUAGCAGAUCACCUGGUUCUUCAGAUAAGCAAGUCGACGCAGAAAGCAGCGAGAAGUCAUAAGUCCCUGACGCAAGAGACUUUGAGAUCGCCGAGAAUUAGAGCAUGUCGAGGAGAGAAGGUGAACAUGACGCAGGUCUACGCUAUCCAUGAGCCAGACACCUGGAUAACACAGUACAAGCGGUGCCUGGCAGAUGGCCUUCUCCCACUGGAUCCGACAGAGGCUAGGAAGGUAAAGAAAAAUUCUAGCAAGUACACAAUGAUCGAUGGCGAGUUGUACAGGUUUGGGUUCACUCACCCACUCCUGGAAUGUGUGUAUGGCGAGAAAUGCACGAGGAUUAUGGCAGAGCUCCAUGAAGGGAUAUGCGGAAGCCACGUCGGGGGUCGAGCUCUGGCCGCAAGGACUCUCCGUGCAGGCUACUACUGGCCAACGAUGAGAGAAAACUGCAAGAGGUAUGCGCAGUGUUGCAAACAAUGCCAACAGCACGCCAAUUGGCACAAGGCGCCUCCCGAGGAGUUGAAGUCGAUUUACAGCCCUUGGCCGUUUCAUACUUGGGGAAUCGACAUCCUGGGACCAUUCCCGCUGGCGAUCAGGCAGAUGAAGUACUUGGUGGUGGCGAUUGAGUAUUUCACCAAAUGGAUCGAAGCAGAACCAGUGGCCCAGAUCACCGCACACAAGAUCGAAGGUUUUGUAUGGAAGAACAUUGUGUGCCGGUUUGGUGUGCCCAAGCGCCUGGUGUCAGACAAUGGGACUCAGUUUGCAAGUCACCUGUUGAAGAAGCUGUGCGAAGGGGUGGGAAUUCAAGAAGUGUUUGCAUCCGUCGAGCACCCUCAGACAAAUGGCCAAGUAGAGUCAGCGAAUCGGGUGUUGCUAAGAGGUUUGAAGAGAAGGCUAGAGAAAGCCAAAGGAAGCUGGGCUGAGGAGGUACCCCGUAUAGUCUGGGCGUACCACACCACCGAACAGUCAGGAACCCAUGAGACCCCGUUCAGCUUGGUCUAUGGGUGUGAUGCAAUGAUUCCAGUAGAAAUCCAGGAGAGCUCGCCGAGAUUCCAAAACUUCGUAGAGGAAGACUCGAACGAGGAAAGAAGGUUGAACCUAGAUCUACUGGAUGAGGUCAGGGAAGAGGCGAGAUUGAAAGCUGAGGCAGUGAAGAGAAGGAUUGAACGAAGAUAUAACUCGAAGGUGAUGCCAAGACAGUUUAGAGAAGGCGACCUGGUGAUGAGGAAAGCCCACCAGUACGAGAUGGAGAAUAAGCUGUCACCUAAGUGGACGGGACCGUUCAGAAUAAUCGAGGCGCUCGGGAACGGCGCCUACCGCUUAGAGACGUUGGAAGGAGGGGCGAUUCCUCGCACUUGGAACGCCACUCACCUCAAGUUAUAUUACAGUUAAGAGCUUUGUAAGUAAAGACAAACGCGAAGUUAUAUUACAAUGUCUCUGUUAAAACAGUUUGAAGGGGGCACUCUUUUUUCCCUAAGGAGGGUUUUUAAUGAGGCCACCCAAUAAAAGAAGAGUUUUCGAAGUUCAAAGUUGUUUUAGAUUGCAUGCUUGUUGUUUUCAGAAAGUUUUGAAGGAAGACCUUGUCACUUAUAUGUGACUUAAGGCAAGUAAAGAUAUAUUGCAUGCUUUCUAAAAAGUUUUAAGGCCUCAUCGUCUUUCGACGAUCGGAGGCAUCAGUUAAAGUUAAAGUCCUCAUCGUCUUUCGGCGAUCGGAGACACCAGUUAAAAGACCUCAACGCCCUCGCGCGUCCUGAGGCGAGAUAAAGACCUCCUCGCCGUCGAGCGAGUGCAGGCGAGGAAGAGUGAAAAGUCCUCAGUGUUUCUGGGGGCGAGAAGAUGUAACCCCUGGGGCAAUGUAGAGGCACCAGUGAAAAGUCCUCAGUGCUUCUGGGGGCGAGAAGAUGUAACCCCUGGGGCAAUGUAGAGGCACCAGCUAAAGUCCUCAGUGUUUCUGGGGGAGAGGAGAUGUAACCCCUGGGGCAAUGAAGAGGCACGAUUUAAAGACCUUCUCGUCUAUGAGCGAGUUCAGGCGAGUUAAAAGACCUUGUCGCCAAUGAGCGAGUUCAGGCAAGAUAAAAUCCUUCUCGUCUCGAACGAGUUCAGGUAUGGUGCGAAGGGUGGAAGAAGUUUGGGGGGUGGCUAAGGUAGGUUCGAAGAGAACACCUAGUCACCUGGUCUUUUGUUCUGAAGUUCAGGAAGGUAGAGAAGGAUCCGAAAGGUGCCUCUACCCCCAGAUGAAGGAACAAUGGCCAAGUUGUGAAGGCAGAAAGAAACUGAUACCGCCAAGAGUCUUUGGCGACCAGGAAAAGUUCAUGCAGCGGCAAGAAAGUUAAAGACCCGUUUUGAUGAAGCAGGUCGGGUUAGCGGUGUCUUAAGCCGUUAGUUGAGUUAAAGUUCGUUGCUUGAAGAGUGAUUUUACGCUAAGGUUCAUUACCUUGAGAUUACAAGUUGUUAGAGCGUUAUUGUCCGAAGAUCGGUGGUUCGAAACAGUUAAGUACACGAUUGCGCUUACGAAAUUACUAAGUUAUUUCUUGAAGCAAUUUGUGCAAGGAAAGUUAAAGCAACCAAAGAAGUUAUAAGAGGAAAUACAAAGACUUUGUCAUUAAAGUAAAUAUCAGUUCAGGGCACACGUACAGAAAAAUAGAAAGUUUUAUUACAAUUAUAUGCAAAGGGAAAGCAUAAAGGUAGUGGACGGAGGGAAUCGAUCAGUCUUCAGCGGGAACAACCUUCCCAUCCACCACCUCGUUGUUAAGGGACACCAUGCUGAGAUCUAGAUCGGGGAACAAGCAGGCGAACUGUUCCCGUGCGGCCUCGAAUCCAACAGCCAGAAUUUGGGCAGAACUCAGAUUAAGUUCUUCAAUCUGUUUCUUGAGUUCUUCAGUUUGUUCCUUUAGCCCUUUGUUCUGCUGCUCCAGCUCUUCAGCUUGCUUCUUAAGUUUUUCGAUGGUUUCCUGAGCUUGGAGAAGGUCUUCAACAACCUUCUUGGAUUCUGCCUGCACCUGGCCCAAUUCAGCAGCGAUCUUCCUAUUUUCUUUGUUGGCUUCAGCAAGCUUCGCCAUGGUGUUGUCCCUUUCUUUUUCCACCGUCCCCAGGAAGACCUCCCGAUUGGCUGACCUUUGCUCCAGUUUCUUCACCUUGGCGGCGUCAGUUUUGAUCAAGGCCUCCAGGUCAGCCACUUUCACGCGAUAAGGCACCAGCUUGUUCUCUAGCUCAAUCUUCUCUUGAGCCAAGAGUUGUACCUUAUGGCGGAGAUCGGUGGCCUCCUUGCGCGCCACCCGGAGCUCGGUGCUCAUUGCAUCUUCUACUCGGGAGUGUUCAAUCUCGGCGAGUGUCAGAUUGCAGGAUAACUUCUCCGCCUCGAUCCUUAUAGUGCUAUUCUCAGUUCGGAGGGCGUAGAGGUCAUCCUGGAGCUUCCUGGUGGAGCUCUCCACAACUCUAGAGAUAAUGGUGGGGAAGUCCUCUGCCAUCAUCUUCAGUUUGGCAGAGAAAGGCUCCCACAUCCUCUUGACCUCAAGAGAGAGGUCUGCUUGUGGAGGCACCGGGUGGGCCUGUUGUUGGUUUUCGCCGCCACCUUCUUGAGUUGGUUGCUCAGCAGGUGCUUCUUGGCGUGGUGGCGACGUCGGGGAUUCAGUAAUCAGAAUUGGCGAGUUGUGGGCAACCUCAUCCCCGAUUGGAGCAACGUUUGCGGUUGAGGCAUUUGAAGGAGGACCCCCUCCAACUGAUACAAAAGGCGUGGAGGCGCUUGGGGGGUCCUCCAUGAAGUUUGGCUCGGGGGCCUCAACCAUAGGUGGCGCAGACGCCAAUGGAAUUGCUUGGACUGGUGAGGCGGGAGCUGGUGGAAGAGGCAAUGUUGGAGGCGGGGCAGGUGUAGAUGGUGGCGUUGAUGUUGGAAGGGGGGGUGGAGCGGAUGGUGAAGAAGGUGCCACCCUCUUCCUCUUCGUGACGAGGCCAUCUUUAGUUACCUCGUCGUCUUCCUCUUCCUCCUCAUGGACUACUUGGGGGGCUUUCCUCUUGGGUUUCCUGAGGACAAGCUUUUUGCGUUGGUUGGCGGGUUGGGCCUCAGAGGAAGUUGGGCCUCUGGGUGGCGAUCUGCCUUGAGCAGCGGCGAUCUCCACCACAGAGUUUGGCACGGUUUGGGAACCCGAUGCCAACCUGUGGGUUCAGGCGAGCGCCCUCAGUUCAGCGAGCUUGCCCCGGCCCAACAUAUUAUCUGCAUAGAGCAAAAAUGCAUGGGUUAGCUCAGAAAGAAAAUAAAUGCAUAAGGCAGUAUGCAGCAAAGCAGAUAAGUAGUGCAGAAAAAUAAAACCAAAGUCUUGCGCACAACGCACAAGACGCCCAGAAACAGUUAACGGAGGGAAUAUCAAAAAUAAAACUUAGACGUCGAGGUGAGUUCUAACCUAUACGAAUUUCAAGUUGAUCUUCGAAGAACUCGAAGCAGAUGAGCGUGGUGGUGAGGAAGGUNNNNNNNNNNNNNNNNNNNNNNNNNNNNNNNNNNNNNNNNNNNNNNNNNNNNNNNNNNNNNNNNNNNNNNNNNNNNNNNNNNNNNNNNNNNNNNNNNNNNNNNNNNNNNNNNNNNNNNNNNNNNNNNNNNNNNNNNNNNNNNNNNNNNNNNNNNNNNNNNNNNNNNNNNNNNNNNNNNNNNNNNNNNNNNNNNNNNNNNNNNNNNNNNNNNNNNNNCUUUUAUUUUCUACCACUUGCCACCCACAAACUGAUGGUCAAACCGAGGUGGUGAAUAGAACUUUGGGACAACUAUUGAGAUGCUUUAUUUCGGGGAAUCCUAGAGUGUGGGAGAAUUUACUACCCCAUGUUGAGUUUGUAUAUAACCGAGUAGUAAAUUCUACCACCUCCCAUUCUCCUUUUGAGGUGGUCUAUGGGUUUAAUCCCCUAACACCUGUGCUCCUUAUGGAAUGAUUGGUGAGGCUCAUCUCCUUUCGUCAGUCGCAGAACUGCCCCAGCAGAGUUUACAGAAGAUGUUUCCCUCAACAAAGUCGAGGUGGCCCAUGGGUACAGUUUUUUGAAGUCUGGGAGGGGAACAGAGGCUCCUCCGGCGACAGGGGGAGUGGCCUGAGCCAAGUUGGGGCGGGAGGGUGCAGGCCUCUCAGCCUGAGAAGACGAAGCACCACGUGCUCGCGGUGGGACGUGUGCUUGUGAGGAGGGGUUUCGUGAUGAAGGAGGAGGAUUUGGGGUGAUCUUUGGGCGAGUCAUUGCGGAAGCUGCAGAGGAAAAAGAAAAGGAAAAAUGAUCAGGGUUCGCAGAGGCUAACUCGAUCAUGAAAGAAGGGUGAAAAACGAACGAACGUAGGUUCGUUGUGACGUUGACGGAGCCCUAAGUUACGAGAAAGGAGAAAUGGAAAAAAACAACCCACAACGUAUGCACCAGACAGUUAAAGGAUGAUGCGAAUCGGUUAAAAUGCAGGAAAAACCAGCAGAAGAAGGAAAGGAAGUACCUUUUUAUGAUCAGAAAGGUGAUGAAGGAUGUUGGUGAUUCAGGAGGUUGAAGAACAUUGAGAGCUUUUUUGCAGAAGGGGGUUGGAGCGUGUGAGAAUACGAAGAAAGUGAUGGAACAGUGGAGUGAAAUGGGUUUUAGAGUUUUUCGAAAUGGGUUUAGGAAGCGCAAACGUUAACUGAAGGUAACCGUUGAUGAAGCCACGUGUCGAACGAUGGGAGGGGUGUUUGGUGGAGCGUCAGAGAAGCAGAAAGUACAACCGCUUGGAAUUCUGCGUCAGUGCCACGUAGAUCGGUGUUGACGUGACUCUUUCAGUCUUUUCGCUGGACAAGUCUUCGCUUAAGACUGGGUGGCUUGUGUACCGCCGUGGUAGUCGGAAGUGAUGACGUGGCACCAAGCUACAGUAUAGGCGUGUUGAUGAGACGCCAGGUUGGCAGAAGGGAAGGAGGUCGGGGGGCUCGUGAAGUCGCCAGUUAUUAUGUUGGCGUGCUCCGAUCUCCAGCACACCAGAACCGGCGGUCACCGGGUUAAAGAUGAAGUCGCCAGAUGUAAACUCAGGCGACCAAGUGAUUAGAGAUCGCCGGAGCAAGCACAUCGCCGAAGAUGAAGGUGGUGCAGAUUAUGAAGGCGGUCGGCGAGACCACAGGGAAGGUGUACGAAGGCUCCCUAACUCGCCAAUCCCAGUAGAGAUCGCGCUCCAAGUUAGCUAUGCACUGGGCAGUACCAUGCAUAAGUAACUUAGCCAAAAGAGAGUCAGAAGCAGCGCCCAAGUCAAGGAGGCUCCAGAUGAUGGCACGUGUACGGUUGGAUGCAAGCCACGUGUCCAGAUGCGUAACUGCCAGGAGAGAGAAAGUGACCAGGUAUAAAAGGGUUUCCCAACGAACUUCUGAGGUACGCACGUUCAGAUUGUAUUCUUUACGCUUGCGAGUUCUUGAGCAUACUGUGAGAGAGAACAUUGCACGGUUCCUUGAGAGUUCUUGAGUGUUUGCUCUUGAAGUAUUUGGUGGUUCAGUCACUGACUUGGGCGUUGGAGUGCGAUCGGCCGCAGCACCGCCGCUCUGUUCUUUUGCAGGUUCUUGAGGUGGAUCGCGACGAAAGACGGAGGUUGAAGCGGUGCACACGUCGAUCCAAGUUUGACGAGGCAAGUUCCAACGUUCUGGUCAACAGGCAGGAUCAGUUUCCUAAGCUAAUUUUAACACAAAAAUAAAUUCUACUCUACACUAGAGUUAUGACAUUUUAAACAUGUACAAGAAGGUUUCCCUACCAUCAGUAACCGUAUUCCAAUCUUCUAGAUUCUUCUUGGCCAUGGCUCUGAUGGUAGGCCCGGAUCUUCUCUUUGUUGGGCUUGCACUUGUUCUAGGGCCUCUUCCAUCAUUUCCUCCCUCUUGAAAAGGAUUUGUCCUCAAAUCCAAUGCUUUUACUUCUUCUUCAUUACUUCCUACAAAAGGCAUUAGGUCCAUAACAUUAAAAGUAUUAUGAGCUCCAUAUUCUUCAGGUAAAUCAAGAAUGUAUGCAUUGUUGUUAAUUUUUUUUAGGACUUAGAAGGGUCCAUCACCUCGGGGACUAAGUUUGGACUUCCUCUAAGUUGGAAAUCUAUCUUUCCUAAGAUGAAGCCAAACUAAAUCUCCUUCUUCAAAGACUAUCUCUCUCUUCCCCUUAUUGUUAUGUUUUGUAUAUUUCUCUGUUUGUUGUUGUAUUUGUUCUUUAAUCCUCUCAUGCAUUUUCUUAACAAAUUCAGCUUUUGUUAGUCCUUCCUUAUGCACAAAUUCUUGUGGAUUAGGAAGUGGCAACAAGUCUAAAGGAGUAAGAGGAUUAAAUCCAUAAACAACCUCAAAUGGAGAAAUAUUAGUAGUUUUAUGAACUACUCUAUUGUAUGCAAACUCAAUAUGGGGAAGAUACUCAUCCCAAGAUCUAUGGUUGCCUUUCAUGACUGCCCUAAGCAUAGUACCAAGAGAUCGAUUUACAACUUCGAUUUUUCCAUUCGUUUGAGGAUGACAAGAAGUUGAAAAUUUCAAUUUGGUUUCAAGUCUUGCCCAAAGGGUUCUCCAAAAAUGACUUAUAAAUUUUGGAUCUCUAUCGAACACUAUGCUUCUUGGUAGACCAUGAAGUCUUACCACAUCUCUAAAGAAGAGUCUAGAGGUAUUAUUUGCAUCAUCCACUUUGUGGCAUGGAAUAAAAUGUGACAUUUUGCUAAACCGAUCCACAACCACAAAAAUGGAAUCAAAACCUUUUGUCAUCCUAGGAAGUCCUAGAAUAAAAUCCAUGUUAAUGUCUUCCCACGGAGCACUUGCAAAAGGUAAAAGAGUAUAUAGUCCAUGAGACAUUGUUUUAGAUUUAGCUUUUAAACAUGAUAUGCAUCUAAAGCAAUGUCUCUGAACGUCUCUUCUCAUAUGUGGCCAAAAGAAUUUUCCUUUUAAAAGCUCUAGAGUUUUGUCAACUCCAAAAUGGCCCAUGAGACCUCCUUCAUGAGAUUCUUUUACAAGAAGUUUUCUAUGUGUUCCUUGGGGUAUGCAUAGUUUUCCUUCUUUAAAAAGAUACCCCUCAGACACAUAAAACCCUAAUUGUGCUCUAUGUUCACAUUUAACAAAGAUGGAUGCAAAAUCAUGAUCUUCUUUGUAAAGUUCUAUUAUGUUUUCAAAUCCAAGAAUUUGGGCUCGAAGUUUUGAAAAUAGGGCAUGUCUCCUUGAAAGAGCAUCAACCACAAUGUUUGAACUGCCCUUAUUGUAUAUGAUAACAUAAGGGAACUGUUCAAGAAAUUCCAUCCAUUUUGCAUGACGUUUAUUCAACUUAUGUUGACCUUUCAAAUACUUUAAAGACUCAUGAUCAAUAUGAAUGACAAAUUCUUUAAGGCCCUCACAAGUGCAUAUAGCUCCUUAUCAUAGGUUGGGUAGUUGAGGGUGGCACCAUGAAUUUUUUCACUAAAAUAAGCAAUUGGGUGUCCACCUUGCAACAACACUGCUCCUAUGCCUACUCCCGACAUCACACUUUAGCUCAAAAGUUUUUGCAAAAUUUGGUAAAGCUAGAAUGGAUGCAUUAGUGACUUGAGCUUUUAGCCUUUUGAAGGCUUGAUCUUGCUACUCGGUCCAACAAAAUGGAGCGUCUUUCUUCACUAACACAUUGAGUGGUGAAGCUAGACUUGAGAAGUUAGGCACAAAUCUCCAAUAAAAACUUGUUAAUCCAUGAAAACUCCUAACCUCUCUUACAUUUUGUGGAAUUGGUCAUUCUUGGAUGGCUUUGAUUUUUUCAGGGUCAACAUAUACCCCAUUUUUGUUAACUAUAAAUCCUAAAAAUACUACACUAUCAACACAAAAAGUACAUUUAUCUCUAUUAGCAAACAAACUAUUAUUCCUAAGCACUAGGAGAACAUCCCUAAGGUGACUUAGGUGAGAUUCUAGGCUUUGGCUAUAUACUAAUAUAUCAUCAAAAUAAACUACUACAUAUUUUCCUAUACAAUCCCUUAAGACAUGAUUUAUUAGCUUCAUGAAAGUGCUAGGUGCAUUAGUAAGCCCAAAAGGCAUUACUAACCACUCAUAUAGUUCAAAUUUGGUUUUAAAAGCGGUUUUCCACUCAUCACCUUCUUUAAUUCUAAUUUGGUGAUAUCCACUUUUAAGAUCAAUUUUAGAAAAUAUGGUGGACCCAUGCAAUUCAUCAGGCAUGUCAUCUAGUCUUGGAAUCACCACACAUUUUUCAAAACAAUGUGCUUCAAUUUAAUUCAAAUAAGUUGCCCAGAUUUUAUUCAGAUUGACUUAUCAGAAAACAAGAACAGUAUGAACAGACCAAAAUGAACAGAUUCAAAUUUAAUUGAACAGGUUUAUUUUUUGACAGAUCACCAAACAAAGCAGUAAAUGAGUGUAGAGAUUAAGAAAGAUUGAACACCAUAAGAUUAUACUGGUUCACUCAAAUGAGCUACAUCCAGUCUCACAUUUACCAAGGUGAAAUCCACUAAAAAUAGUGCACACCAAUUACAACACCUAAUGUUCUUGAACCCUACAAGAACAAGGCACACCUAGCUAAAAAAACUCUAUUUCAGCACACACAACUCUUUAAGAAACCCUAUCAAGAGGAGUCUUACAAUCACUCUUUACAAAGAAACAAAUGAUGAAAGGAAUACACCUGGAAAGAGAAUGCAGAAAUCCUACAAGACCAGUAGAACAAAUUGCCCAAAGCAAUGACAACACCUUCGAUCAAACUUAGAACAAAAACAAGAACAAGCACACCUUUCUCUUUUGAAAAACUCUUUCAAGAUCACGUGCUAAUCUUCUGAAAACUCUCAAUCUCUAUUUUAAACUCGUUUUCUCAACACACUUUUUAGUGAGUUAUAACUCUCUUUAUAUAAGAAAUGAUUUAUAAUAGAAUAUCAAAAAACAGUUUAAAAAGCUAUUAUAAAAAGAACAGAUAGAAGUUAUAAUGAAUAGAUUUAUUUUCAAAAAGAUAAAGAGAGACUUUUAAAGAAGAAGGCAUCAGUUUAAAAAAGAAUAUAUUCAUUUAAGAAAGAAGAGAUUCAUUUUUUGUGCAGUAAAGCAUAUUUUGGGAAAACAUGAGAAAAAACAUUUUAGAAAACGUUGUGCUUGAUCUUAUCACCUUGAUAAAGAUUAAAAGGUGGGUCACCAGGCAAAAAGCUCACUUUAAACACACUCUAACCUAUAUACAACACUAUCCAAUUACAAGUACAAUCUUCAAAGCAGAACACACACAUUUCUUCAUCAAACACAUUGACUGGAAGGAGCAACAACCAUCUUCAACAGUGGACUCCUUGAAGGUGCAUGUUAGGUGUGGAGAGUGAGUGGUGAGGCCAUCUCACUUCGCAAAGGUGAAGAAUGAAGAUUAAAGUGUCUAUCCUAUAGAGGUAGGAGACAAGGAGAAAAAUUGGCACAAUUUUGGUAGCAAUUUGCUCUAGAAUAAUUUUGUAUUUCAUGAGCCAAACACCUCCUUUUAUAGCAAGGGAGGGUUGGAAUUUGAAGAGUCAAAUACAAAUGAAAUGAAAGCUAAAUUCAAAUGUAAAGCUUUUGAAGUUGGCGCCUAAAAGAGAAGCACAUGGGAGGUGUGAUUAGCGUUUCUUAUUCCCUUCUGAUGACCGGCCUAGAUUAAAUUAGGUGUUUUUAGAAACUCUAAUUUAAUCUAGGUUGGUAAUUAGGUGCCAAAAUUAUCUCUAAGAAAAUUACAAGUAAAAUUCAUGAGCUAAUUUUAACACAAAAAUAAAUUCUACUAUACACUAGAGUUAUGACAUUUUAAACAUGUACAAGAAGGUUUCCUUGCCAUCAGUAGCAGUAUUUCAAUCUUCUUGAUUCUUCUUGGGCAUGGCUAUAGUGGUAGGCCCGGAUCUUCUCUUUGUUGGGCUUGCAUUUGGGCUUGUCCUUGGGCCUCUUCCAUCAUUAUGUUUAAGUUUAUCCACAUUAAGAACAUUCUCUAUAAAAAUAAAAUAAGCAUUAACAACAUUCACACUUCUGUUAAAGAGAAGUCCAAUGAUAAGUGUCAUAUUUCAGUAAUAUUUCAUAUUAAAAUAUAGAUACUUGUGGAUAUUAAUUGAGAAAAUAAAUAUAAUAUAACCCCCUAAUUUUGGAUAUUAAAGAGAAGUCCAAUGAUAAGUAUCAUAUUUCAGUAAUAUUUCAUAUUAAAAUACAGAUACUUGUGGAUAUUAAUUUAGAAAAUAAUUGUAAUAUAACCCUUAAUUUAAGAAUUUAAUCCUUUUUUACAUGUUUUGUGAUUAUAAUUUGAAUUAGAACGAAUUAUUCCCAAAUUUGUGUUAAUUUUAGGAUUCUAGGAAAGAAUGGAGAUGAAAGGGCAAAAGGAGAAUAUACAAAGCUAAAAGGGAAAGCUGGAACGCACCAACACUCACCCAAGCUUGCCCAAACUCGCCUAAGCAAGACACCCCUAGAGGAUCUCGCCCAAGUGAGAUCACUCUGGUAAUGUUGGGCCUUUUUUCGUGCAACUCGCCUAAUAACGCACUAGCGAGAAGUCACUUAGCCCAAGCCCAACUAGGUUAAAUAUGAGGUUUGAGGCACAACCUAGAGAUCAUUGAGUGGAUUGGAAUCCAAUUGGGAGAAUUGAAUGUGUUAGAAAUCCUAGAGGAGGCAAUCAUCAACGACAAACAUCUUGGAUCUUCUUUUCUUGCUAUCCAUGCUUGUAAUAGCCAACAUGGGUGGUUAAUUCUACCCUUUGGGAUUGGGAGUAAUAUGUUCAAACUCUUGUGUAUUGAGGUGAUAUUUAAAUAUAAUAUUUUGUUCUUGAAUGAUGAUUGGUAUUGUCAUUUUAUUUGUAAUGCUUCUUUCUAUGAUCUAGAUCCUUAGAUUUCACUAGAAAGUACUUCUAAGUUUCUGACCCAAAUGAUAAUGCUUAACAUAAUUGAAUGCUAGGAAUAGAUUUGAAAUGUUAAUUGCUAUCAACGUCUAAUUUUAAUGAUAAGAAAUUUUUAUAAAUAUGCGAGGAAUCGAUAUUUAGGAGACUCUCUAAAUAAUUUUAUAUGCGAUGAAUCAAUAUAAAUGACUUUUAUACGGGCAUCAACAUCAAUCAAAGGAUAGAAUAUUAUCAUGCUAAUCAAAAUACAAAAGAGUAAGAAGGAUGAACCCCAAUCCCAAAUUUCCCAAUUGACCCUACAAACUCUUUGACUUGUUUUCUUUUUAAUCGUUCUAAUCAUAACAAACUCCCAACAAACUUUAUUAUUUUGUUUUCUAUUUAGUGAAUCCUUUUACUUGAUUAUUCAAUUGUUCCUUGUGGGUUCUAUAUCCGUCCUUAGGGAAAAAUUAUUACUUCUGACAACACGGUGCACUUGUCGUAAAUCAGUCAUCAUCUAACACCCUACAAUUUUGAUUAAAUGCUAAAAAUAGCUAAGUAUGAAAACUGAUUAUGUUUCCUUUGAAAUACGAUGGUUUAAUGCAUAACAGAUCAUGAAAAACGCAAUGAUUUUAUUUGAUAGACGAUACAACAUUAUAUAGUCUUAGUUUAUGUAUGAUAAAAUACAAAUGUUCUCAGACAAUAAAGCACGUAAAGGUGAACUAACCUCUUACUGAAAUGAAAACACAAAAGGAAAUUCUAUGUUGCAAGGAAUGUCUACUUCUUUCGUCUAAUAAUGAGAUUUGUUAGACAAAGGAGAAAGUCACAUCAAAAGGAUCUCUUGAACAAAGAACUAAAUUUGUUUUUCUUCACCAAAUCCCUCCAAGCAUUGUCAACUCUAGAAGGAUUGUAUACUUCAUAUGACACUACAAAUUGAAGACAAAUCCAAAAAGUUCACACUUCCUAAGAAGGAGUACAUCAAUCGUUUGGGAUAUUGCAUAAAGGAGAAAGAAGCAUUUACUGGUGCAUAGGGUGCAUUAAAUGCAUCCAUCUUUCUCAAGCUAAUUAGACGAAGAAUUACAUUCAAAAGAAUUGAAGUUACUAAACAGCCAGAAAUGGAUUCACAAUGGUUACUUUCUUCUAAGCUCAUAUAAAGCAAAUCAAGAAGAAGAAGAAAGUGUGAGACAAUGCUAUAUUUUGAAAAAACUCUACGAAAUUUUCUAGGCCAACAAAAGCAUCAAGAUGAACAUUGUUACUUUUCAAACCAACAAAGUAGAUGAGAGAGUUUUAGUUCAUACACGUCAACAGAUGAUCAUCCCCUCUAAUAAGCAAUUCAGUGAUCCUUUUAUCAUUAUUUAUAUCAUCUAGUCAUCUUAGCCAAUUGUGGUUGUUUGGUAAAGAAUACUCAGAUUAUUAGUUAAGAGUGAUUGUUUUUUAAAGAAUACUUAAAUUAUUAGCCAGGGGUGAUUUUAUUCAAAGAAUACUCACUAAGGCAGAAAUGGCUUAGUAAAAGAAUACUUGAAUGGGGCCAAUCAUGAGUGGUUGAGAACUGAAAGAAUACUCAAUGGAGCUAGGAGUGGCUUGGAAAAAAAUACUUGGUUGGUCCAGGAGUGGUUGGGGAAAGAAUACUUGGUUAAGACAGGAGUGACUUGAGAAAGAAUACUUGGUUAAGACAAGAGUGACUUGGUAAAAAUGUACUUAAGGGGCUAACCAAGGCAAUACAAGGCUUGGAAAAAAAAUACUUGGUUGGUCCAAGACCGGUUGGGGAAAGAAUACUUGGUUAAGAUAGGAGUGACUUGAGAAAGAAUACUUGGUUAAGACAAGAGUGACUUGGUAAAAGUGUACUUAAGGGGCUAACCAAGGCAAUACAGUUUCCUCUGCGGUGCACAUCCAUAAGAACCCUAAAAUAGCAGAACAAGAGUUCAAGAGCGUGAGAAACAUAAAAGAAAGAAGAAUCAUGGAGUGUAGUAAAAUGAGGUUGGUGGAGUAAGGAAUUGAAUCACUUAUAAACUUCGAAAAGGAUGUCGAAAUCUUGAGAUGUGAUGUGGUGAUAGUUGGUGGAUAGCGGAAAAAAUGGUGAGCCAUGAAGAAGAUUUAGUGGCAAAAUUAUAAUAGGGUUUAGAUAAAAGAAAUUGUACUUGGAAAUAAAACGUUGUAUAAGGCGAGAUGAGUUUUUUUUUUCUUUGGAAAAUAAUAUACAAGAGGAAACGAAAAAUUUAAUUAAUUAUUUUAAUUAGAAAUAGAAGAAAGGGAAUAAGAAACAUAAGAUAAAAAAAAAUAGAAUAUGUUCCUGCUAGGGAGAUGUGACCUAGAGAACUAUUGAAGUCUUCGUCUUCCUCCUUCGGUCCGGCAGGUUGCUAGGGCUUCACUGGGAUCCUUCUCGCCUUUGUGUUACUCCUUCGGCUCUCAGUCUCGGGUGAAUGCCAAAUGGGGGAGGUACCUGCAGAAGGCACUCCGAUGCUCAAGUCAGUAAAGGGUGUUCGGUAUUCGGGUAAGUGUACAGUAAUAAUGACGUACCAUGCUCCUUGAAAUGUGUGCUAUUUAUAUUAUGUUAAUGGGCUUACCUCAUUGGGCCUGAUUAGUGGAAUGGAUCACACUUAUGGUUGUAUUACCUAAUUCUUAAUGGUAGUUUAACUUCAUUGACCUUGGUUUGAGCGUUAAUGGUUAUAUGUCUGGUCGGCUUGGCCGUGUGUGGUGUCUCGGCCAGCUCGGUCAAGGAGACCGAGUCGCGUCAGCGUGUGUCUCGGUCAGGCAGGCCAAGCCACGUCAGCGUGUCGGUCGGCCAUACCAAUACAGUUGCCCCCUAGGCUCAAAGAUGGACACAUCCGAUGAGUAUUUAAUGAUGGGUGUCGGUCGACCUCCCUUGGGUGCGUGACUGUUGGACUUCCCGAGGUGUGAUGUGACCUCAGGCGGCGUGACGUGACCCGCAUUAAUGAGGGAAUUUUUUUUGCGGUAGACGUUGUGGACCGUUGGAUUUGGAAGAUCUAACGAUUGAGAUCGUUUUGAGGUUUCGUAUUCCGAGGUCCUUGGGCCCUAUAAAUAGUGGUCCCAACAGUGUCGAGACACUAUGCUUUCUUUUUGUGAGUUGUCUGUUGUUAACAGUUGGUCUUAUUUCUUAUCUUUCUAACACUUGUGAUUUUUUUGCAGAGAUCAUGCUGCAAGAGUCACCUGCUGGUGCUGACGUCCUCGACGCCUACAGGAAAUGGGCCGUCGAGCGCAAGGGGUGUCAGAGCAUUGACGCUCUGCCAACCACAAAGGGAUCGAAUGCCCGAGGUGACAAGGGCUUGGUCGGCCCUUCCCACAAGUCCAAGAAGAGGGUCAGGGAUGGUGGUAACAUUGCCACCACUACUCGUUCCCCUGGGUGUCGAUACCGCCACCACGUUGGGACACGAUCAAGGUGGACUCACCCUCACCGAGGCACGUGGAGCAGGCGGUUACAUCUCCUGAGGCCGACCACGUAAUGGAAGUCUCGAUAUCACCCUUCGCCCACCUAGGGGGGUGACUUGCAGUUUGCACGAAGGGUGCACGUAGCUCUUCCCGAGGACACUCGGGAGCUGAUCUGAGGCGUCCCUUCCUAGGAGUUGCUGAGGGGCGGCCUUGAGAUGUUGUGUCUCUCGGUCGUGCUGAUCCAGCUGGGCGUCCAGGAGAAGGAGUGCCAUGCUGAGGAGAUAUCUCGGUUGGACCAUCAACUAGCCGAGACGAUCGGCCAACUACAACAGUCUUUGGCUGCCAACUCCGAUUUUUCCAAGAGGUUGGAUUCUGAGGUGGUCGAGAGGGAGAAGGCUUAGGAGGAGGCUGAGAACGCCAAUCUGAAGAGAAUGGUCGAGGAGAGAGAUUAGAAACUCUCGUCCUCGGCCACUGAUUGGCCACCCUCAAAGUUGCCAAGGACAAGGUCGAGGAAGAGCUCGAUCGCAACUUCAACCAAACCGAUGAGUUGCUGAAGUAGAGCUUCCUUCGGGCUGUCCGCUAGGCCCACGUGCUCUAUGGGAGGCUACCGGCCUCUGGUGCUUUUGACCUCGACCACGAGGUAUACAAGGGUCGGCUGAUGCCCAGUGCCAAGGCGAGUGCUUUGGCGGCGCAGGAGGCUGGGUCGACCGAAGGCGAAAAGGGCGAAGUUCAUGAAGGCAAUCAAGAUUAGAUUUGCCUUCGGCCGGGCUGUGGCCUUUUUGAUUUGAUGUUUCUCUCUCCUCCGAGGUCGGGGUGUGGCCUCCCUGUUUUGCUAUCAAUGUAUCGCCCUUUUCUUCUUUAUUGUGUUCUCAGUCUCCUUGAAUUUGAGGAAGAAACAAUUUCACAAGUUAAAAAUGUCGGUCUCUAUUUGAUUAGGGAGUCGGCAUUUAAUGCGAAACCUGAAUUAGAACAAGUUGAAUUGGUUGUCGGCCUUUAAUUGUGAAUGCUUAAUCGAACGAAUUGAAUGGGCAGUCGACCAUUAAUUUUGAUUUCUUAAUCAAACAAAUUGAAUGGGCGGUCAGCCAUUAAUGACAUUGUUUAAUCGGUCGGCCACUAUCGGCUAUUAAUCGUGCAUUCAUUGAUUUUUAUGUUACUUGUGUCAAGUUACAAGGGUAACUUGGGUGUGUUGAUCGGUCUCGGCAGGGUAUGUCGGUUAAGGCUACAUCCAGACCAAGCCAAGUGAGAGGUGUUGGCAGGGUAUGCCGGUUAAGGCUUCAUCCAGACCAAACCUAGUUGAUCGGUCUCGACAGGGUAUAUACCGGUUAAGGCUGUUAGAAUAUAUGCCCUUAAACGAGAGGGGGGUGAAUUGUUUAAGAGGGGUUUUUGAAACUUUUUAAGCUUUAACAAAAUUCUUUGUAUGAAUCCAGAACAGAAAUCAGGUUAGCCAAGAACAAGAUUAAUAAAACAGCAAAGCAGCAGAAAAACAAUCGGUUGUUUCUGCGAAACAAUCGGUUGUUUAUACCAGUAAAAAUUAAAAACAGAAUGUAAACGAGUUUAAGGGUAAGAGAAAGAUACACCAACAGUUUAUACUGGUUCACUCUUAAACCAAGAGCUACAUUCAGUCCCCAGAAAACAACUGGGUAAUCCACUAAGUAAUCAAAUCAGAUUACAACACACAAUCCACCAAAGCAGUGACCUUGAACCCUUCAAGAAACACACUCACUUUGGCAAUUCACACACCAAGAGUAUUGAUCUUGACCACCUCAAGAGCAAACACUCCUUGGCAACAAUACACCGGAAAUACAAAAGGUUGAGAAGAGAUUACACUCGUUUACAGAACAAUCUGAAAUCAAUACAAAUGCAAUCCUAUUCCACUCUCUUAGAAAACCCAAAGCUUUGAUGUGAAUGUUCAAAUCUUGAAUCAACUCUUUCACAACUGAAAAACUCAAAUAUGUUUUCUUACCUCGAUUACAUAUAAAACUACCCAGAUCCCUCCCAAAACACAACAGCAACACAACCUUGCAUUAAGCACAAAGGGUUUGGAUUCUUCAAAGCACAAUUUGAAUUCUUCAAAGCACUUGAUCACUCUUGAUCAACAAUCUCCCCCUAUUUGAUGAAGACAAAUCCCUGGUUGUUUGUGUUGGACUUUGUUUGAAUCUGAAGCAGCACCUGCAAAGCAAAACUUAUGCAAACUAGAGCAUCUUUAACAGCAGGUUAGAAUAGCACAUUAACUAGUUUUCUGCAUAAACCUUAGAGAAAAACCAAGCAUAAACAGCAAGCCAAAAGCAAAUUCUAAACAUCAGCAGCAACAGCAGAAUAAUAAACAUUCAAGCAAAUAGAGUUUGGCAGAGUUUAAGAACAACACAAAAACCAAAUAAUCUCCCCCUAUUUGUCUUCACAAAUAGACUUUAGGAAGAGAGAAAACAAAAUUGUUCCAGAUAAAACAAAAUAUAGAAAGAAAGAGCAACAAAGCCUUGACAGAUUGAAAAAACAAUCGGUUGUUUCGAGAGAUCAACCGGUUGUUUUUCUUCAGUCUUCCUUUCCAUAUUGUAGCUCAAAAAUCUGAUUCUGAACAGCUUCAAUCUGUUCAUUAAGGGUUUGAAAGCGAAUGUCCAUACUCUGGAAUCUGUGGUCAAAAUUCUAAAAGUUUGAGACACAAAGAUCAUGAAGAUUCCUUUGAUUUUCCACAAAGCCAUCAAGCCUAUCCACCAUGUAUCUUUCACAGGAAGACAUUGAAGGAGUCCCAUCUCCUUGAUGUCCAGCACUUGUCCCAGUACCAAAGUUAGUUGCAGGUUGUUCUGCAUCUUGAACAUUCAUAUCAACACCUUCUUGAUCUUCGUCAUCAUUUUCAGCUUGAGCAGCACUUGAGGAACCACCAUGUUCACCAUCCUUCCUUACCCAUCUUCCAUUGAUCUUGGUAAAACCCAUCUUGCUUAGUGAACCAUUGUUCACUUCAAGUGUUGAUUUCACCAACUCAGAUGUUUCAUCCUCAAGAUUCACUUCAAAAUAGAGUAAAAACUUAGAAAUCAAGACAGCAUAAGGAUAAUGGUAAUCACUUAACCUCAUUGACUUUUGCAUAUGCUCCUUGAUGAUAUGAAUCCAAUUGAUCUUGACUUUGUUCAUGAUGCAAUAGAUAUAGACAAGAUCUUCCUCAAUUAAAACAGAAUGGUUGCUUCCUCUAGGUGUUAAAAUCCAUGUAACAAUGAGAGCUAACAACCUUUCAUUUAACUUCAAACCUCCAACAUAACAAGUUCUUAUUUGAGUUUGAGGAUUUUUCAAACAGCUUUUGUAGUACUGAACUUUGUUUAAAUUUUCCACAACACCAAUAUUUCCUUUAUUGAUUCUCAGCCCAUCAUAUUUCAAACAAGUUACAGCAGCCCAUACAUCAUGGGUAAUCUCCAUAUCUACCCCCUUAACAUGAGAAACAAGAGUAUUGAUCUUGACCACCUCAAGAGCACACAACACUCAUUGGCAACACAACACCAGAAAUACAGAAGGUUGAGAAGAGAUUACACUCGUUUACAGAACAAUCUGAAAUCAAUACAAAUGCAAUCCUAUUCCACUCUCUUAGAAAACCCAAAGCUUUGAUGUGAAUGUUCAAAUACUGAAUCAACUCUUUCACAACUGAAAAACUCAAAUUUGUUUUCUUACUUGUUUGAAAACAUAAACAAAAUAUUUAUAUUUUCCAAAGAUUGGUCAAAGCAUUUAAUGAAGGAGCGUAUUCAGUUGGAAAUCAUUUAAAUCUCAUUCAACCAUCAAAACAUAAUUCUGUUAGGAUUUUCAAAGAAAUAAUUGGUUGAAACUACGAAACAACCGAUUGUUUGGUUUGGCACUUAAGUCAACCAAACUUAAACAAUUUUCAACCUUUUCAAAAACUCCUAAUAGUAAAACAACCGCUUGAUUCGACAAAACAGCAGGUUGUUUUUCACUUAGUUUGAAAAACACUUUAUUUUAAAAAGGAUUUAAAACACAUCAACUUUAGAUUCAACAAAGGAGUGGAUUACAUAUAAAACUACCCAGAUCCCCCCCAAAACACAACAACAACAAAACCUUGCAUCAAGCACAAAGGUUUUGGAUUCUUCAAAGCACAAUUUGAAUUCUUCAAAGCACUUUAUCACUCUUGAUCAACAAAGGCUUCAUCCAGACCAAACCUAGUUGAUCGGUCUCGACAGGGUAUGUCGGUUAAGGCUUCAUCCAGACCAAACCUAGUUGAUCGGUCUCAGCAGGGUAUGGCAGUUAAGGCUACAUCCAAACCAAGUCGGGGAUUUGCAUGAGAACAAUGCUAGUACUUUGAGAAAAAUGCCUCGUCAAAACCUCCCCGAUGGGGUGAGGAACGAGUGCGUGACUUUAUUUAUUCAACUGUAAUAAAAUUUGAGGUGCGUGGCAUUCCACGUCCUUGGUACAAUUUUGCCCGAGAGCCAUUCAAGGUGAUAAGCUCCCCCCUUUGCGACUUCUUGGACUCGGAAAGGCCCCUCCCAGUUGGACGAGAACUUCCCUUCGUUUUUUCUCACAUCACUGCGCAUCCUCCAGACGAGGUCUCCCUUCUGGAAGCUCCUUGGUCAAACUUUUGUGUUGUACCGCCUUGACGCCCGAAGCUUGCACACGAUCUCUCGAAUCUUGCUCUUGUCGCGAAGCUCACUUACCAAAUCGAGGUUGAAUCAUAGUAGUACUAUGUUCUUCAUCCAGGAGUGGUACUCGCUUCAGCUCUUCCCGCGCUUCUAGUCUUUCCUCAGUCACCCGGGGGUCUAGGUCUACCAACGCGACUAUUUGCUCGACUGACAUCGGUCGGGCUUCCUGGGGUGAGCGGUCCUUUCAGAAGAAUUUCCUCUUGGGAGAGAUGUUGUUCCUCAAAGGCUCCACCUGAAGGCUUUCGGCAUAGCACUCUCGUGCCUCCUUCUAGUCCACGUGGACCGUAUAUCCCCCUUCUUCGAAUGGAACUUCAUUGUCAGGUGAGGAGUCGAUACGAUGGUCAUCAGUCGGUUGAUGGACGGUCGGCCGAGGAGGAUGUUGUAGGAGGUAUUGUUCUUCUCCUGACCGAAGGUGGUGUAGAGCUCAAUGUAGCCCUUGGUACCCACCCUCUCACCUGAGAAACCGACUACAUGGUCGUCGUAAGGCACCACCUAGGCCUCGAGUAUCAUCAUGGCUUUAAACGUUUUCCAGUAGAGGAUGAGAUGGAGAAGUGCCUUCAUGAUUGGAGUUUUUGUUGGUGGAAAUGGCGGAAGCACAAUGGAUGUCUACGAUCAAGGCCCUCCUAAGAGGUGUGGUGGCCUUGGAGGUUCAUGCUAGGUAGGGAUUGAGAGUGGUGAGGCCAUCUCUCUUUGGUAGUGUGGAAUUUGAAGAUCAAUAGUCUAACCUUGAGAGGUUUUUGACAAGAAGUGAAAUUGGCUCAAAUUUGGCAGCAAUUCACUAGUAUAUUAAUCUUGUGAAAACAUGAGCCAAGCCACUCCUUAUAUAGCAAGUGAGGGUUGGUUUACAUACAAGCAAAAUGAGGGAAAUUCAAACUUACACUAAUUGAAAUUGGCCCCUAAAAUGGGAGAACAUGGCAUGUUCAAGGAUCUAGAAUGUGCAAGGAUUCUAGAACUUGCGCUCCAAUUGGGCUUGCUUUGGACCGGCCUAGGUUUAAUUAGAAGUUUAGGAAACUCUAAUUAAACCUAGGUUGGUAUUUUAGGUACCAAUCUUCAUUUUAACAAAAAUUACAAAAGAAAUUUCCUAUGCUAAUUUUGACAAGAAUUUAAAUGCUACCUUACACAGAGUCUAUGGCGUCUUGAACAUGUAUAAGAAGGUUUCUCUACCACCAGUAGCAGUAUUCCAGUCUUCUUGAAGCUUCUUAGUCAUGGCUCUAGUGGUUGGCCCAAUUCUACUGAACUCCCUUGGUCCACAAGGGUCUUCCUGAUGGUGAAUCGGUCUAUAUUGAUUGAUAUCACCAUGGGGUCGUCCUGGUGGUAAUCCACCCUUUAAAGUCUUCAUCUGUGAAGGUGAUGGGUGGCAUCCUCGGUCGGAAUGUCACCGCAUUCACCUGGUACACCGCUCGCAGGUGUUUCUUUCGGGCAUUGUUGGUGCUCCCUCCUCCGGCGAAGCCGCCGGCUAUGGUGUUGAUAACCUCUCGGUUACCUCCUCUUUCGGCUUCCCUGGGAGGAUCGUCCUUGCGGGGAGGGUCGUCUCUUCGAGACUGGCGGUCAUCCCUGCGGUCUCGGUCGUCUCGGCCUCGUGGAGGUGAUCUCGUCUUCUUGGAGGGUUCCUCUCUACGAAGUGAGCAUCUUGUGUCUCGGUCAUUCCUGACGAAUCGGCGCAAGUGCCCAGCCUGGAUGAGUUCCUCAAUCUUGUCCUUCAAAUCCUGGCAUUCCUCAGUGGAGUGCCCGUUGUUUAGGUGAUACCGACACUGCUUCCUUCGGUCAACAUUGUUUGGGCUAGCCACCUUUCUGGGAGGAGGGAUCAACUCGGCGUUGAGUGCCUCAUCCAGAAUUCUUCCUCUCUCGAUUGUCAGGGGUGUGUAAGGACCUGCCGACAACAUUGGUCGGUCUAGUGGAUGGUCCUCCCUCCAUCAGCUUCUUCUUCAUUUCUUCAUUCUCCCUUUGGAGUGUUUGCCUCUCUUUCUCAUUCUGAUGGACAACUUCCUCUGUCCUCCUCUUCAUCUUGGCCAUCUCUCUCUGGAGAGACAGCAACAGCAUUUCCUGGUCGGCAUUAGUCAUCCUUUUCAUGCUUUUGGUUGAGACCAUCUACUUUCUCUCUUCAGCUAGUUUCUCUUGACCCCACGGUGGGCGCCAAUUGUUCCUGCUAGGGAGAUGGGACCUAGAGAACUAUUGAAGUCUUCGUCUUCCUCCUUUGAUCGGGAAGGUUGCUAGGGCUUCACUAGGAUCCUUAUCACCUUCGUGUUACUCCUUCGGCUCUCCGUCUCGGGUGAAUGCCAAAUGAGGGAGGUACCUGUAGAAGGCACUCCGACGCUCAAGUCAGUAAAGGGUGUUCGGUAUUCGGGUAGGUGUACAGUAAUAAUGACAUAUCUUGCUCCUUGGAAUGUGUGUUAUUUAUAUUAUUUUAUUGGGCUUAUCUCAUUGGGCCUGAUUAGUGGAAUGGAUCACACUUAUGGUUGUAUUACCUAAUUCUUAAUAGUAAUUUAGCUUCACUAACCUUGGUUUGAGCAUUAAUGGUUAUAUGUUUCGGUCGGCCUAGCCGUGUGUGGUGUCUCGACCAGCUCGGUCAAGGAGACCGAACUGCGUCAGCGUGUGUCUCGGUCAACUCGGUCAGACAAGUCGAGCCACAUCAACGUGUCGAUCGACCAUACCAAUACAUAAUAUAGUUAUUAGAUUAAGUAUCACAAUUAUAAAAUUAUCAUAUUAUACCGAUAAUUAGGAUAGGUCUUUAAAUUGUCAUAUUAAAACAAUUAUUUUUUUUAAAAAACUACUAAAUUAUACAAUAAAUAGUGGUAAUUUUAUGUAAGAUUUGUACUUUUUAAUAUCAUAUUUAAUUUACUUUUUAAUAAGAUUUGUACUUUUUAAUUAAGUGGGUAUAUGAUAUUUUGCUAGUAACAUAUGAGUAUGAUGAUAGAUUUUCAUUUCUGGUGUAUUUACCCUUAAAUAUGAAUCAAUGUGUGGAGAAUAACAUGGUUGUGGAACAAAUACAAAAAUUGUUUUGUUUUCUCCUCAAUGCUCUUCUCCUUCUUCUUCUCUCUCUCUAGAUAAUACUUUUCCUUUUUAAAAUAUACCCAUCACCAUUCCUACCUUUUUAAAGACUCUUUAUUGUUUUUAUUUUUUACAUAAAAAUAUAUAUACAAAUGAAGAUGAGAACUAGGCAGAGUAAAACCCCUUAGUGGGUUGGGUAGAAAGGCCAAAUCCAAAUGGGAAGAGGGGAUCAUAGUGAGGAUCUCCAACAUUCAUUGGAAGCUGAUCAACAGAUUUGAACCAUGUUCUUGGAAGCUUUCCUGUGAAACCAUACUCACCAUAUAAAACAUCAGCCACACCUUGGCCUUCGCUACCUGGAAGCCAUCCAGCAACAAGUGCAUCUAUGAUACCAACAUAUGGUUCAAUCACUAAAGGACGACCAGAAAUUAUUAUAACCACACAUUUUAUUGCCCCACAGACAUUUGUUAUGGUCUCAGGACCAAAGUCUGAGAUUGUCAAGUUCAUGUUGUCCCCAUGCAUUUCAGCAUAAGGAUGCUCUCCUACUACAACAAUGGCAUAGGAAAAUCCAUUGGAUUUAACAAAUUCUGCAUCAGGGUUCUUCUUGUAGACCACUUUGGUUUCAGGAUCAACAGUGUUUUUCACAGCAUUGAGAAUUGUAGUCCCUGGUCAUACAAAGGUUGACAAGAAUAAUAAGAAACAAUAGUUGCAUUAUGUAAUUGAUAGUGAUGAUAUAAUUAAAAAAAGAACAAAAUACAUAUAUUUUAACCUUUGAGAAGAUUGUUCCCAUUGACCCCUUGCCAUUCUAUAGUCCAGCCACCACACUGAUAUCCUAGAUUAUCUGCAUGGCUUCCAGCCACAAGUAUUUUUGGUACCUUUUUCGGAAGAGGCAAUAAAGGCUUAUCGGCAGAUUCACCAUUUUUCACAAGGACCAUUGAUUUCCUCACCGCUUCUCUAGCCAAAUUUCUGUGCUCCUGUUGAGAAUUUUGGUAAAUAUUGAUUAGUUACAAGGUGAUCCCUAUAUCUAAUUGUGAACUUGGGAUGUUAAAGGAAGUGCUUGAGGAAAACAAAAUAGUUAAC
RNAcentral lists this long non-coding RNA (101123 nucleotides) under Phaseolus vulgaris (common bean). RNAcentral's name for it is "long non-coding RNA (PVUL_LNC005087)". The record is from RNAcentral. Lineage: Eukaryota; Viridiplantae; Streptophyta; Magnoliopsida; Fabales; Fabaceae.